UUUUUUUUUUUUUUUUUUUGUUGCUUAAACAUCCUAUUCUUUCUUACUUCUUGGGUAAAUAUCCAUCAGAUGCAUCAGAAAAGAUUAUCCUUUCUAAAUUGUUGAUGUUCUUGUAAGUGGUUCUGUUGUCUGUCCAUUGUAGGUAUGGACGGUUUCGUCCUUUAGGUAAAAAGAUUAAAGGCUGGCAAACAGCAUGGUGGCAGUAUGCACAAAAAUCUGUUUUACUGGAUGUUCAACAGAGGUUGAGGAGAACUUCUUGGAAAUACCUUGGAGAGAGACUGUAAGUUGAUCUUCUCAAGAAACUUUUCUCCAAUCAACAUAGCAAAACAUUUGAAGGACUUCCUUUUUUGUUUUGUUUAUUAGAUUAUUUAGAUGUAAAUCCAGUACAGUUAAUUGUUUGACAUUUCAUUUCAGCUUCAUGUUCUUUUGCACUUUGUGAAUGUUGAAACUCAAAUCCUCCAGCUACUCAUUAUCAAAAAGGAAACUUAUUCACUAGCCGACGGAAGUUUAAUGAUUUUUGAUACCCUGGCCUGUCUUUUUGUCUUGGCAUUCAUGUGCCACUUGUGUUGGAUGGAAUUAGGUAUGUCAUUACUGUGACGAAAAAGUCCAGUGAUGCACUCCUUUUUUUUUCUUAAAUCAAGGGUUUCAUUGAUAAUAACAAGGCCAACUUGGCCGUAUACAAGAGAUAUACCAAAAAGAGAGAACUACAAAAUAUGGUUCUCUCCAAAAGUCACCCAAUCCUCUAUAUAAACAUAAACUACAUGGGUGUACCAAAAGAAAAUAAGGGAUUGGAGACUACUCCUCAAUUGAGGAAAGCUCAUCUCUAGCCCUUCAAAAGGUCUCCUAUUUCUCUCUUUCCAAAUGACCCACAUACAUUAGAGCUAGAGGGGUAGCAUUUCACGCCUUGUGCCUUCUUCUCCUAGCUCUACUUCCAACUGAACAUCAACUCCUUCACUGAUCUUGUCAUUACCCAAGUGACAUCAAACCAUGUAAACGUAUACUCCCAUAACCUCGUGGCUAAUUUGCAAUGUAAUAAAAUAUAAUCCACAUCCCCACAAGUCUCCUUACAUAGGAAGCACCAGCUUAUGUGGACAACCUUUUCACUUCUGAAGGUUCUCAAAAUCACCCUCUAGUAGCUAACCACAUGAAGAAGCACAUCUUCCUCGGCAGUUGGCACCUUUGGUAUCCAUACCGCACCAUAUGGAAAAACAUCCUCCACCCUCACCAAAAGUUUCCCAUAGAAGGACUUGAUAGAAAACACUUUGUUAUGCCCCAAAGCAUUGGAUCCAACUGGCUCACAUUGCUUUUGGAGUAAAUCUAGCAAUCUCUAAAGCUGUCAUCUGCCAGUCCUGAAAAUUCCUCCUGAACCUCAAAUCCCAAAAGUUCCACCCCCUUGUGUCCCCCUAACUUGUGGAAUAGAUAAUUCCCUUUGGCAAGAAACCCUAUACAGUACUGAGAAUUCAUCCAUAAGCACCAAACUUCCACAACACUUUUUGCCCCCCAAAACCUAACUCCGUUCCCCUCCCAACCCUAAAAGUAAUUUAUCAUUGAAAGCAUCCCACCCCUUCAUUAUAUUCAUCCACACACCACAUUCAAAAGGCAUAGUAAUCCCUUUUGUUCUCCACCCCCCUUCCAUUUCACCAAAGCUUCUCCCUCCAUCCCAAAUCUCCACAACCAUUUACCUAGAUGAGUUUUGUUGAAAGUUUUCAAGUCUUUAACACCAAGUCCUCCCCACUGUUUAGGAGAUGUCACAAAUUCCCACUGAACGAACUGAAACUUCUUUGCUCCGUCCGCCACAUUCCAAGGAAAAUCUCUUUGCAACCUCUCCAUCAUACCUAUAACCUGGGAAGGUCUAUUGAACAGGGACAUGUAAUAUGUAGGGAUACUCGAUAGCGUGCUCUUAAUAAGCAUUUCUUUGCCUCCUCUCGAUACGUAUCUUUUCUUCCACCCUGCCAACCUCUUCUCUUACUCUAUAAAUGACCGGAUUCCAAAUGGCGAGAUCCUGGUUCGAUGCGCCCAAAGGUAAUCAUAUGUAGGUAGUAGGGAGAGCCCCUACCCUGCACUGCAAGACUUGGGAAAGCAUGUCAAUGCUAUCAACUGCCCCAACAUGUAUGAUCUCACAUUUGCUGAGGUUAAUUUUAAGCCCUGAAACCACCUGGAACCAAGUUAACACUUAUCCAAGAUAGUCCAGUUGGAUCCCAUCAGCAUCACAAAACACCAAAGUAUCAUCUGCAAAUAAGAGAUGGGUGACCGACAUGGUGCCACUGCCACUAACCACAACCCUUGAUAUGAUCGCCCAAAACAUCUUUGUCCAUCAUCCUACUUAGAGCUUCCAUCACCAAGAUGAAAAGCAUAGGUGAUAAAGGGAUCUCGCUGCUUCAAAAUCCUCAUGCUACCAAAAAAACUGUCACGCCCCGAGACUACCCCUGAGACGCAUACACGGAACCUAGGACCACAAGUGAUCCCAAGCUGACCCUGCUGGCAUGAUCAUGAGCAUACUAAAGAUAAUAAACUGAUGCGGAAGCUAAAUCAUAAAUAAAAAUGAAAAGAUGGGGAAUACCCAUAUACUAUAACUGAGAUAUAUGAAAACUGAUGAGUUUAAUACAAAGAAGAUAUUAACUCAAUACUAAGCUGAAUCUAACUAUGUCUGAAAUAAGCCUCUAAACUGACUAGAAAUGUUGGGACAUGCCCCAACUAGAUCUAGCAAAACUGAAACUAAAGACUAAAAGCGAUAAAGAUAAACAUGUCACUAGUCCUCGAAGAAUGAGGACUCACCACUGAUGCUGCUGAACUGAAGAUCGGGAAUCGAUCUAAGCGUGAUCUGGAUGCUGAGAACCUGAACCUACAUCACGAGAAGAUGUAGCGCACGUAUGCAUCAGUACUUNNNNNNNNNNNNNNNNNNNNNNNNNNNNNNNNNNNNNNNNNNNNNNNNNNNNNNNNNNNNNNNNNNNNNNNNNNNNNNNNNNNNNNNNNNNNNNNNNNNNNNNNNNNNNNNNNNNNNNNNNNNNNNNNNNNNNNNNNNNNNNNNNNNNNNNNNNNNNNNNNNNNNNNNNNNNNNNNNNNNNNNNNNNNNNNNNNNNNNNNNNNNNNNNNNNNNNNNNNNNNNNNNNNNNNNNNNNNNNNNNNNNNNNNNNNNNNNNNNNNNNNNNNNNNNNNNNNNNNNNNNNNNNNNNNNNNNNNNNNNNNNNNNNNNNNNNNNNNNNNNNNNNNNNNNNNNNNNNNNNNNNNNNNNNNNNNNNNNNNNNNNNNNNNNNNNNNNNNNNNNNNNNNNNNNNNNNNNNNNNNNNNNNNNNNNNNNNNNNNNNNNNNNNNNNNNNNNNNNNNNNNNNNNNNNNNNNNNNNNNNNNNNNNNNNNNNNNNNNNNNNNNNNNNNNNNNNNNNNNNNNNNNNNNNNNNNNNNNNNNNNNNNNNNNNNNNNNNNNNNNNNNNNNNNNNNNNNNNNNUACUGGAUAGCUCAAACUGAACAUGCAAACUGAAAUUGCAACAAUUAAACUGAUAUUGAUGCAUUAAUAACUGAGGCAUGUAUAACUGAAUAACUGAGAUAUCUGACCUAGCAUGUGUAAUUCAAGAACUAAAGAAAUACAUAGCUAGGGUUUUGAAAUUCAUGCAGAAACGAAGUAAUAACAUGAUAAUCUGAUUUGGAACAUAUUAAUAACUAAGUCAUGAUGGUCUGCUGUAAUUCUAGAAACCCUAGGUCUAUUCAUAAUAAGGGAAUCAAGAAACUGACUGAAUUCUAGGGACCUAAUGGGCGAAAGGAACCCACUAGUGAAAUCCCACAUACCUUGGUGACGAAUUUCACGGAGAAAUCCUUUGAUUUCUGGGCUGGAACUGAAGAAAACUUGCUGCGUUCUUGAACUAGGGUUCUUGACCUUUUUCUCCUCUCUUGCUUCUAAUUUUCUAAGUUUUGAUUAAGGUAAGUUCUAGUUAAGUUUCUAGGCUUAAACUAACUAAAACCUCAUGAUUUAGGGUCUAAACGACGUACCUUAGGGGUUAAUCGAAAUAGGAAAAGACCAAAAGACCCCUAACUUAAUUGCUGUCGGAGUGACCGACGGACUGGACCUACGGGCCGUAGGUCAAUCGACGGUCCGUCGAUUGGAGUCGUCGGUCGAGUCUGCUUGACAGGGCUUCACUAAAACGAGCAUAACUUUUUACUCGGAGGUCGGAUUUUAGCAAACUCGGUGGCGUUGGAAAGAGGAUUCAAUUAUCUAUCAUAUAAUAGGUCAUGGGACACAUAAUUCCUUUUGUGCUAAAAAUUAUGGCCAUCUGAAGUUGACCCAUCAACAAUUUCAGCUAACUGGCUGCUGACCCUCAUCUAUGGUCAGACCUACGGACCGUGGAUCAAAUGACGGUCCGUGCUGGUCGACCGUAGUUUGUGUCAGAGGCUGGGUAAAGGAGGUCUCGAUCCACGGACAUAGUACCACAGGACAGUGGUCUGAUCUACGGACCGUGGGUUUGUCCGUGAGUCGGGACUUAGCCGACUUUCUGAGCUGGUUUAGGAGGGUUGCAGUAGUGAACCACGGACCACCAUCACGGGCCGUGGUCUGACCUAUGGUCCAUGGAUGGCAACUGUGGGUUGCACCUACAACUUCUCAAAAUCUGUAUUUUUGGUCUGUUUAGGAUACGGGGUGUAACAAAAACCAUAUGGAUUGCUAUUCACCAAAACUGAGUAUUUGAUAAAAGAGAUACAAAAUCUGACCCACUUUCUCUAUUUCUCCCCAGAGCUCAUCUUCAGAAAUAUGAAAUCCAAGAACUUCCAAUUUACAUGGUCAUAGCCUUCUCAUGAUCUAAGCUUGCACAAAAUAGCCAGCACAUCCGGUUUCUUUCUCGAAUCUACUACUUCAUUAGCCACCAAAGUUGUGUCUAGGAUUUGUCUUCCAUUGACAAAAGCAUUUUGCGAUGAAGAAAUUGUCUCGUCCAAAACUCUCUUUAAGUCUAUUAGAAUGCCCCUUAGAAAUAGUCUACUAGAUGCUUCCCACUAUACUAAUAGGUUUGUAGUCCCCGAUGCUUGAAGCCCCUUCCUUCUUAGGAAUGAUGACAAUGAAUGAGGCAUUUAAGUUCCUUUCGUAUUCACCCCUUCUGAAACUCAUCAAUAGUACUCAAAACAUCAAGUUUGGCUGUGUUCCAACAAUUUUGAAUGAAGGCCAGAGUGAAACCAUCUAGACUUGGGGCCUUGUAACUCUCUACCGCCACCCACACCUCUUCCUCCUCAAUAGCCCUCCCUAACCACUCACUAUUUUCUCCUCCAAUCUGAAUCAUCAUCAGAAGAAUUAGGCCAAAAAUUACGAAACAUUCUGGGAAAAUACACCCACCCACCCCCAAUUUAGGCCUCCAAUUUGCUUCCUCUUUGAACAAUAGCUUAGCUCCCUCUACCUCCUCUUCCCCCUCAUAAGUCUCCCCCAAUCCUCCACAAUCUCUAUUAGAUUCCUCCUGUUAUUUGUUGCUGCUACCCUGUGAAAGAAUUUGGUGUUAGAAUCUCUUUCUUCCAGCCACAAAGCCCCCCAGCCUCCACAAUCUCUAUUAGACUCCUCCUGUUAUUUGUUGCUGCUACCCUGGGAAAGAAUUUGGUGUUAGAAUCCCCUUAUUCCAGCCACAAAGCCCUCGAUUUUUGUCUCCAACUAGUCUCUUGAGCCAAAGCCUAAGAAGCUAGCUCCCCUUUUGGAACUUCUUUCUUCUCCUUUUCCCUACCAUCUAACUCCCUUUCCACCUCUAUUUUUUCUAAUAAUUCCCCUACCUUAUUCAUAAUCUCCCUAAUUUUCACCUCUACCCUUCUAAACACUUCCUUAUUCGACACCCUUAUAUUAUUUUUGAGCAUUUUUAAUGUUUUAGCAAGUCUGAAAAAAGUUCUUCGCUCCAUGUCAUAGGUGAUCCACCACUUGGCUACUUUAUCUCCAAAAGCUGUCGCUCGCAGCCACAUAUUCUUGAAUCUGAAAGGAGAUCUCAUCCUUCUGCUUCUACCACUGUUCAAUCACAUGAUUGAUGAAUAAUCUGAGAUCAACUGCGGGAGAGGAUAUUGGAUCACAUUCGGCUCCUCUCAAGAAGUAGAAACAAGAAAUCUAUCCAGCCAAGAUUUGGAAAUUGAUUACUCCGACCUUGACCAUGUGAAAUUAGCAGCUGUCAAAGGCAAAUCAAUUAGAAGAUGGUUAUCAAUAAAUUCUGAAAACUCCUCCAUAGCCCUGGAUAUCACCCCUGCAAUCCAACCUCUCCUCUGUGUUAGAACAGUGUAGCAUUCUCAGAAUUUUCUUGGUAUUUAGAAGUAGCUACUCUACCUAGUGGUUAAUUGUUUAGGCAGUGCCCUAAACUACGAUAUUCAACUUCGUUCCAUUUUCCUUUUUGAUUGUGGUUCUUUGGUUGGGAAGUAGAGAUACAAUCAUAACAUAAGAUAUCUUUACCCAUAUCUUGUACUUGAGCCAUUUUUAUCCCCAUUCUGCUUGUUCUUGUAAUAUGUUAUACACUUUUUUACUUGUGCAUGUAUUAAUUAAUGCUUUCUAUGGACAAUAGAAAAUGCUUUAGAAUUUUUCGAUACCUGUUAGAUGCUUAGUUUUUGCUGUCUUGCUAUCUGAUCCUUUAGGUGCAUAGACUGCUAGGGGUGGCAGUUUAAGCCCAUAUAAGUGAAAUGGAUCCAUUUUUCCUAUAUUAAAUUAAAUGUAUCACUCAUAUUUUCUUAAAUGGGUAAAUAUGGACUUCAACCUAUUUAAGCUCAUACAAAUAUGGACAAAAUGGGUAAACAUGAGAAUCCAUAUAUACCCAUAUAUCACUCACUUAUCAUAAAAAAUCCCUAAUGCACUAUUUGUUUUUGAAAAUAAAAAAUAAAAAAAUGUGGGGGGAGGGUGGGGGAAAAUUGAAAAGUUUUUUAUAAAUUUUUUUUUGGUGUGGGUGGGAGUUGUCUGGGGGUGGGGUUAGGGUUGGCAAAAUCAACAAAAAGUAAUAAUUUAUUUUAAGAAAAGUUUUUAAAUUUUUUUUUGGGGUAGCUACAUUUUCUAUAAUUCUGGAGUUCCUCUCUCUCUCAUGAUGACCCAUCAAAUUGUUGCUGAGUUUGCCUUCCUAAUUCUUGAAUGCAUUCCCCUCACUCCCCUCGUGUGCCAGCUUUGUAAAAGUUUGUGUGCAUCCCUUGCGUUGUCCAUCUUAGUUCCAAAUGUUAAAAAAGUUGUGCAGAAUUUGAGGUGGUUUGUGUCCUCUGGCUGCUCUUCUUGUAAAGAGCAUCUGCUGCAAAUUAGGUUGUGUUAGACAUGCAUUUUCGACUACUAACCAACUGAAUAUCUGGACUUCGUAAGGAGAAGAACUUCGCCAAACUUUUUCCCAAAGCCAAACUGAUGUUGCAUUCUGUGAAUCGAGCAAAAGUGUGUAGCAUGACUUGACUGAAAAGAUACUAUCUUUCCUGUCUUUCCAACAAAAAAUGUCUUUCUUGUCUGCAUUUGUAGAAUGGAUUCCUAUUUGUUGGAGUAAGAUGUCCUUUGUAAUUCCCAGUCAUUACAGUUCCUUCUGAAAAUAAUAUUCCAUCUAGAGCUAGUGUUCCGGUUGGCUGGAAGGGAAAAAAGGAUGGGGAAAGCUACUUGAGAGGUGUUGCUUCCAAUUGCACACGCAGGUGUACGUGGUCGCGCAAGUAAUAUAGUGGCUCUUAACAAAACCGGAUUAUUGAAUCCAAAGGACUUGUCAAUUAACUAUUUACUAAAUUAUAUUAAUUCUAAUUAUUUAUUUAAGGGGAGGAUUUCAAAAGAUGAAUAUAUUAACUAAACUAAAAUAAAGAUAAAAGACUAAAAAGCAAUUAACUAAGAAAAGAUAGAUGUUUACACAAUCAAUGAAUGAAUCGAUCUAGGAUUAUGAUUUAACUAACAAUCAUGUUUAGCAUCAAUUUCAUCAACUUAUUUGAUUAUAUAGUUAUUGAUUCACGGGGUUGAUAAUAUAGUCAUGAUCUCCCGACCUCUAACCGUCUACCACAAUUGACAGCCUAGCUACAUCGUUGAGCAGGGAUAAACUGAACCAACUAUGGAGCAUUACGUUGUCUUCCCGUAUUUGAGCCAAGCAAGGCACCUAGGUAUAUCCCUAUCCUUGACACAAAUCAAUUCAAGUGAUAUGCAAGAAAAGAUCAUGCUCCUUAUAUUCCACGUUCUAUCCCUCUAUUCCUCUCCCGAGUUCAAAAGAAGACAAUAAAUUUAUUCUAAUGGUGAUCAAGCAUCAAAAUAGUAAUCACAAGAAUAUAAGAACAACUACUAUGAUAAACAAAUCAUGCCGAAUUAAAAUCACCAAACAAUCAUAUUGUAAGUAAGUAUAAUCCAAGAACGAGAAGUUUAACUCCACAUAGACAUAAAACAAUUACAACGAAUCAUUUAAAGAAAAGAUGUAAAAUAAAAUAAAAGAAAAGAUGAAACCCUAAAUCAAAAGUUAAUUUCUACAUUGUAUCCUCCUCCCUUAAUAAUUAUUCUUAUGGACUAUUUAUAGAUGUUGGAAACCCUAAAUAAAAUAAUUGAGUCCAAAACAAAUAGGAAUCCAAAACCAAAAGGAAUAAGCAUUCCUGUACGCGUGAAACACUCUAGCCGCUCUUCAAUUUGUAUUCUUCUCUUCCCUUGCUGGCAGUAAUUCCUUUUGCAGUUCGCAAUUUUGCAGCAUGCAAUUCUUAUAUAUUAUAUAUUAUUAUAUUCCAUUUAAUCCAUUAAGCUGCCUGCUUGAUUUCCUUCUUCAACCUUCCAUCUUUAAUUCGUUUUAGCUCCAAACUUCUUCAUAUUUCCACCAAUUUAAUCGUACAAAUAAAAUAUACUAUUAAGCACAAUCCAUAAAAUUCAAGCUCAAAAAGGACAAAUAUAAAUACUAAAUAUGAGGCAAAUAAUGAUUUAAAAUAUGUAAUUUGGCCUCACAUCAAGAGGACUGGUGUGGCGUAGUGGUAAAUGAAGUGGGUUGAGAACCAUGAGGUCUCAAGUUCAAAUCCUAGUAGAGAAAAAUCAUUAGGUGAUUUCUUCCCAUCAGUCCUAGUCUUGGUGGACAGAGUUACCUGGUACCUGGUACCUGUUGCUGGUGGGAGAUGACAUGUAUCUUGUGGAAUUAGUUGAGGUGCGUUCAAGCUAGUUCGGACACCAUGUUAUUUAAAAAAAAACUUGAGAGGAGUACGUCCCAACCAAGCAUCAUGCCAAAAGUUAAGCUUUCUACCAUCCCCCAACUUGAAGUAUGUUUUGCCUCUAAAAUCAUCGCAGAGUGUCUUGAUGCGUUUCCAAACAGAUUGACUAUAAAUAUAUGUGACUUAUAUAUGAUGCAUGAAUAAAGGAAACAAGUUACCUCUAAACGUGAAGAUUAUACAUUUCACAAGAAAUCUUUUCUUAAAAGAAGUUUGUCAGUUCAAAUUUCAUUAGAAUGAAAAUUCUUAUUGUUGUGUCCUGUAUCUUCUUUCACCCAGUAUCCUUAAUGUUCGGUGAUUAAUAUGACACAUUUAAGGUGUGUUUAGGUGUUCUUCGCAAGAAGAUAUAGUUAUGUUGGAAAUGGAAGAAAGGUAAUAAUUUUACAAGAUGCUAUUCAAUGUAAAAUUUGUGGAUGGGAGAUAACUUUUAGGAGGAAUGGCCAUGAUUUGGAGAUUGAAAGUAUUGUUCAGCUCCUUAGCAAUCUGGAAAAGAUUAAACAUUUAAUUGGUGAGCUAGACUCUUAGAAGGAGCAAACCGUAUAAAAUCUUACCUACAUUUGACAACCCUAGCUCUCUUUGACCUUCUAUGAUUAUUAGAAAUGCCUAAGGUGGCAUGUUUUACCAUGAUUGCAAUCUAGAAAUAUGUCUUUGCAUAACACAAUUUACAAAAUGAAUAUUUUGAAUUUUCUCUUAAUCCUAUCCCCAAAGCCCCAUCUCAUCCCCCGAAGGAUCAAUAAUGGUAUCUUACUGCUUUUUCCCUGUGUGAUACCUCGAAUGGCAACCUAAUGGUUGAAAGGCGAGUGACUUUACCACGACAUCAGUACUCACCCAUAUUUACAAUGGAGGGUGUAGCAUUUCUGAUGGAUGCUUCAUGUAUGAAGAUACUAAUCGUUUCACAUUAUCUUAUAGUCAUUCAACGAUGGGUUUUGUUCCCAGACCUGUUUGGUGUUUGGCCUGAACAACAUGUAGAAAUAUUAACAUAGACGUUUGGAAAUUUUGGAGUGCGUUUUAUUGUGCACUCUAUCAUUUUUGUGUAAUAUGAAGUGGAUGCUUGCCUCUGGAGUCUUGUGUGUUAAAAAAAAUACCAUUUUAACUCAAUGGCAAGUUCUAUAGAGUGGUGGUUAGACCGACAUUGUUAUAUGGGGCAGAGUGUUGGCUAGUCAAAAGCUCUCAUGUUCAGCGGAUGCAUGUUGCGGAGAUAAGGAUGCUAAGGUGGAUGUGUGUUCAUAUUAGGUGCGGUGAGAUUAGAAAUGAGGAUAUUCGGAAUAAGGUGGGAGUGGCCUCCAUGGUGGACCAGAUGAGAGAAGUGCGAUUGAGAUGGUUUGGACAUGUGAAGAGGAGAUGCAUGGAUGCACCGCUAAGGAGGUGUGAGAGGCUGGUUAUAGAAGGUACGAGGAGAGAUAGAGGUAGACCAAAUAAAUAUUGGGGAGAGGUGAUAAAACAUGUUAUGAUGCAACUUCAAAUUAGUGAGGACAUGACCUUAGAUAUGAGGAUGUGGAGGACACGUAUUAGGGUAGAAGGUUAGUAGGUAGUGUAGUGUUGUCUUGCUUAGGGUGGUUGGUUUUUGCCAGUGUACUAGUUGUAUUACUGUAGUUCUUGGUAUCUUACUGCUUUUUCCCUGUGUGAUACCUCGAAUGGCAACCUAAUGGUUGAAAGGCGAGUGACUUUACCACGACAUCAGUACUCACCCAUAUUUACAAUGGAGGGUGUAGCAUUUCUGAUGGAUGCUUCAUGUAUGAAGAUACUAAUCGUUUCACAUUAUCUUAUAGUCAUUCAACGAUGGGUUUUGUUCCCAGACCUGUUUGGUGUUUGGCCUGAACAACAUGUAGAAAUAUUAACAUAGACGUUUGGAAAUUUUGGAGUGCGUUUUAUUGUGCACUCUAUCAUUUUUGUGUAAUAUGAAGUGGAUGCUUGCCUCUGGAGUCUUGUGUGUUAAAAAAAAUACCAUUUUAACUCAAUGGCAAGUUCUAUAGAGUGGUGGUUAGACCGACAUUGUUAUAUGGGGCAGAGUGUUGGCUAGUCAAAAGCUCUCAUGUUCAGCGGAUGCAUGUUGCGGAGAUAAGGAUGCUAAGGUGGAUGUGUGUUCAUAUUAGGUGCGGUGAGAUUAGAAAUGAGGAUAUUCGGAAUAAGGUGGGAGUGGCCUCCAUGGUGGACCAGAUGAGAGAAGUGCGAUUGAGAUGGUUUGGACAUGUGAAGAGGAGAUGCAUGGAUGCACCGCUAAGGAGGUGUGAGAGGCUGGUUAUAGAAGGUACGAGGAGAGAUAGAGGUAGACCAAAUAAAUAUUGGGGAGAGGUGAUAAAACAUGUUAUGAUGCAACUUCAAAUUAGUGAGGACAUGACCUUAGAUAUGAGGAUGUGGAGGACACGUAUUAGGGUAGAAGGUUAGUAGGUAGUGUAGUGUUGUCUUGCUUAGGGUGGUUGGUUUUUGCCAGUGUACUAGUUGUAUUACUGUAGUUCUUGUUUUUGAUACCCAUCAUUAUUUAUUAUUGUUUUCAAUACUCUAUCCUAGCAUGUUUAUUUUGUUUUGAUUAGUGCACUAUUUUGUUGUUGUUGUUGCUCCCUUAUGGUACACUUUGAACUAUUUCCUUAUGCCUUGCUAUAUUUUCUUCUUUGUAUCUUUAAUUGCUGCAUCCGAGCCGUGGGUCUUUCAAAAAUAGCCUCUCUACCUCUACGAGGUAGUGGUAAGGUCUGCGUACAUUAUAUCCUCUCCAUACCCCACUUUUGGGAUUUCACUGGGUAUGUUGUUGUUAAUUUCUCUCGACAGAAUGUACAUAUAUUCUUUUGGUGUGGUUUAUCUCAUGAAAGAAGAAAAAACGACAACAAAUUUUUUCCGAGUCUGAGAGUUGGUGUAGCAAAGGGAAGAGAAAGUUACUGUUCGUACUGCAGUGAAUCUAGUCAUUAUCUACUUUCUUUUACUUUGGAAAUUUGGGGGCUUAUUAUUGCUGUUAUUUGAUUAGUUGCUUAGUACUCAAGGGUUUAUUUCCUAGUUGUUUUGACUUCUCUUGUUUUGUUUUAAUAAGCUUCUUGAUCGAGAGAGUUGGGUAUCUUACCUUGUUUAGGGCUAUAGCUUUAGAUUCUUAUCAUAUGGAUACAAUUGCGGAGCAUGCAACCAUUUUUAGUGAAGAUAUUUUUCAUUUGGGCUUUUAUCUUUUCUUUUUUUAAUAUAGAGGCAUUAGGGUUUUCUUAAAAGGAUUUUCUAUAGUUUUCCUUUAAUAAGCUAGUUUGAAGUGAUUCAGAGUAAAACUUCUUCCUGCCACACUUUUGCUUCAUAUGUAUAGAGUUUUUUGGUACAUCUAUAUAGAGUUCCUUUUAGGGAUGAAAUUGUGUUUCAACUAUAAAAUAAGUGGACCGUGAACGCACUCAACCCCAAAAGUUGAAGUGUAAGGAUUGUUCAAGACUAUAUAUGGAGACAACAACUCAUCCCCUCAACCAAUGCGGACAGUCACACCAACUAUUCAUAAAUGAUGAGACAUUUCGCUUGUCCCUUUUAAUUUUAUGUUGAGAUUCGAUAAAAGUUAAUUGUGAAAGUAAUUGUACUUAAAUUUGUCAUGCUAGAAAUUGCCGCCGGAAAUAUGUGAACUUGUACAAGAUAAAACUGAAAUGCCUUCGACAAGAUCAGGUUAGUGACUUUAAACCCAGUUGCCUAUCAGUUUUUUAAAGUUAUAUAUACCUGUGUUACGCAAAUUCUUUAAAAGUUAUGUUUCUCCCAUAAAGGGGAAAAUAAUAACGAGAGAGAUUAAGAAAUCUGGAGGAUUCUAUGAGUGAAAAGAGUUGAAGAACAAGGGAUGUCUCAUAUACUCCCAUGGGAAACUGCCUAACGAAAUAUAUCUCUGAUUGCUUGCAGUUUUUGUAUCCCACGUUCUUUGUUUUGCAUUUGCAGUGAUACACUGACAAUUCUUCAUCAAGAUGAAAACUGACAUAGUUUUCCCUACAAAUAAAUAUAGACUAACCUCUGUUCCACUUUAGUUUCAAAAUUAUAUAGACUAACCAUUUAUUUUUCCAAAAAUCUAUUUUUCUCCCAUUGCCUACCUUUGAAUGCAGCUUGUUGCAAGAACUGUGGCAACAAGUUUCUAAUAUUUCUCCAGACACUAACACUCUGUGGAGUAGAACCCAGAUUUGACACCAUAUAUUCAUCCACCCAAAUUUUUAUAAUUUCCUUUCCCCAUAAAACCUCAACUUUCACAUUUAAUCUCCUCAACCAUUUCAUGAGAAGACUCCUAUUUUUAUUCUUUUUUGAAACUGGUAACUGUGUAUACAUUUUAUAAUGAGCAAAAUAGUACAUGGUUCAUACUGAUUUACAGAAGUACUCCAAAACUCUACUGUCCUAUACCUGUAUUGAAAUUAAAACAUCAACAAUAGAAACAAAAUCAUUUGAGUAUAACUAAUUACACCAAAAAAAACACAGGACAAGAGACAAUUCAACUUGAGCUUCUGCAUACCAUUUCUGCAUUCUCAAAACAUCUAGAGUUCCUCUCCUUCUAGAUUGUCCACUAGAUGUUGGCUGGGAAAAUUCUCCGUCUACUUCUGUUCUUAGCCUGACCUGCUUCCUCCCAACACUUAAGAGUGUCUUACACUUUUCUACGCAUAGUCCAUGAUAUGCCUUUGAGGUUUAAGAAUAUUCUCCAAAGUUGUCUUGUAUUCGUGCAGUGUGGGAAUAUAUGGUUAAUUGUCUCUUCCUUUUCACCAUAAAAGGAACAUCUGGAACAUAAUGGGAUUCCUCUCCUCAUCAAUUUAUCCUGUGUAAGGGUUGCUUCCUUAUCCAGAAGCCACACUAAGCAAGCUACUUUGUGUGGUAUUUUGGUUUAACAAAUAUGUUUCCAAGGACAGUUGUUUAACUGUUGAUUGGAGUGGUUCAUCAUUCUGUAAUCUGCAUAAACCUUGAAAGAGCCACUGUUAUUACCCAGCCACCAAAAUACAUCUUCUCCUGUCUGAAGCCCCCUGAACUGUUCAGUUGUGCUAAAAAAUUCAGCCACACUUUGAGUUUCCCAGUCAUUAAACUGUCUUCCGAAAGUAAAGCCCCAACCUUGAGGUGUCCAAAGUUCUGCUAUAGUUCUUUGUUGGUGUAGAAGUAGAUUGUAUAUAUCUGGAAAAAGCAUUUCUAGACUGCCAACCUCAUGCCAUUCAUCCUUUUAAAAGUGAGUGUUUCCCCAUUAAGCACUUUCAUCUUGGUAUUGGUCUUGAAUUCACUCCAUAGCUCUCUAAUGGAUCUUCAUAAGCUUAUCCCAUCAGGUGUAGUAACCUCCUGAGUCAUCCAUUUAUCGUCCUCGUCAUACUUUGAUUUAAUCCCCCCCNNNNNNNNNNNNNNNNNNNNNNNNNNNNNNNNNNNNNNNNNNNNNNNNNNNNNNNNNNNNNNNNNNNNNNNNNNNNNNNNNNNNNNNNNNNNNNNNNNNNNNNNNNNNNNNNNNNNNNNNNNNNNNNNNNNNNNNNNNNNNNNNNNNNNNNNNNNNNNNNNNNNNNNNNNNNNNNNNNNNNNNNNNNNNNNNNNNNNNNNNNNNNNNNNNNNNNNNNNNNNNNNNNNNNNNNNNNNNNNNNNNNNNNNNNNNNNNNNNNNNNNNNNNNNNNNNNNNNNNNNNNNNNNNNNNNNNNNNNNNNNNNNNNNNNNNNNNNNNNNNNNNNNNNNNNNNNNNNNNNNNNNNNNNNNNNNNNNNNNNNNNNNNNNNNNNNNNNNNNNNNNNNNNNNNNNNNNNNNNNNNNNNNNNNNNNNNNNNNNNNNNNNNNNNNNNNNNNNNNNNNNNNNNNNNNNNNNNNNNNNNNNNNNNNNNNNNNNNNNNNNNNNNNNNNNNNNNNNNNNNNNNNNNNNNNNNNNNNNNNNNNNNNNNNNNNNNNNNNNNNNNNNNNNNNNNNNNNNNNNNNNNNNNNNNNNNNNNNNNNAUUUUAACCCCCCCCCCCCCCCCCCAACACACACACACACACACAAAGACUGAUUUUCAGUAGUGAACUUCCAUAACCAUUUCAUUCUGAGUGCCUUGCUCUGUAUCUUCAGAUUCUUAAUUUCCAGUCCCCCAUAUCUCUUUCCAACUAGUGCUUAACCAAGCAAAAUGCUUUCUUUCUUUGUUCCGUUGUCUCUAAAAGUUCCUCCUGAUGCUAUCCAACCUAUUAAUGACCUCUGUUGGAAUUGGGAACACGGACAUCAUGAAUGUCGGGAGGGCAUCAAGAACUGAAUUAAGGAGAGUCAGUCUACCUCCCAGAGACAGAUAUUGAGUCUUCCACCUGUCUAAUUUCAGUUUACGUUCUUUGUCUUUACAACAAGGCAAGGGGGUGUGAUCAUUUAGACCUGCUUUUAAACCUCUUGAGUAAAUCUAUUACAACAGUUGUGCAGACAGCCAGUUUCUAGUUUGAAUACCUAAUCUAGUAUCAAUUUUUGCGCAAACUUUUAGGGGAAGGUACUAUUAUGAAAAGGCUGAAUUUUCUUUUUGUCCUGGGCUGCACAGUUGUGCAGAUAGCCAGUUUCUAGCUUGAAUACCUAAUCUUGUUUCAAUUUUGGCACAAACUUUUAGGGGAAGGUACUAUUGUGAAAGUGCUGAAAAUACUUUUCUGUUCUGGGCUGCACAGUUCCCUUGAGCUUGCAUUUUGAUCACUGUUUAUCUUUACUUUGAAUCUCAGGUGAUUGAUGUGGAUGUUCUUCAGAUGCUCGAGGAAAUAGAGAAAAAAUCUGAAGUGGGUGACAUCCUAAAUUACAGGUCUACUGCUGAACGUGAGUUACAGGUAUGUUUAAGUUUGAAAGAGCUAGUCAUUAUUGCCAAAAUUAUGUUGCAUUCCUAAUCGUUCUGCAUUUAGAAGAAUUAACUAGCUGAUAUGAUAAUAAUAGUUGGUGGUGUAAAUGUUAUCACUGGAGAUGGUGAAUAUAUGCAUGGUAUCAACCGAAAAUAACCAAGUCACAUUUUCUUUGAUAGGGCGAAAUAAUCAACCAAGUAACUUUGAUGUUCUAAGUUUUUUUUUUUUUUUUUUGGGGGGAGGGAGGAGGAGAGGGAGGCAACUGAAACUUUUAGAGUCAAGUUUACGCUCUUUCCUCCUCUUUCAAUAAGCGAGAAGGAAUCCACUUCUGAGAUGGAGAGAAUCCCGGGAUGCAUAUGCUCUUUAUAUGGUUAAAGAAAGAUGCAAUGAAGUGGUGGGGAUGGGCAGAGAAUAUGUCAUUUCAUCAUUUUGCUUCGUGUUUCAUUUCUUUUAAUUACUGUGGUGUUCGGUCUAGCUUGCACGCACCGCGAUUAUUGUAGGAGUACCUGCUAUCUCGCACCAACAUACGUACCGGGUAACUUUGUCUACCUAGACUUGGACAUAUGGGAAGAAAUCACCUACUUCCUCCGUUUUAAUUUGUUUGUCUUAGUUUGACUAGGCACAAAGUUGAAGAAAAUAAAGAAGACUUUUGAAUCCUGUGGUUUUAAACUAAAGAUAUGUAUAAUGUACCAUACCUAACUGCCCUUUAAUCUUGUGGUUUUAAAUAUGCCAUGUGAGAUGUUGGAAACAAAGAGUUGCCAAGUAAGUAUAGAGGCAUCAUUUUGAAAGAGACUAAAAAAGAAAAUAAGACACACAGAUUAGUGUGUCUUAUCAUUCCUUCUUUUUAGUUUACAAUGUUCGGAGAAUUACUAUCUAUAAGUAGUGAACUUUUUUUGGGGAGUGGGUCUCAACGUUUAUUUUUUCAUGCUUGUUGUAUUGCUAUUCUUCAUUUUUGUUGAAUAAUCACUCCCUUAUAUCCACACGCAAACACAUAAAUAUAUAAAUAAUUGAUUUCGCUGGGUCUACAGGAUAUUUUGUUGAAUUCAUCUUCGAGUAAUGUAAGCAACAUUGUCAAUACUGUUAAACCUAUGGAGGAUGAGCAUAUGUCCAGCAAGCCUCGUGGAUGGUUAAAUUGGCUAUCACGUGGCAUGCUUGGUGCUGGAGGAACUGAUGAUUCUAGCCAAUUUUCUGGUGUUAUUUCUGAUGAUGUGGUCAAGGUGAGCCUUAUCACUCCUUUUCCCUUUACUUCCCUAUCUCUGCAUUGCCUAUAAUAAGCUAAAAAAGGGUAAAUAAGCAAAUAUUAUAUUGUCUGUUGUUCAUAAUGGACUGUUUAGUUCUGAAGUCACGUGGAAUCAAUAUAAUUGACAUAUUCUCAGUAUGAACGAAAGUAGGCAUAGAAACUUACAUACUACUACUUCUUUUUUGAUGAAAAGAAACUUGCAUGCUUUUUGUGGGGCUUACCUUGCGCCCUGUACUUUCUCCACCUGCAAACAUACCAUUUUCUGAAUAAACUUUUGUACUCGUCGGAGUGGGAUAAUGACUUCAAAUUUCACACAGUUACUAUAACCCAAGAUCUAGUGUGGUCAAUGUCCACUAUUACUAUAUUGUGGACAGUGGUAAAAAGGUAGCUCUUACCUCAAAUUUGGGGACACGUGGCCUUGAUUAAAACAAAUGGUAGAUCUAGUGAGCAGUGCUGGGAUUGUUACCACAUUAAUGGUGUACUUAAUUGCAUUUUGGCCGAGAAGCUAAAUGUGUUAAAGAAAACCUGAAAGAAGGGAACAAUAAGAUUCCUGGAAUCUUCAAAAAAGAAGUAGAAAAGAAUGACGUCCUGUAAAGGUUACUAAUACUUAAUAGACUGGCAGGAAGUAUGGUAUUAACAAAAGAAUUCUCUCAAAGAAAAGAGGUAGAGAUAGCAUUUACUUCAUAAAAAAAGAAUAGAGGUAGAGACUAGCUACACAAGGUGGCAAAAUGUGAAGAAAUCAUAGGAGGCAGAAAUCAAGGUGUUAGUGGUUAAAAUAAGGCAACAAAAGCACUAGUAUCUGUAUGAAGAUGACCAGUAUGCACGGACAAUAUGAAGCACACUGAAAGACCCUAGAAGCCAAAGAGCAACAACAACAUACCAGUGUAAUCCCACAAAAUAGUGUCUAGGAAGGGUAGAGUGUACGUAGACCUUGCCCCUACCUUGUAGGUAGAGAGGUUUUUUCCGAUAGACCCUCGGCUCAAUGGUAGAUAGUAUCCCACAAAAUAGUGGCUAGAGAGGGUAGAGUGUACGUAGACCUUACCUCUACCUUGGAGGUAGAGAGGCUUUUUCCGAUAGUCCCUCGGCUCAACGGCAGAUAAUAUCCUACCGUUAACAACUGAGAUGUGAAGUGAAUGCCUAGCAAGGUGGUGGGUGGUGGUUCUGCCACUCGAGCGUCUGAACCUGCAUUGUUAAUUACAGCGCCCCCCACAAAAGGGACAUGAGUACCGUGGAAUAACACUUGUAUGAUAAGGCAGACAAAAUAACAUAAGAUAGGCAAUAAAGCUCAUGAAUAUAGGGGCAUAAAACAUGACAUAGUGGUAGCGUAGGAAAGGUAAGGAACAUCUUGUAGUUCAUUAUGCAUAUUAUCUUUCUUAGUCCUUUUUGAUGACAUUAUUAUCUUUAAUUUCUGGGAUACUAUCUGCUGUAUCCGGGCCUUCAUGCUUAACACAGCCAUAAUAAAAUAGUGGAAUACUAUCUGUCGUAUCCCAGCCUUUGUGCUUAGCAUGGUCACAAUAUACCGGUGGGAUACUAUCUGCCAUAUCUGUCCAAUUUUGUAUAAUCUGCACAUGCAAGUUAACAUCCACAUUUCGUAGUAAGAUACUAGUGGAUCAUUCAAAUACCAAACUUUUAUAAUACUGUCCAAUCUUGCACAAUCUCUCAUCCAACUUUUGAGGUGCAUUUCUAAGUAGAGAAAAUGGAUUAGGUAAGUUGAAAAAACAUGGAUAACAUCCAUUGUUUGCAUUUAUGUUAGAUUUGCUAUAUUCCUGAUAAAAAAUGUUAGACCAGAUGUUUUUUGUGUUAUUAAACUGGGGAGAUCAACAAUCACCUCUUCCUACAUCGUAAAUUCACUGCUCAACUUUGGCAUAUGUUCUUCUCUAUCACCAAGACUGAAUGGACAAUGCCUGAGCAUACAGCUGAUCUAAUGAGCUGUUGGAUCAGAAGAGGGGGGAGCAAGAGUCGGAAGAAGUGGUGUAGGAUAAUCCCAUCCUGCAUAUGGUCGUCAGUGUGGAAGGAAAGAAAUGGGAGAUGCUUUGAAGACAAAUCAAUGCCCAUCCAUGUUGUGAAAGGGAACUGCCUAUCCACACUGUUUUUUUGGUGCAAAUGAAAUUGUAUAGAGGAAAUAGAAGAUCUUGUAGAUUUCAUUGGCUCUCUGUAAUCUAGAUUUUAUUUUUUCUUCCUCUUGUAACACUUUUUGAGGUAGCCAGCAUUCCUUAAUGCUGAGGAAUACAACAGUACCAUUUAUAAAAAAAGAAGAAGUUAGUUUUACUAUAGUUUAUAAAGGGUUGGUAUUUGCAUUAACGUGAUGAAUUUCAACUUUUGACCAAAAUACUUGCUGACACUUUUUUUUAACAGGAUAUAUAUGAAGCUACUAAGUUCCAGCCUGUUCUAUCACUGGAUGAUGAUGCUCCUGCAGACAAUCAAAUCUAUUUCUCUUCAUUGAAGUUCAACAUCAAACAAGUUUCUGCUAGUAUACGGAGCAUGUAGGGUGUGAUGUCUUACUUGUAAAAGACAAACUUAUCUGACACUAAAUCUACAUUUUUCCUUUUCUGGUCAUUAUGGUUCAAAAUUUAAGUGGUUGAGUUUUGGAAAUCAUUCUUGUGGUUUUAAAGCUAUACUCAACUGUUUCAAUAGCCUUUCUCCUUGUUCUUUUAAAAGAUUUAGCUCUCCUCAAAAGCAUAACCUGCCAACCUGGGGACCUACUUUGAAUUAGAAAUGGACAAGCAAUGGAGACACUUGCUUUAUUUGCCACCUCUUUCUAUGGGAUCAUAGGAUACACUUCAUACAAAGUUCCUUUCCUUGAAGCCUCUCCCUUUCUUUACAUAUGUCAGUGAUGUCUCUGGUGUUACUGAAUACAAUAAAUAGACUAAUCAGUUCAAAGACGAUAUGUGUGUUUGUCUUUUCUUGAUCCUUGGCCUGCUACCUAUUUUAUGCUGAUUAUUGUUUUAUGGAGUACAUGGUAUUGACCUGAAGUGAGUUGAAAUGGAUUAACACGGGGAAUGAUGAUUCACAUAGUCGACCCUCACUUGUUCUUGAUUUAUAGUUGUAUUGAUUUAUGUUAUGGUGCACUUACAAGUUGCGCUUCUGUUUUAUUUUCUAGGAAGCUGGGUUAUGCCAUUGCCUGUUUGGUACUUGAUGGGAUUUCUGUUGGGUGUGAGACUUGGGAGGAGGCUGCUGUUAUCAUUGCUGAAAUAAACUCGGUCAAGAUGCUUAAUCCAUUCAGCAAACAAGUCGUUUUACGAACAAGGGUUAGUCUAUGUUAAAGAAGUUAGUAAUUUUGAGUGACAUGUUCAUAUUCAUGUUACUUCCAAUUGCACAUGCAAGUGUACGUGGUUGCGCAAGGAAUAUAGUGGCUCUAAAAGAGCUGGAUUAUCAAAUCCAAAGGAAUUGUCGAUUAACUAUUCUAAUGAAUUAUACUAGUCUAAUUAUUCAUUCAAGCGUGCCAAAAGAGUUUAAUUUAUAAUGGAAUAUUAAGAAUGCAAGAAUAAAAUAAUAAAAUUACUUCCAAUAAGUGGGAUAAUUCCAGGGCUGCAGUGUGCUUAAGGUUUCAUGCAUCACAUCUCAUGCAUGAAUUAACUACGGUUAUCAACCAACAUGGGUUGUGGUGCACUGGUGGGAGUGCUUCACCCUUAACCAGAGGUCUCGGGUUCGAGCCCUGGGUAUGGAGAAAAUCCUGUUGGGAGAGCCACCCCUAAAUGGGCCCUGCAGUGCGCGAUUCGGAUUUAGUCGGAGCUCCAAUGUGAGCUCCGAACACCGGGUGGGAAACCAAAAAAUAACUACGGUUAUCAAAUAACUGAUUUACAUGGUUGAUUUUAUGAUCAUGAUCUCUCGACCUCUAAUCGUGUACUUCAAUUGACUGUCUAACUACAUCAUUGAGCGGGUAUAGACAGUACUCAAUUGACAAGCAUUUAUAUUUCACCCCGUUUAGUAACCAAGCUCGGUGUUCGUCCGAGUGUCAAUCCUAAACACGAAUCUGAACAAGUGAUAUGUAAGAGAGAAUGAGCUCUUUGUAUUCUUUUGUCUAUCUACCUUUCUGUCUCUCGAGUUCAAGAAUAGACAAUAUAUUUAUCUCUAUAGUUAUCAAACAUGAAAUACUAAAACAAGAAUACAAAAGUAAUUUAAGCGACAACCAACAUUAAUUCAAAACAAUCAAUGUUCAACAAUUACCCGUAGCUACAACUCCAGAACAAGGGCCUUGAACUACUAAUGUCUAAUAAAAGAAGAAAAAGAAAAAAAACCCUACAAAGUAUUGACAACUUUAUACUUGAUGCUCCAUAAUAUUUAUUCCUAUGGACUAUUUAUAGAUGUAGAAAUCCCUUAAUAAAAGAAUUGAGUCCAAAACAAAUUGAGAACCCAAAACCAACAGGAAUUGGGUUCAGGCUGAAACAGUUCAACCGCCUCAACAAUUAGCACCUUUCAUCAAUUGGCAAGUGCCUUCAGAAAUUGCCACGUGUCAAUGAGUAAAGACCAUCAAUUUGCUUUCUUUAAUUUCAGCCGACUUUGCAUAUCAUAUAUCAUAUAUAUAUAUAUAUAAAAGAGAACCUUAUGCCCGCCUAGGCGCCACCACAAACUAGAAUUUUCUUUUAAUUUAUUUAUUUACAAAACUAGCCUUCCCCUUCCAUGAAAAGUUGUGACUUUUAUGAAAAAGUUGCGACUUUAAUGAAGAGUUGCGACUUUUAUGAAAAGUUGUGACUUUUAUGAAAGUUGUGACUUUUAUAAAAGUUGCGACUUUAAUGAAGAGUUGCGACUUUUAUGAAAAGUUGUGACUUUUAUGAAAGGUUAUGACCUUUUCGAAGGGUUGCAACUUUUUUCCAAAUAGUUGUAACAUUUACGACAAGGCACAAUAAACAUUUGUUCACACUACCCUUUGUUGUCUAUAAAUAGAGGGAUUUCCUCUCAUUUUAAUUUUAAAACAACAAAAAUUCUGAACCUCUUCUUCUUCUUCACAAUUAAAUAUUUGUGUACUUUGCUCCUGUUGAGUGACUCACUGACACCAUUGCUUAUGUUACAGAUUCUGGUAUGUAUUUUUAUAGUCAUUUAUUUAUGCUUAUGUUACUAAGGAUAAAUGAUAAGAUGUAAUAAUUUUCAUUUUCUUUUACGUUAUUAAUGUUUGUUACAACAUAAUCUUAUGUGUAAGAUAAUAUAGUGUUUUGGUUUUAAUGACUGAUAGGCUUUAAGUAUCAUUUUAUAAAUUUCAUGAUAUUAAAUUUCCGCACAAAGCGCAGGUAAUUUUACUAGUAUAUAUAUAUAUAUAUAUAAAUAUUAAUAUAAUAUUCAAUUUAAUUCAUUAAGCUGUCUGCUUGAUUUCCUUCUAUAAUCAUCCAUCUUUAAUUAUUUUAGCUCCAAACUUCUUCAUCUUUAAACCAAUUUACUUCUACAUAAAAUACACUAUUUAGCACAAUUCAUAAAACUCGUGCUCAAAAAGGACAAAUACAAAUAAUAAAUGUGAGGCAAAUAAUUAUUAAAAAUAUAUAUUUUUGGCCUCGCAUCAAGAAGAUUACUGGCUUGAUAACAAUUUGAAAUCUUUCCUUCUGAUAUUUCCACUGUACUCAUUUUGUGGCUCAUGAACUUAAUGGAAAAGGGUCAAAAAUGCCCUUGAAGUAUGGCAAAUUAAACAAAAAUGCUCUCAAUUAAUAGUUUGGUCUUAUAAUGUCUCUGCCGUCAAUAGUUGUGCAUCUUUGACCCCUAUGAACUAGGUGGCUAGUUAAUUGUCUCUAUGUUUGCUUGUAUUUAUGCAUACGCCUCACUUCUUGCAACUAAUUAAGAUUAUAUUUGUUUAUAAACUGUUAUAGCUUAAAAUGCUUUGGUUACCUUAGGUAAAUUCUGAUCGAGGAAAGCCCAAAAUUCAUCAACCUUCUCUAAGUUUCCAACUUGACAUGUCGCGUCUAAAACAGGAUUCUACUUUAUCUGUAAAGGUAUUGUCAUCUUCUUUGCUUUUACAAUAUUUAAGUCAGUUGCAAACUUUUUACUAUCACCACAAUGUUAUGCAGCUGUUAUAAGUUAUUUAAUUAUUGAACAGGAGGUUUUUCAGAGAUUGACAUCCUAUAACUUUGUAUAAACAGGCCUCUGUCCAGCCACUUCAAAUUACUUGUGAUCUAGAGUGUUUCAAGAAUAUUAUGAGUCUUUCUUCCCUUUUGGAACACUCUUGUUCUCUGCAGGACAGGGUAAGUAUUCAAGCUAUUGUGAUUGUUUUACUUAGAACUCCAUAAAAUUUGAUACUUCUGAGAUCUCUGGAUAGUCGUCUUAUUUUCACUUUGGCCUCCAGGUUAAUCCACUGAUCACCAAAAUUCCAUUUCAUCGUAUAACAUACAAGUUACUACUUAAAACAUGACAUUUUGUUUAGUGGUGUUCAACGUCAAUGUGUUACAUUCAUUUGGUAAUUGAUUUCUGAUUGCCUUUAUAUCAUUUUGCAUGAAUGUUUCUUAUCAUAAUGAAUAUCAUACAGUGGGUGUUCUAACAGUGACAGAGAACAUCAAUUUACUUUGCGAUUGGGAGCUAAUGCAACAAGUAUAAGAGUGCAGAAAAGAUGCAUAAAAUAAUUUUGUGAAUGGAUACAACUAUUAAUAGAAGUCAAGGACAGUGUGUAUAUAAUAUUUGUAGAAGCAGAAAAUAUAUAGAUUCUAGACUUAACUUUCUCUACUAUAACCGGGCACAUCUUCUAUAAGUUAAGGCGUAAACUAAUCAGAUCUCAGCUUUAAAACAAAAAUGUAAUUUAGCCAGAACACUUGGGAGAAGUUUGAUGAUUUCUAACUCAAAUUCUGACUUACUUAUAUAACUGUUGGAGUCCCACAUCGGUGGGUUAAGGGCCUUUUGGUCUCAUUAUAUGGUCUUGGGCAAUGCUCCCCUAGUUUUUGGGAUUGAGUUAGCUCCCAAGUUUCAUUCUUUAACAAUAACUAACUUAUAAGUUACAUACGAACAUAUCCUCAAACGUAAGUUAAGAAAGAAAUUUGCUAACUUUGAAUCAGAGCAAAUAGUUGGCAAAAUAGUACUGAUGGAGCACUUGGAACAACUUAUCGGAAGUUCACUAGAAUGUUGCUAAAAUGUUAUACCAAUUUUUGUGGUAGCAUCUCCUUUUUAUGGUCAUUUUUGCAACUUCUUUUUGGGAGAUCUUUUUAACUAUACUAUUUUUUCUUAAAUCUCCCAAACAAAAGAUGCAAAAAUUGACCAGAAUAAGGCGAUGCCUUUGCAGAAGUUACAGGUCAGGGCCCAAAUACUAUUGGAACAUUCACCUAAUCUGAAGUGUUGGUCGCCAAAACAAUCUUUUGCAAUAGACAUUGGCGUCAGACGAUCACUAGAAAUAGACAUCGUGACUUAGAAAUUAUCAAAAGAAAUGAGACGUACACUGCUGGGAUUGUCAGUGAGAAUGAGAGUGUCAUCGGAAUGGUAACUUAGAAAAGAAGCAAUGCCAGAACAGUCACCAGAAAAUCAUAAAAACGGAAAAUUUUAGAAAACCUUAUUAUUGAUGGAUGCUUUACGUCUCUACCAAAAUCGUAGAUGCUCUGAUAUCAUGUUAGGAAAAUAAAAGAGAGGAGAGACAUUGAUGAUUUGAUGAAUGUGUAACCAAAUUAUAGAUGUCAAACACAAUGUGGGACAAUAUUCAACUUUAAAAUUGAACUGUCUUCUAUUAAAACUCUUUUAACCUUCUAAUACCUAAACUAGUCAUUACAUUGUUUAAUAAGGCAAGGCUUUACAUGCUAGAUGGUGUUAUAACUUGAUAGUGUUCCAUGUUACAGAUUCUGUCAUCCAUCAACAGAAUUCAAAAUACGACUGCACGACUUCAGACUAAAAUUGAGUAAGUAUAUCAAGUAAGCUCAUCUAUUUAGUAGAUAUUCUUGCCUCCUAGUCAAAGACAUGGAUUUUACUUUGAUAUGCGAUAUGAUUAUACUGAUACAAGACAAUUUGAUAUCCGUGAUAAUUCUGCUGCCUUGCUGCUCUUCCUAUGUUUUAUGUUUCUCCGCAGGCAUGUCUUAUCAAAUCGCAAGACUGUUACAUGGAAUGUCCAUAUAUUGGGUAUUGCCAUCCUUGUUCCUGGUGGAGGUGCAGAUUCUGACAUGCCGAAAAUGGUAAUUCUUCCAUGCCAUUGCUGGUGCAUUAUCCCCAUUCCCCCAUUAUUUGUCUACCCAAUGUCCUUCAGCUUUUCACUUGCUCUAGGGCUUUCUUCCUACCUUGUUAUUCUUUCUAGGUCCGAAACAGCUCAUAUUUUCUAUUCAAGUUUGGUAGAUUCGAUUUGCAAUUCCCAAUCACAUGUAUAUUUGUGUUCUGUUCCCUAAAUGAAGUUGUAGUUAGAGGAUUUCACAUCUACAAAUUUGGGACCGUUUAGAGGAGAUUUUGAUUUGGUCCGAAUUGAAUAUUCAGUGUAUAUUUCAUGUAUAGUUAAACUAAAUUCAAUUUUUUGAGUGUAUCGUAAGGAAUUGUUAGUGUAUAGCUCAUGUAUAGUUAAGCUAUAUUUAGCUUUUUAAUUGUAUCAUAAUGUAUAGUCAGUGUAUACUUUCUAUCUUUUUUUGACUAUUUUUUAUGUAAAUAAAAACAUGGCUAUAUUUAUUGUUGACUAAUUACUUUAUUGUAUAUAUUUGAAACUAGCCCAAUAAGAUAUUGGGUUGCCCUCCAGUAAUUUUAUUGUGAUCCAUUACUUGCAUGGUGUGAUUGACCAAUUUAUGAUUGAGAACUGGAAGGCUUCAUUAUUUCGAUGUAAUUAGUGCAUUUUCAGUGGCCUAAAAUUUCUAGUUUGGGCAGGUACUUGAAGCAGGGGAAUUAACCUUUGGGUCUAAAGGUGACAGAGAUACUUUAUUAGCAUCGCCUCUUUGCACUAGUAAUGUUGUCUUGGGUUGUCAGCUUCAAGAUCUCUAUGAUCACUUUGAGAUUAACAUUAGUGAUCUUGAGGUUAGUCAUUUGCACUUUGAUAUUCAACUUCCUCGUAUGGUGUAAAUUAAGUGAUUCUGUUCUGCAGGUAAAACUUUUAACUUCAAAUCCCUCUAGAACUAUCCCCCUUCUGGAGAAACUUUGUACCAAUAUCAACUUGACAUUGUGCAUUAUUGCUGAUGAAUCAGAGUUGAAAAAUUGUGAGGUAAGUGAAUCAUUUUGAUGACUAUUUUUCUAUAUGUUGUGAUAGCAAUUUGAUUUUUGGUUUCCAAUAGUCUGUUACUUUUCUCCAGAAAUCAUAGGCUCUUAAUUCUUAAGCCUUUAUUUGUUGUCGUGUAAUUGAAAUUGAUGGAUAUUGCUGGUGGUGCAAGGAUCUAAUUUAGUCGACAAACUAUUUCUUGCCUCUAUGUUUUUUUGAUUUUGCACCGGGUGUCCGAGUCUCUUUGAGCCCCGACUAAUCCCGGGGGUGCACAGGCCCUCGGCAAGGAGUUUCCCGCAAGUGCACCACGGUUAAUUCAGGUUUUACCCAGUCCGAUGGCCCUCAGAAAUUGUUUGCACCCAGUGGGUUUCGAACUUGAGACCUUGAAAGGGAGCAAACCCCAAGGCUCAAGUCAAUUGCCAGCAGGCCAACCCCUGAGGGUUAAUUUCUUGCCUCUAUGUUCUUGACUGGUAAAAAGGAAAAAAGUUUAACUGCUAAAUGUACAUAUUAAUUGUUUCACCUUUAGGUUCAUUGUUUUUCUUGCCUUCAAGAUACUAAAGAUGCUUGUUUUCCUUCUCCUGCAUUGGAUGGGCACAGUUCAAUGUGGGACAGAAGAGCUAAUGAUCCACACUGUUCAGUUUAAAAUUUGAAAGCAUGUAGACUCCAACUUAAUUGAGUAUAGUUGCUUUUAAUUUAAAGAACGCAUAUUAUCAAGGUUUCUCAACAUUUCUAGACUUUUAUUUUACUAUCGGAAAAUAGUCAAAAAUGUCCUUAAACUAUGUGAAAUUGAACAAAAAUGUCCUCCGUUAAUAGUUUGGUCCAAAAAUGCCCAUAUUGUUACUUUUUGGUAAACAAUUACAAAUAAACAUAUUGUGUCUUUCUUGUCAAACAGAUAAUUUUUUAAAAUAAUGUACUACUUUUAAAGAACUUUUUUCUUAUUUUUUUCUUUUAAAAUCCUAUUAACUAAUAAUCUUUUUUCUUCUUAAUCUCCUUUUAUCAAUAAAAAAAAUAGAAUUACCCCAUAUACAUUUUCAACUAAUAAUAUAGGUCAUAUAUAUAUAUAUACAUAAAAGAUCCUUAUAGCUUCAUCUUAAUUUUCAUUUAUAUAGUGAAUAAAAAAAUUUCCUAAUAAAAUAGAUUUUCUUUUUCAUAUUCUUUUCCGAAUUGAAGUAGGAUAAACAUUUGCUAGUAUAUUCCUUGAUUUUAAAUAUAACAAAAAAAAGGGUCAACAAUAACUCCAUCGACGAUAUUUAAAGAUAUUUUGUGAUUUGAAGCAAUGUAACAAUUUUUUGUGUUUUGUGGCAUUAUGAUUGUUGUAUCUUAACUUUAAAACUGUAUAUUAUAUUAACAAAUUUUUAUCCUUCUUCAAUUAAUUUUUUUUGUAAAGACAUAAACAUAUUUCCUAUUUAUUAGAAUUUUUGUUAGUCGUUAUUUAAAUGAAAAUUAAUGAUGGAUUACUAUGAUCUUAUAUAUAUGAUAAUUAAUGAUGAGUUACAAUAUUUUUGUUAGGAAAAAAAUGUUUUUCAAAAGAAAAGAAAUAAUAUGUUUAUAAGGAAAUGAGUGUUUUUGACCAAAAAAUAACUAUAGGGGCAUUUUUGGAUCAAAGUAUUGGCAGCAUGGGCACUUUUGGACCAAAGCAUUGACAACAGAGGCAUUCUUUGACCAAAGUAUUAACGGAGGAUGUUUUUGUUCUAUUUCACAUAGUUUAAAGACAUUUUUUAUCCUUUUCCAUCUAACUAUUAAAGGUGUAUCAUUGAAAGUUUCUCAAUAAUGGAUAUUGUAUAUGUCCAGUUUGCGGCCAUGUUUAUGAAUAUAAAUACAUUUACCUGAUAAUUUUUUUUAAGAGGUGUCUGUUUUACUUGUUUUGCUUACUUUAGGACGGUUUAUCCUUCUUUUAUUUAAAUCUUAAUAACUCUAGCUUAUUACCAGAUGCUUUCUUUUAUUUUUGUGUUUUGACCCGUGAUUAAUUUUAUUGAUAACAAUCCUUCUGCAUUUGGUGUACUUCAUUAUAUAUACUCUCUUUGUCUCAAUUUAUGUGACUUACUUUCCUUUUUGGUCAGUCCCAAAAAGAAUGACACAUUUUUAUAUUAAGUAACAAUUUAACUAUAAAAUGUUUAUUUUACCCUUAAUGAAAUGAUUUAUGGCCACAUAAAUUUCUAUCAUUCAUUUUGGACCACAAGUUUUAAAAGUCUUCCUUUCUUUCUUAAACUAUGUGCCGAGUCAAACUACCUCACAUAAAAUGGGACGGAGGGAGUAUUAAAGAUGAUGAGAUGUACUGUCAUUUGUUUACAAAGUGGAUUAUUAGAUUUUAUAUACAAGAUACCCCAGAUAGGUAGUUCCGAUUUUCCUACCAAAUAGUGACAAUUUGACCCAUAAAAGAUUUCUCAUGCUAGAUAUUUCCUUCAUCAUUAAUACGUUACCAGUUUCAAGAAGAAAUAUUUCCUUCAUCAUUAAUCAUUCUUCUGCUUAAAAUCUUUAUUUUCAAAGUAUCUCAUACCUACAUAUGUCCACCGACUCCCAUGUCGUUUUUUUUGGUUUGGAUAGUAAAUAAUUUUAUUUAUGUGGGGAAUGGAAAUGAAAGAAAUCUUAGCUGCGGUUGGGUUUGGAUCCGUUUGAUGGGCGUCCCACUUACUGCUAGCAUGAAGUGGUCAAGGAGAGAGGAGAUUUCUGUGGAGGGUAGAUUGAGAGUGAAAAGGACAUUUCUUUGAAAAAAUCAUUUUAGAUGGCCCACAAUCAAAGUGAAAGGAGAUGGUGAUAACAUACCCAAGGAGGUAGAAGUGGAAUGUGAUGGAGUUUAUAUAAUCCCAAUCUAGUGUGAAUUUCAGGCACAUGUGCUCAUCGAUGGAGUUGCUGAGAAUGUGGUCUUGUCGGUUAAUACCCCAAAUACCAAAAAUGAUACACGUGAGCUAGGUUUAGACUCUUCUUUAUUAUGUACCUGCACAAUUUUCUAAUGAAGCCGAAUAAAUAUUGCUUAGAGAUUCGAGGGUGCAUAAUAUUCAAAAGCCAUGUCAUAACAAGAGAAUUAUCGGAAUCCCAUAGUUAGGGUCAGCUAUGGCAGGUGCUUUCUUUUCACCAGUUAUAUACCCAAUUAAUUUUUUAGAUUUAAUAAAAAUUAUGCAAGAUCUUGACCAAACACUACCGGCAUCAUCUAAUUUUACAACAUUGAUUUUGAGACCGAAGUAUUAUCUACCGUCUUUGCAUCCUCCACUGAAGAAAUAAUGGUCCAAAACAAUUUUCAAAUUCGAACAAUAGUACUUCUCAAUCUGGACUUCCAACGAUAAGGAGAGACAACAAGCUUUCAGAUCUGCACUUCAGUAAGGAAGAACUGUAGCUGGCACACUAGAAUAUCACUUCUAGUACUUGAAAAGUGAUGAAACCGGGAUGGAUAGGCUCAGAUUUAGCUGGCGAAACCAAGGAAGAAAGAAUAUCUCCUAGACAUUAUCAGAAAGUGGUCCACUCGCUGGCGCGUGAGAAUGAUGUGUAGCUGAAGUUAGAGCUUUCAAUAGCGCAUGCCGAGGUCUUAGAUGGAGCUGCUGACUGGGUUUUUGUUGCCGGUGGUAGAGGAAACCUGUGUUGUUGGUGUUUUAUGUAAAACACUGCUCGAGAGAUAACCAAGGGACAACUUGUUUAGGUCACGAAAAAAAAUGCUCAAGGGAGGUUACUCAAUCUCAUGCUACAAAUAGUGUUGCAGAGGGAGAAAACUCAUCUCAAAUAGGCAACAAUGGCUCUGUUCCAAUGAAGAUUACAAGAAAAGAAAAUUUUCUUUGUAUUUCUUGAUGAUCUUUACAUCCCAUGAGAAUGAGUGCUCAAACAUUGAGUCCUAAGACUAAAUAAGGAAAGACAAUCAAUUACAAUAUUCUAUAAUUAAUUUACUCGUAUAAUUAAACUACAAAAUCUCUAAUCAAUAAAACAUAGAGCCAUCUAAAUAGAACUCUUUGGAAGAAAUUGAAGACUCAUCAUUACCAACUCUUCUAAAAUGUCACAUAGCCAUAAACAACAUGAGGAUCCAUUUUAACAACAAAAAAUUGAUAUGAUUCAUUAGUUUGUGGUUGUAUUACUGCUUACAAAUUAUGGCUUGUGCGAGGCUUGUUCAGAGUUGAAUGUAUUAGCAAGGGACUAUAGGGGAGGUGCUUCUGGGAUGGAAAUUCAGAAGCACGAAUAGGAGAGCAUGGGAAGUAGCUCUUCUAGCAUUCAUAUGGACAAUAUGAAAAUUAGAAAUAGGUAAGCCUGUAAAUGGAUGGAAAUUCUUGAUUACAGACUAGUGGAUUAUUUUCUUUUCUGAAUUUGGUAAAACACUCUCUAUGUUCCUGUUAGUGUUCAUAAAUGGAUGCUUUUUUUAGAGAAUCAUGUCUUCUGUAAGAUGCUUGAUGUUGAAGUACUAUCAUCUUUGAAUCUACGUUCAAGAUCAUGUGGUGCUUUGAUGAUUCUCAAACUAUGUACAAGAGACAGUUUAUAUGAAGAAAGAAGACUGAAGAAUGAAGAAUGACGAAUGAAGUUUCAAGAACCAUGUCCUCAGUGAGAUAGAUCUCUAAGAAGAAGUGAAGAAAUUAACAAAACCGUCAGAGGAAGUCAUUAGAGAAUAUGUUCCUCUGGGGUAGCAUGAGAGACUAUCAAGAAUGAAGUUGUUUCACAUCUGCACUAGGAAGUAGGAAUCAUUGGAGAAUUGUAGUACGGUAGAAUUCAAUUCGACAAGGAACUGAAAUUCUAUACAUGGAAAGCUAUCAUACAUUAUGCACAUGGAAUUAGCUUGAAAAUAGGAGAAAGAAACUGACGCGUGAAAUGUUUCAAACCAAGUCAAACUAGUACUGGAUUUUGUGAAAGUCUCGACCUUAUUUAUGUUUUGGAUUAGAAAACCACAAGGCAACUAUAUAAACAACUUUGGAGUGAGACGUCAAAGUUAAAAAGUUCUACACGAAGAGUUUCGAAGAAGAAGUUGUUGCUACAACGAAAGAACCUGUUGCUAUCAAGAUUUAUCCAUAUAGUUCUUGAGCUGUAAUAGUAGUUUCUUUGUGUUGGUUCCAAGACAAUAUCUUGAUUACUUUCUUAGUUGAUUGUAUUAGGUGUUUUUUGUGUCCAUAAGUGACUUUGUUGACAAGAUAGAGUCAUUGAAGUAGAAGAGUAGAGAGGGUAGAGGUUGGGAACGAUUCCUUAGGUUUUACAAGAGCAGUUGUAAGCCUUAAAUUUGGCUCGAGUUUAGUGAAAGAGUUUGAGUAAAUCCUACGGAGGUGGGUCGCGGUUUUUGCCUCCCUUGAGCAAGGAGUUUUCCACGCUAAAUACUUGUGUUGAUGUACUAUUUGCAAUUUACCUUCUGGCAUAAGUGCUCAAGGAGUAUGGUACUUUGAGUACUUAGGUCGCAGCCAAACUAACACUUGACCUUUUAUAUAAACUUUGUGUGUGCCGAUUCCCCAUCUGAUCGAUGCGAUUUUACUUGAAAAGAAGAGGAAGGUUGCAUGAUAUUUUGAUAGGUUAUUGAAAAUUGUAGGAAAAUUAUCUCUUAGAUAAAUCCAAGGCCUUGAAUAUUUUAUGCGACUUUAUGUGUAAUAUGCAUGUACAUAUAUUGGUGGGUUGUUUACAAUAGGAUCUAUGAAACUGAAGCUUGUAUGCGAUGACCGAAAGAUAACAAAAAGAAAAGGCUUACCCCGUGCAUGAAGUGUUCUCUGGCUGCUAAGUCAUAGGGAGAGAGUGGCCUAUAAUGAACACUAUUUUCCUUUAAAUUGCCACAAAGAGACUGUAUCCAUGCCUAAAAGCUUGCGACAUACAGGUUAAAAGAGUUGAUCUAUCAUUGCAUCAACACCUGCCCUGAUUCCUAAAAAGGAUAAAGUUAGAAACUAAAUUUUGUGAGAUACAUGAUUUUUUGAUGAUUGUUGGGUGUAUGUUGAUGUAAUUAGUGCUUCUGAUCUGAUGAAACAUGGCAAGUGUUUUGGUUUCGUUCACUGGAUUAAAUUAUGCAGGUGGUACAUUCAUAAAGGUAUAAUAGUUGGUGUGAAGCAUGAAAAAGAUAUUUAAGUUGGGACUUUCACACUAACAAACUGAAACCUCUGCUGACUUGAGUUGUCGUAUGGAGCAAUUUCUGUUUGAAUGUUACAAUGCUACUCUGCUUGCUAUAGUUUCUAAUUAUCAGAGUAUGAGAUAUCUGAUCAGGUGUUUAUAAUUUAGGUUGCUUUCUUUCUUUAUUUCAGGUUGACAUAGAGGUUUCAUCUGUUCUUGCUCACUUUUCACCAUCUCUUUAUGGAGCAAUUAUGGACCUUAUUGUGGAUUUUGAUAUACUGGGUUUAUCAUCAGACUCCUUGCGCCCAACUACAGUUGAUGGUAGUGUGAUAACUGCUGUUUUUUGGUUCUCCAUUGCUGCAAAUGUGAAAUCUAUUGGUUUCUUGAUCGAUUUUGAAAGUGAUGUAGAAAAUGCGUGCAGUCUCAUGCUAUUGCUUCAGAUAUUAAAUAUUCGGUAUGUUGUUAGCAUCUUGUUUUACUUUUCUAUCAGCCAGAUAAAGAUACACCAUUAAUAAUAGAGAAAAUACGCAAAAGAUAAGAUGAUAGACAGAUGCCGAAGUGAAACUGUGUUGCAGCUUUAUACUCCUUGGCAAAUCAUAAAUAUCUAGUCUCUCUGUUAAUCCUUCUGCUUUGCACCGUAAUAAUGCUACAAGAACUGCUAUAAAGCCUAAUCAUCAUACCAAUGUGAUUUUAAAAAUCAUUUCUGUUUGGUGACUCUCAUGAAUGGUCUCUUGACAUGCAUCUCUAGCUUAGCUGUUUAUUUCCAAAAGGGAAAAAGGUCAAAUAUACCCUUGAACUUUUAAAAAUGGUAUGUAUAUACCCACCGUCAUACUUUAAGGUAGUAUGUAUCCCUACUGUCAUACUUUUGGACCAUAUAUACCCUUUAAUCAAAUGGACAGACGCAUGACGCUAUCUCAAUAACUUACGCGAUUCUUUAUUUUUUUUUAAAUCCAAAAUUUACAAACCCACCCAAUUAUAUCCCGACCAAUUUUUUUUAAAAAACACCCAUUUUGCAUUGCCAUAAACUUUUGCAAUCUUACCAACAAAGUAUUUGAUCAGAAAACUCACAAAAUCAACAACUUUACAACUUGAUAAUAUUAAAGUAUAACCCAAAAUAUUAAUAAAACAAAUAAGAAAUCAAUUCGUUUGUCCCAGAAACUUUAAAUUUCAUAUAUUAUCUACAACUAUCUUCAUGACUACAGUAAUUAUAUAAAGCAACAAAACUUAAAUCGUUAAAUUAAUAUGAAAACUAUGUAUAUAUUCCACUCUGUUUAGGUUUAGGACUAAGUAAUUACCCAAGAAAUAGGAGUUCAUCAACAGGAACACAGAUGAGAUUCAGAGAGAAAUAGGAGCCAAUUGGAGAGAAACUCAGAGACAAUUCAGAGUUCAUCUGGAAUUGUAAUUUUGGAAUGAUAAAAAAGCUGGUGGGUGCAGUGAAGGUGGGGAAUCCAGAGUUUUUGAAUGGAGUAUGGAAGGGGUAGAGAUGCAUGCUGAGAAGCUUGAAUCGGAGAUCGGAAAUUUCUCGAAGCUUUUGUUACUUGCACUUUGGUUAUGGUUUCCUUAAUUUUGGUCUUAAGUGGGUCAGGACAUAUUUGUGUGGGUUUUUAAUUUUUUUUUUAAAAAUAAUUAAAAAAUUGGGUAAGUUAUUGAGAUGGUGCCACAUGUAUUUCCGUUUGAUUAAAGGGUAUGUAUGGUCCAAAAGUAUGACGGUAGGGAUACAUACGACCUUAAAGUAUGAUGGAUGAUAUAUACUUACCAUUUUUUAAAGUUCGGAGGUAUAUUUGACCUUUUACCCUUUCCAAAAUAACUUGAGUUGCAUAAGGUCACAGUCAUAGUGGGGUCGUUUUCUGCACUGUUUUCAAUUGCAUAGGUUUUGUUUAUUCACCUCAAGUCAUUCUUGCUGCAAUGCCAAUUUCAAUAAGUCAGUCAUGACAUCCACAAUUUGUAAUCAAAACUUUAGCAUUGAUCAGAACAAUUCUUGAAAUUCUAUGGAUAUUUUUCUCGGAAUCAGCUUGAUUCUUGAAGAGCUUCCUUUUACCAGCGGUGUCCAGGCUAACUUGUGCAGACCUAGACUGAUCUACCUGGUAUAUGUGUCCUCCCACUAGUAGAGGUAUUGUGUGAUUCUUCCCACCAAGACUUUAGCAGAUGAAGAACUGACCUUAUAUUUUUGUCUCAUCAUGUGCCCCUGAUUUUCAUGGAACCUUUUUUGACAGCUACACUACAUACUUGGGUGCUGAACUUGCUUAAGUUAUAUUUUAUUUAUAGUAAGCAGCAAGUGAACAUGACGGCAUAUCUGGUGAGAAAGGAAAAAGAGGAAAAUGAGAUUAGUCUAGAGGUGCAUUUAAAGUUGUGCUUGAUAUAGUCGUUUUUCCAUAUAACCUUUAAAAUUCAAGUAUUCACGGUAAAGAAAAUGGUAGAAAACAUUAGAUUCUGGUAUCUAUUCUUGAGUCAGAUGUAUUUCCUUGUGUUCCUUGUGAGUCAGGAGAGUGAUUCUUUUCAAAUAUUAUCUGUUAAGCAUUAUAGCAUUCAUUUAUGAAGUUUGAAUGAAGUUGCAGGUUUGAUGGGAAUGAGUCCUUGGAGGGAAGAGCUUCAGUGAAGGAAAUAAACAUCCAUAAUUAUGGUGGUAAAAGUGAAGGAAAAAGCCUCAUCUUUUGCUCAUCUCAGAGCUUGUCUGGAUCUAUGUAUCAGGAUUGUAAUGAUGUUAGCAUUGGUCCUCAAAGUGGGAAUUCUGAUGAGAGAAGUAGUACCAACGAUCUGUGCCUUCUGUUCGAUUACAAAACCUGUGGGAAUUCAGGAUUCAUUGGCCAUGAAUGUAAAUUAAGUUUAAGUGGUCUUGAUAUUCACUGCCACCGUUUUAUAAUUGGAGUUUUGGUAGGAUUUAUUGAUAAAUUAUCUAAUAUCAGACCUUCUCUUCGAGUUGUGGACAACCCUGUAGUGAAUGGUGAGAAUUGUGUUCCUACUUCUGCUUCUUCGCUUCAAAAUUCUGGUUCUUCCAACUUCUUUGAAACCUCCUUCUCUGAAUGGGCAACUGUUUCAUUGGAUCAGUUCCCUUUCAUUACCCUAAAAGAUAUUGAUUCUUUUCGUAAUCUUGGAGGUUUCUCAAAUGAUAAUACUCCUGAGUGGAGGAAGGUUCUUAAUUUAAGAGACUGGAAGGACAGCAAUCCUAAGGACGACAUAGAAGAUAGAUCUAACAGUCAGCUUCCAAUUUCAGUUAAUUCUUCUUUUCAAGUUUAUGGUGCUAAAAGGGCGUAUUUCAUUGACUUGGAGCUCAGCAACAGUCGAGUUCAUUUUCAUGAAUCCUCUUACAUAAUUGGAACUCUUCUGUUUCCAAAUGUCAAGUCUGCAUUGUGUAUUUGCGCCGACUAUCUGGAUGUACUUUGCUGUGCAGAGGGGUUGGUUCUUUCUUCUCUACAAUGGACUCAAAUGAUGCAGGAUUUCCUUUGGGGUCCCUUGGAAUCCACUUUCCCUCCAACUUUAAAGUUGCGUGUCUGGAAAGAGAGUGUAAAGUCUCCGUUGAAAAUGAGUUUAAGUAUCAAGCACGUGUCUUGUGUUUUACCGCCUGAGUUCCUUGCAGUUAUCAUUGGUUAUUUUACCUUACCUGAUUUGAGCUCUAGUACAGAUGGAUUGCCUAUUACUGAAAGCUCCGACUCUAAUACUUCAAAAGAUAAUGUAUGCACUUCAUUCAUGUUUGAGAUACUGGACUCCAACUUAUUUAUACCAACAGGGAGCAGCGUAUCUCAAUUUCUGAAGCUUGAUAUACAACGGUUAUACUCUAGUUUCACGGAAAAUGGUGAAGCAAAGUUUGUGCUGAAGGAUAUUCCUAUGGAGUGCUUGGUUACAGAAGAUGAAAUUGCUCACAGAAAUGAUUGUUUAAACUUUUUUGGAUAUGACUUAUCACUAUCUUUGAUGCUAUUGGAAGAAGCAGAUAAUUUGUCAGGUUCUUUUUAUGGCCCCACUUGGACAAAUAUCAACUUGAUUGCGCCAUUUAGUGCCGAUGUAUGGGUGAGAUUACCAUCCCAAUGUGAAUGUUGUGAUGUUGUAUCCUGUUAUCCAAGUUGCAUUAUGACAAUAGUCAAGGAUUGUCAACUCAAUGCUGAAGGUAAGAAACAGAUUUCUGUCAUAUGUUUUCUCGAGUAUUGAAGCAAAACUUUUGGCACCUCAGUAUUUGCUGUGUCUUUGUCCACAGGUGCAUCACUCGUGAAUGGAUGUGAAGCAAUGAUGGAUGUCAUAGAUCAGUUUUCCUUGGUUGCUAAACAAGCUGAAGCAUUCAAAUCUGAUACCUUACAGUUUUUUCUACACAGGGAGGGAAAAGAGGGACAAACCGCUUCUCCACGUCAAGGCUCUCUUGAAAAUUUCAUGACAAUCCGAGCGUCUGUGAGGUCAAUGUCCAUAAAAUUGCGACAACAUAAAGGAGAAUCAGUUGCUUCUGACCUUAUUGGGGAAGCUAACAUGCAGUUUCUUUGUUCUGCCUCUUUAAAAAAUGAUGAGCUCUUAAGGCUGAAGAUCUCCUUCUCUUAUCUACAGAUAUUCUCGUCUCUUAACUCUGUUUUGCUUGCUGAAUGCUGUUCUAAAUCUGGCUCUCCAGUUAUUGUGAUAACCUUUUCAUUGUCUGAUCAGGGUGAAAGUAUGCUUUCUGUUUCUCUGCCUUCGCUAGAUGUUUGGAUACAUAUGUCUGACUGGGUUGCAAUCAUCAAUGUACUCCAGUCUUCUUCAACCAAACAAUCCAAUACCUUAAUGACAAACUCAUUAUCAAACAAUAUGGCAUAUGUCCCUGUUGACCAACUCAGGGAUGGUGAAAAUGAUGGUCCGCAAAAUUCCCAUCCAUGUCCUAAUAUUUUAUCUACUGAAGAAAAUGUAAGGCAUGAUACUGGAGUUCAUUCUGUUGAGUUGGAAACUAUCUGUCUCCGAAUUCAUAUUCCUGCUUGGGUUAGAAAAGAUGCUUUUAUUAUAUCGGAGGUGAAGCAGGGUGACAACCACAUGAAUGAUUUACGAAACACGAUUUAUGGACAUCGACAUGGAUUUUUCACUGUUGGCUUUCAAGCUAGGAAUAGUAAACUGUUUUACUUGGGGACCGUUAUGAGACUGAAACUUGAUCUAGAUAAAACCUGGGGUACAGUGGAGCUUGUGAAGGAUGAUAACACACGCUCGUGGCCCCUGUUUGAACUAUUUCAAGUGAACCUUGAUGCUGCAGUUUGCACUAGUUGCAUUAAGCAUAUCCAUGGGAAGGUGGAUCUUCAGUGUCAUUGCCUGGAUGUAUGGCUGUCAGAUCACAUUCUUUAUUUCUGGCAGUUUGUGGAUUUUGAAGGUCCAGCAGCUGGGCCUUCUCAAUUUAGUUUCAGUCAAGUGAACUUUGAUAUCCAACUUAGAAAGUUCUCUCUUCUUUUGGCUGAUGGAAAGGUGAUUUCCACUCCAUAACACUGUCCCUAUUUACAUCAUUUCUGUAGUUUGCCUUUGCUAGAUUGGGCUCCAAGAUUGAUUGUGAUAACUUGAUCUGCCUCAAUUCUCUUAAAUUUCAUUAUUAUCCUUAGAAGUUUUAAUAAUUUAUGCUUUUAACAGACAACACUAGAAAGUAGUAGACCACCAUCAUAUUUCCUUUAAUGCGUCCUUUCAUUUCCCCUUUAUUUGGGAACAAUAGAUUGACUGUUCAGGACAGGAGUUAUUUCUCAGUGGUAACUGAUAUCUGUUUUGCUGGAAUUCAUAUUUUCUUAGCUGCUGCACGGAACUUCUCUUGCAGGAUCUCAUAUACUCUAUAUGAAUUUCGUCGUUGACAUUGAGUGAAGUUAUGAACAUUCAUGCUUCUCGAAUGCAGUUUCAAACUUCUGAAAUUGAGUUCGGCCCAAAUUUUCAUUUUCUUUACAUGUUAAUUGAACCCCAACAUCCCUAUUUUGGUUAACCCAAUGCUUCACCACCAAUCUUAUAUUGUCCCGGCUUUUAAAUGUCCUGCUCCUGCCUGCUGACGAAGUAUUAAAAUAUCCACAUUGGUUGAGGGAAGGGUUAUCGUAUCCCUAUAUGCUUCUGGACAUCUUCACCUUAUUAGCUAGAAUUUUAGUUAAGUUUGGCCUAAUAUCCAUUUUCUUUACAACUAUGCUCAUAUUUUCUUGAAAAUAGUGUCAUGGUUCUUUUAUCCUCACUGUCAAACUCCUUUGCACUGAACUGGGAAGAGUUUCUUUUCAUGCUUGUUGUUUCUUUCCAGUAUUUCCUUUGUUUAUCUUUUGAGUGCAAUGAGGUAUUGUUCUUUGAUCAUCUCUACUGCUAAUUGUAUCACAUAAUUGCCUGUUUUCUUCUGCUACAUACGUUUUGCUAAUAUGUAUAUAUUUUUCUGUAGUGGAGUUCAAGCGGACCUUUGCUGGAGUUACUUGUGACAAACUUGCUUCUUCACUCAAAUGUAGCUGGAAAUGAAAUGGAGGGUUUGGUGAAGUGUGAAGUCGAAGUGAACUAUAAUAACAUUGACAUGGUAGAGAUGACAAAAUCAUGAUAUAUCUUCUUUUGAUUCUGAUUCACUAAUUUCUGUUCUCUAUUUGGACAAUAGGUCUCGUGGGAGCCUUUCCUAGAGCCCUGGGAAAUCCAGCUAAGCAUAAAAAGGCAUGAUGACAGUUCCCUUCUGAGUAGUGAUGUUACUAGCAAUCUUCAUAUCAAGUCGACAACUCAACUUAACUUGAAUCUUACUGAGUCCCUUAUUGAGGUACUUUGGUUUUCUUGUUCUACAGGCAAACCCUAUGUUGCAUUCAUUGAUAAAAAAUACCAAUUGAGAAGUUCUAUUAUGUUCACCAUGGAAUUUGGUAAAGCUGUUUGUAUCUGUCCUUAUUCAUUAUUCUUUAUCAGGCUAUCAAUGUGCUGACUGUCAUUGUGGAAUCAAUGAUAAGAAAUAAGCUGUUUUACUUUGGCAUUGAUAAAUGACACACUUGUGAGGGUAUGGGCUGUACUCCCUUUAUAUGGUUUUGGGUAAUCUUAUCUCAUUAACUAGGGUUUAGGGGAGAGUUAGGUCUAAGAUCUAUAUCCUGACAUUGUAUCCUAGCAUGCCUCAUCCCUAUUUUUGGUUUACCUAAUGUUGAACCCCCAUGUUAUGUUGGUCAGGCUCCAAAUGUCAAUCCUGGGUGUUCAAAAGGGUGCUGAGAGUCCUUCAUUGGUGAAGGACGACGCCCUGAAGUCUCUUUAUAUGCUCUUGUGUUUAAGUCUAAGGUCCAAUUUUCUUGACAGAAGCUCCUUAGACCUUCCCUUAUUCUCCCCUUCCCAAAUUAUUUAUUUAUUAUUUUGUAAUUUUCCCUUAAGGUUUAAUUGUCUAUUUCCAGGCGAAGAAAUUAACAAAUAUUUAAUAUUGCAUUAUCAAACACAAAAGUAUGUAUCAGUUGAUAACUUGAUAUCUAAUAACAAAUGAUCAGUAUUAUCCACUCAUAUAAACUCAACCGUGGCUCAUAAUAUGCUAGAUUAAUUUGCUGCAUCUUUGAAAAUGAUAUGACUAAGCAUAAAUUAGCCAGGUCAUCCUUUGGGAAGUGAUUAUAUCACUCAAUAUCCCCAAUCCAGAAUUGUUUGGGUCAACUACAUUAAUCAUCUCUGUCCAUAGUCAGAUAUUCAUCAUAGGUUGGUUACAUUUUAUGCUGGAUGUUAACCUGGCACAACUUGGUCCUCCUUUAUUAAAUAUUGGGACUCAAUGUGUUUUACAAAAGCUCAAAUAGAUGAGUUCCUUGGUUAAAAUGAGUGGGAAGGCUUUCUGUCAUUCCCUGAGGCUACCUCCUUGACGUAAACACGGGACCUAGGAUCACGAGUGACCCCAAGCUAACCCUGAAGGCUUUCUAUCACGCCCCGAGGCUACCCCCUUGACGUAAACACGGGACCUAGGAUCACGAGUGACCCCAAGCUAAUCCUGAAGCUGGCAUAUCAUAAGCAUACUAAACACAACUGAAUAAAGAGAUACUGUGCGGAAGCUAAAACAUGAGAUAACUGAAAGAUGGGGAAUAUGUCCGAUGUAUACGCCCCCAUCAAAAGGACCCAAUAUACCUUGUCAGAGGUAUAAAGGCAUGACUGACGUGAUCACUAAAUUUGAUGCCCACUGAGGGGACUUAUACUCCUACGGGGGCACGUAGUUUUGGGACUAUGAGGGUACGCUGAACCCUGGUCCAACUCGUUGCUAAGCUUACUCCCAACUGAAAAUGUAUCUGACACAACAUAACUGAAAUAUUGGAUAGCUCAAUAUUUUGACAUGCAAAUCUGAGAAUGUAACAUUUAAGUACUGACAAUGUAACAUUCAAAAAUUGGAGCAAGUAUAAUUCAUGAACUAAAUUUUUUUAUACAAUUAGGGCUUUGAGUUUCGUGCAAGGAACUAAGCAAACUUUUCAAGAAAACAAGCUAUUUCGAUUUAGGAUACUACAACAACUAAAUCACAACAAUUAUCCAAGGUUUUAGAAACCUUAGGUCUAAACAAAAUAUGGAGAAUCAAGAAUCUGACUGAAUUCUAGGGACCUGGUGGACGAAAGGAAUCUACUAGUGAAAUCCCACAUACCUGGUGACCAAAUCUAUGGAGAAAUCCUUCGAUUUCGGGGUUGAAACUUUAAGCAAACCUUCUGAUUGUUCUUGGGAAACUGUCGCUUCUUUCUUCUCCUUUUUGCUUUAAGCUUGGGUGAUUUUUGGUGAAUAAAGGUUCUGGGUAUGUUUGACUAAGUUAUUAGGCUUAAACUGAAUAAACGACGUAGCUUAGACAUCAAAUGACGUAGUUUAAGUGCCCAACACAUAGGGGAAAGGACCAAAACGACCCUGACUUAAAUCUGACGAGUGCCACCUACUACAGAACUGACAGGCCGUCGGUUGACCUACCAACCGUCGGUAGGAGUCGUCGGUCAAGCCCUGCCCGACAGGGUUUCACUAAAACGAGCAUAACUUCUUACUUGGAAAGAGGAUUCAAUUAUCUUUCAUUUGAUAGGUCGUGGGCCACCUAAUUCAUUAUGUGCUAAAAGAUAUGACCGUUUGAAGUUGACCCAACAACAAUUUUCCUCUAAUUGGCUGUUGACCCUCACCUACGGUUCGUAGGUCCAACCAUACGGUCGACCGUGGGUGGGAUCAGAGACCAUAAAACUUUGGACCCCAACGACGGAACCAUCCUACGGUCCGUGAGUCAAUCAACGGACCGUGGUUCAAGACCGUAUGUGUCAUCUUUAGAUUCUGAAAUUCCCCCAAGUCUGGGACUGAACCACGGGACCCCACCUACGGUCCGUGGUCUAUGGUCCGUGGGUGGUUUCCGUUGGUUCUGACACCAAAUUCUGGAAAGCUGCAUUUUCUAUUUUCUUGAGUCCGAGGUGUUACACUUUCCUUUUUAAGGAGAACAAUGAUCCCUAAUUUCGGUAGAGGGGCAGCUCAUUACCCACCGAGUUUCAAACCGUGUGCCUCUGGCCUGGGGAUUUCUCUAAUAUAUGUAUGUGUACACACAGAGACAUAUAUGAGUUCAUUAUUUUAAAUACGCAACUAUUGUAAAGUUUUUUGUGUUAAAGAAAUACUCAUCCUUAGAUUCCUUUCAUCUGAUUGUGUUAUCAGAUUUCUUGCAAUAUGCUCACAAAAUAUUGAAUGAAUUAGGACAUAUUGCACCAUGUAAAACUUUCUACCGAACUUACUGAUACAUUUCUCUUUCUUUUUUCUUGCCGUUUGGUGAAGGUUGUUUCUAGGACAAUCGAGAUGAUUAAAAAUGCAGGGGAUCUGGCGCAGAUGGCUGCUCAUUCUGAAAUCCCAUCAUUCUUAAAUUCUCAGAGAAGUGAAAAUCUGGAUACCGGGAGUUCUCCUCCUUACAUACUGCAAAAUUUGACUUCGUUGCCUUUAGAGUUUCAUGUCUAUCAACAGCGGCAGAGUGGUUAUGGCUUAGAAGUAUCCUCCAUGAAAAGUAGAAAGUAUUUACAACCAGGAUCUUCUAUUCCAGUUUAUGUUAGUGAAAGUCUUGAAGAUCAAAUUUUACGCUAUAGUCCGGCCCAAUCCUGGGAACAACUUGGUGACAAAAAAUCGGUGGAGCCAUCACAUCAUUAUAUCAUUGUUCAACUUGAGGGAACGUCACUUCCUUCGGUUCCUAUUUCAAUGGAUCUUGUUGGGCUUAGGUACUUUGAAGUCGAUUUUUCCAAAUCAUCGAGGAAGCCUGAUGUUGAUACAACUAAGAAUGUUCCAAACAGUAGUAUAAACGAUGGAAAGAACAACAAAAUAGAAGAAAAAAGUGGUUUUAUCAUUCCUGUAGUGAUUGAUGUGUCCAUACAGAGGUACACGAAGAUGGUGCGAUUGUACUCAACUGUAAGUGCUAAUGCAGGUUAUAUUUUGUGCAGCUUUGAUUUACUGUACUGCUUUACAUAUUUCUUUUUUAUUACAGGUAAUAGUAUCAAAUGCAACUUCUGUGCCUCUUGAAGUACGGUUUGACAUUCCAUUUGGUGUUUCUCCAAAGGUAUAUUGGUAAAAUGAUUAGUAGAAAUCUCCGUAUCUCUAUCGGCAAAAAGGGAUAUUAGUAUCUAUUUAGUUUUGACUGGAUUUGUGUUCCUACACCUUCAUGUAACUUGUCUUUUCCCUUCUUUGUCAUUUCAGGUUCUGGACCCCAUUUAUCCUGGUCAACAAUUUCCUCUUCCAUUACAUUUGGCUGAAGCAGGCCGAGUGAGAUGGCGUCCUCUUGGUAAUUCUUACUUGUGGAGUGAAACCCACAGUAUUCCAAAUAUUCUUUCUAAUGAAAAUAAAAUCAGCUUUUUGCGCUCCUUUGUCUGCUAUCCAUCUCAUCCGAGCAGUGACCCUUUCCGCUGCUGCAUAUCUGUGCAUGAUUGGUGCUUACCUUCUGCUGUGUCACCAGAAAAAGGCUUUUCUUUGUCCAACAAUGUUCUAACACAGACCAAUAAACCUCAUAAUAAUGUAACUUACAUGGUUAAGCCCGAGAAGAGGAAUGUGCAUCAGUUGACUUUAAGCAGUCCAUUAGUAUUGAAGAACUAUCUACCGGAGACGGUAUCUGUGACAAUAGAAAAUGCUGGUGUUUGUCGUACUGCAGCUGUGUCAGAGGUAUGCACUAUGUUAUAGUAACUAUCUUUUUCAUGAAUUGAUUUAUUUUACUUUGUGUUCACCAGCACAAUUUUCCCCGUUUCCAGGUUGAAACUUCUUUCUUCCAUGUUGAUUCAUCACAUGACCUCAUAAUAACUUUCGAGAUGCAUGGAUAUAAACCUUCAGUUGUGAAAUUUCCACGUGCUGAAACAUUUGGUGAAAUAGCCAAGUUCAGCGGAACAAGGUUCUCUUUGUCGGAGACUAUUACUUUUGACCCUCAAUCAUCAGAUGGUACUGAUUGAAUCUUGCUUUCCUGUUCUUCUACCGGUGCCAGCAUUAUUAGUUCUCUCUUAUUAUUUUUUAUUCUUUAAUCUCCACUUUAUUAGGUCCUCUUUGUGUUGCAAUUGAGAAGGUGAUGGAUGCAUUUUGUGGAGCUCGUGAAAUAUGCAUUUCGGUUCCAUUUUUGCUCUUCAAUUGCACUGGUUUCCCACUGGUUGUCUCUGAAUCCAUUAAUUGGACAAAAGGCCAUUUUAGUGUUAUUACUUCUUGCUAUGAUGUGGACGAGCAGGACUUGGUUCUCCACAAGAAAGAUGGUCUGGGCAUUUUUUCUUCUAAUCAAUAUAUGGAUACACCUGCAAAUAGCAAUAGUCUGCCAGUAGCUCCCUUGAACAAUUACCUCGUUACAAAGUCACAUGACAGUAAAUUCUCUCAGGCGGAAUCGAUUUAUUUUGAUAAUUCAACAAAUUUUCAUCGAGGUUCACAGAAGCAUGAUAUAUAUGCUUCGAAAGCAUCGCUUCACAGGAGUAAGUCUUACACAAGCAGUCAAUCCAGCUUAAAGUCCUGUGGGUUAACAGAAGGUGAUGCUUGGAAGGUCAAUUGCCGGAUGUAUUCACCUAACCCAAGUUCGUCUUCUAGUGAAAUUAUGGUCAGACUCUGUAGAUAUCUACCAAAUUCACUGAUGAAUGACAUUCCUAAUGAUUCUUGGUCUAGUGCUUUUGCCCUUGUGCCGCCUACUGGUUCUAGCAGUGUAACAGUCCCACAACCAUCCAGGAAAUCUGGUUAUGUGAUUUCUGUUGGUGCUGUUGCAGCACCAUUUUUUGGCAGGACAAAAAUCAUUACCUUCCAGCCGAGGUACUCUACUAUGUCAAUAUUUUGUUAUUUACUACUAUCUUCAAGGUAUUUAUAUAGAAUCUUCCUGCAAGGAAUAUAUCUAUAAUAAAGCACCCAUAAUUCUACAGAUACGUAAUCAGUAAUGCAUGCAAUAAGGACCUGUAUUACAAGCAAAAAGGAACAGAUGAUGUUUUCACAUUGGAAUCUGGAAGGCAUUCUCAUAUUCAGUGGACAGAUACAUCGAGGUAUAUUGUGACAGUGUUGGCAUUUUCAUUGCUCAUUGAUAUCUCAAGUUACUUCUAAGACUCUGUUUGGUAUGGAAGAAAACAUUUUCCAGAAUUUGUUUUCCAAUUUUCCCAUGUUCUGUUGAAAAAGAAUUUUUGGAAAACAUUUUCUUUAGGAAAACAAGUUGCUUAAUCAUUGCCAAGGUGUCUGCUGCAUGACACAGUAACAAACUAUUUUGUAGCCACCUCAUCCAUGCCAUCCACUUUUUAAUUUGCUAUUAUCAUUGUCAAGGUUACUGUGAAACACUUGAUUCUCUUUAUGAAUUUGCUCGGAUCUAUAAAGGGUAAUUGAUGAGGGUGUGAUGAUUGUGUGAACAGAUAUUGUUAAAUGUGAGGGACCAUAUGUUGUGGGAAGUCAUUGGUAAGAUGUCGUUUCUGACACUAUUCUUAUGAAACAAGUGAUUAGUUAAGUCUGGGAGGCAAUACGUUUUAAUUUUGGACGAACGAAAAUCAGAAUUGUGAUUCGCGUAAAUUUCGUUCCCUUUUUUUUCUUCUUAUUCUUGUUAUUUAUUAAAUGUGUCAAUGUUUCCCAGGGAGUUGCUAGUCUCUAUUCAAUUUGCUGAACCUGGAUGGCAAUGGUCUGGUUGCUUCUUGCCAGAACAUCUAGGUGAUACUCAGGUUAAAAUGCGAAAUUUUCUCUCUGGUGCUGUGAACAUGAUAUGUGUGGAAGUUCAGACUGCUGAUGUCUCAAUUAGAGAUGAUAAAAUCGUUGGCAGCCCUCAUGGUCAGUCGGGAACAAACCUGAUUCUUGUGUCAGAAGAUGAUACUGGCUUUAUGCCAUACCGUAUUGACAAUUUCUCCCAAGAGGUAUUUUCCUUCAAUGCAAUACAAUAGUUUGUAACUUUGUAUUUGUUAAGUGCCCGGCAUUGGUGGUGGGAUGGGUUAUUUGUCUCCAUAUAUGGUUUUGUGUAAUCCUCACUUCAUGACAUAACUUCUCGGAUUGAGUUAGGCCCAAGAUCCAUUUCUUAUCAUGGUACCAGAGCAGGCAAAUGUACUCAGUUUAAGUCUUUCCACAACUAGAUUGUCAAAAAGAAAUUUUUUAAGUUCUUGACCCAUGAAAAAGAAUCUGGUGUGUAUAUGAAAAUUCAUUUUGACAAUUUUUGGGUUGUGACAUGUGAAACUUCGAUGUGUGUGGUCUGAUACCAUGAUACAAGAUGGAUCUUGGGUCUAACUCAACUCAAAAGUUAGCUCAUGCCCAAAACCAUUUGAGAAAAGACGAAUAAGCCAUCCCUCAACAAAUGUGGGACAACAUUAUUAGCCACAACAAGACAUGAAAAAUAUUUUCUAAUUUUUUUGUUACCAUAAGAAACUUACUUUAAAGUCACCUUCAAUAGUUUCACCACCGCCACCCUAAUUAUCUGUCUAAGACGUGUUAUCAAAAGCGCAAAAAAGUUCUAAGGUAUUUGGGGUUUUACAUGCAAAUAAAGCGUGGACUGUAAGCGCAAAUGGAGAUAAAAUACAAAUAUAUAUAUAUCAAUUGUUUAGUGUGGCCUCUUUGGGAAACACUCAUUGGAAGGGAAAAGUAUGUCUUAGAGUCUUGAUGACAACACCGAAGUGCACAUUAAGCUAGGUGAAAUGCUCAACGUGUUUUGAGUCUCGCUUCAGGGCCUAAGCGUGCCUUUGAUAACACUGGUCUAAGUUUGAUUGGAAUAAGAUAAGAUCUCAUUGCUGAGUGGCGUAGGAUACUAGUAGCAAAUUUAUAUUGUGAACAAAUGCAAGGUUGGAGAAUGACACCACGAGAUGAAAAUAAAUGUCUAAAACUAGAGACAAUUGUAGGAUACUGUGACAUAUUUCUGCAGCAAAUUCUUUAUAUAGAUGUAAGCUACCAAAAGGAAAACAUUUAACAUAUAUUCUUAUUUAUGAACAAUGGACUAAAGUUAUUCAACUAAAAAGAACAUAAAGUAUCUAAAAGUCUAGUGAAUGUCAUUGGGUUUGCUCAUUUUAAAAAGGUGCAUGGGUGAUUUCCAUCUCUAAUUUGCACACUACUGUCCUUGUUUUCCUUGAGUAGCAACUUUUAACAUCUAAAUAAAUUAUUGUUUUAGUUGGUUUUUCAACAUGGUACCCACAUGUGGGAAAUUUACUUUAUUUGAGGGAAGUACGGUAAGAUAUCAUCAAUUCAUUUUGUGUGUAUCUGACCAGUUAACCUCAUCUAAAAGCUUCAGCUACCUAGAGGAGAUCCAUAUCUUAUCCAAUAUAUUUUGUCGGAGACCUUUAAGUUUAUAAUAUAAGGAAGGUCGAAGAUUUCGUCAAGUAAAUUGAUAUCUUUUCAAGUUUUUCCCCUGGCAGUUUGUUUUAGGUUAAGUAUUAAAUUACAUAGUCAUCCCUAAUCCUCAGAUUAAGAUAUCUACUGAAUAAGGAAAUAUUGGUUUAAUCACUUAGCAAACUCAUCAAAAUUAUGGAAUUGAUUAGUGAAUUGUUCUUUUUUAUCAAGUGAUGUUUGCAUAGAUAAUAACAAGGCCAACUUGGCCGUAUAUAAGAGAUAUACCAAAAAAGGAGAAACUUACAGAAUAUGGUUUUCUCCAAAGGACACCCAAUCCUCUAUACAAACAGGAAAUAUAUGGGCCGAAGAAAAUAAAGGAUCGGAGACUAAAUGAUUUACCAUCACUAAGUCCACUAAGUUCCUCAACUCCCUUGUUUUAGGUGUCAAAAGGAUUAGGCCUUUCAGAUGUGGUAAAAGUUUACCACCUCUAGGAAGUAAAUUUAAACUCAACUGAGAAGAGUGUUAACCUUAAAUUAUCCUAAAAUUCCACCAAUUUUUUUAGACAUCUUGUGCUCUAGUAGUUUCUCUCCAUUCUGGUAAUAUCAAAUCAGAAAAAAUGGGAUAUGGAGUGCUGGUGCCCUUUUAAUUUUAUAGUUUUAUUAAUGGUGAAAAACUUGAUAUAUAUUUCUGUCCUAUGUUACAAGCUUGUUCAUUCCAAUUUUUUACCAGCAUAUUAAAUGUUAGUUUUCAGCUUAGUUGAUCUUUAACUAAUUCACCUUUUUCUUCUUUGUUUAUUCAAGCGGCUACGUGUUUAUCAACAAAGGUGUGAAACUUUUGAAACUAUGGUACAUUCCUACACUUCUUGCCCUUAUGCGUGGGAUGAACCCUGCUAUCCACAUCGUCUCACUAUUGAGGUAUGUUUUGCUAUAUUUAAAAGCUAAAUGGUUUUUAAGCAGGUCUCUGUUCGUAAAGUUUUCUCUGGAUCUUUUAGGUUCCGGGGGAACGUGUUAUAGGAUCAUAUGCUCUAGAUGACGUAAAAGACUAUGCACCCAUUUACCUACCUGCCACUCCUGAGGUAAUUCACUUUCUAUAAUUCAGUUUGUAAAGUUUAAGCAGAGUUUGUACUCACCAUAUUACUUUUUCAUACUUUACCCAAAUCCUAUUCUUGCUGUUGUCAUAGCCUGGUAAUACCAACACCUGUUGGUUUGUUCUGUAAAUUAGAAAAUAUCAGAAGUCUGUACUUGAAUUAUUAAUUCUAAAAUAAUGUUGCCUUAAAUAUCAAUUCUGUUGUCUGAACUAGUUAGACCAGUAUACACCAAUAACCUAAUUCUAUAUAAAAAUAUAUUUUCUUGUAACAAAAGACCAACAAUAUUUUGCUACAAAUAUUAUCAUGAAUUCCUUAAAGCCGUUUAAAUGGAGCUACAACCUGUUUAUUGAUCAGUUGGAAAGGAAACAUACAAGAUAAAGGAGAACUUCAAAAGGGAUUAUAUUUUAUCCUCAAUUUCGAAAGUGGAAAGAGGACUUUCACUUCCUUAGGCAAAGAAAAAGGAUGCCCCCUAAUAACCUUUUCCAUUUUCGAUUUUUUUUUUCUGAUUAAAAAAAAAUAUCAGAACUUUGCUGAUCCUAUGUUGUUUCAUAACUUUGCUCCUGGUUUGUGCAUGUAUUUGGUGGUGUAUAUUGAUGAUAUAGUCAUAACAGGUAAUGAUGAAGAAGAAAUUACCAAAUUGAAACAUAACCUCUUUUAGCACUUUCAUACCAAGGACCUUAAUCAAUUAAGUUGCUUCACAUAGGAAGUAUGCUCUUAAUAUUCUUGAGACAGGAGUGUCAAAUGUAGACCUAUUGAUACUCUGAUGGAUCCAAAUAUUAAAUUCUACCAGGUUAUAGGAAGCCCUAAGUGAUUCUGGAAGAUAUAGGAGGUUGAUGGCAAGUUAAAUUACCUCAAGGUGAAACAACCUGACAUUGCUUCCUGAUAUAUGUUAGAAGUCAGUUAUUGGAUUCCCCUUGUGACAGUCGUUGGGAUGCAGUUAUGUGUAUCCGUCGACACAUAAAAUCUGCUCCAAUGAAAUGACUGUUACCCAAAGACUGAGAGUAAUUUGUUGGAUAUACAGAUGCAAAUUGGGCAGGGUUGCCAUUUGACAAACGAUCCAACUCUGGAUAAUACGUUGUAGUUGAGGGAAAUUUAUUGUUUUAGAAAAGUAAGAAACAAAUUGUAGUUGCUAGAUUGAGUUCACAAGCAGAAUAUCAGGCACGAGCUAUAUGUGAACUCAUAUAGUUCAAGCAACUACAUAAAGAAUUGAAAUUUAGAGAGAUUGGUUAAAUGGAACUUGUGUGUGACAAUCAGGUUUUACUUCAUAAUGGAUCAAAUCCAUUGUUUCGUGAGAGGCCCUAGCACUGAGAAAUUGAUUUGUCAUUUUCAUCAUAGAAAAGAUACAGUCUCAGAAGACAUGUCACAAAGUUCAAGCAGUCAAAGGAUCAACACCCAGAUAUAUUCACCAAGCCCCUUGCCACAUAUAGAACACGUUGUAUAUGUAUUAAGUUUGGUACAUUUGGUUUGUAUGCACCAGCUUGAGAGAGUAUAUUAGAAUCUUGUGAAUAUACUCCCUCCGUUUUAAAAAGAAUGACCGCUUUUCCUUUUUAGUUUGUUUCAAAGAGAAUGACCCCUUUCCUUUUUUGGAAAUAUUUUAAUUUCAACUUUCCACAUGGCAUGUUUAAGGCCACAAGAUUAAAGGGCAUUUUGGUCAUUUGACAUAACUUUAAUUUAGGACGACAAGAUUGAAAAGUCUUCUUUAUUUUCUUAGACUUCGUGCCAAGUCAAACUAGGUCAUUCUUUUUUAAACGGAGGGAGUAGUAUGUAGCUUGUUUGUUCUUUUUAAUUAUGUAUUGUAGUUAUGUACUAAUUUUCUCUCCUUCCCUAAAACAUGUACAAUUAGUUAUUUGAAACCUCAUUAGCCGAGGGAUCAAUCAAGCUUUGUUUUCUCUCAAUUUCUCUUUCACAACAUUCAUGCAGAUGAAGCGAGAAAUAGGGCAAGUUGGAGCAUAAAGAUCCAAAUAGGCGAUGAUGAUACAAUUUAGAUAGGAUUAUGUUUAGCCAUGUUAAUAUAUUUAUCUUAGAGUUAGGCGAUGAAGGGGAGUCUUGGCGUAACUGGUAAAGUUGUUUCCAUGUGACCACGAGGUAACCAUUCGUCCUGUGGAAACAGUCUCUAGAAGAAAUGCAGGGUAAGGUUGUAGGUAGACCCUUGUGGUCCGGCCCUUCCCCCAUACCCCGCGUAUAGUGGGAGCUUAGUCCACCGUGCUUCCUUCUUAGUAUAUUUAGUUUACGCCCAAUGCCUUCUACGAAUCUUUUAGGACUGUCAAUGAUUUAUAUUCCAAUAGUAAAUAAAGAGGACUUUGUGUACCUUUUAUUUAUCUUUAUAUUUUAUUUAAUAUUGGAUUAAGAUGACCUUAAAAUAUGGACAAUGAGAAUUUAUAUAGCCUAUCUCAACUUAUUUGGAAUCAAGACAUAUUUGUUGUUGUUGUAGUAUAUAUAUAUAUAUAUAUAAUUGAAAGCAGAAACUGCACGUGUCUGUUUGUCUUGUUUUGUUCAAUUGUAAGAGAUCCUUGAUAUCUGUUCUUAGUGAAUGGUUUUCCACUUUUUGUAUGGCUUCAUAUAUAAGGUAGUUUUCUCAACUGGUCGGCAUUUGUCACAUUAUUUUUCAGUACAUGCUGAAAAAGUACCUUGUGAUUUAAAUCACUGACACAUGAAAUGUUGUAAGAUACUUGCUCAAAAUAGCAGACAGGUUAUAUCCUUGUGAAUUGGAGAACUUGGAUAUAUAAAGUCGAAAGUCUGGCUUGUGUGUAAAAGAGAAUUGCAGAAUACUACAAUCUUGUACUGAUCCAAAAAAAGUACAAAGUCGAUAGUUGAUGAUCUCUGCAUUGUGGUUCUUUUAUGUUGCUUUCAUCUACUAGUGCUUUCCUAAGGUUUAACAGCCUUACCAUUCUCUUAUUUUGUUUUGUAACAAGUUCCCUUAUCAUUCUCUUUAUAUUAAUCACAAUUCUCUAUAUUAUAUUUUAUAUGAGACCAUAAUUAAUAUUUUUCCAGCCAUUUAUAUGCUAAUCUAGUUACCUUUCUUACACAUGACGUCUGCUUACUUUUUUCAGAAGCCUCAAAGAACUCUGAUUGUGUCUGUCCACUCUGAAGGGGCAGUCAAGGUGCAUUGAUGAUGCUUUAAAUUUCAAGACCAUCAUUCUUUUCAUGUCUCUUUUAUAGUGAGUUUUAUUUUACAAAUACAGAUUCUGAGCAUCAUUGAUUCAAGUUACCAUGUAUUGAGUGGUUUGAAGGGUCCGCACAUCUAUGAGUCUAAAGAUAAAAAAAACCAGAUAGUGAAGCACGAAAAUUCUGCUGACUACAAGGAGAGAAUAUUGGUGGACAUUCCUUAUGUUGGCAUCUCUCUAAUAAGCUCUAUGCCAGAGGUACCUUCUAUAGUUGUAAGUGAAGAUUAUUAAAUUGUAAGCUUCAAUGCAAAAUGCUUUUGAGUUGUCAUACCAAUUCUUUUUCAGGAACUAUUUUUCGCUUGUGCAAGAGACAUCACAGUUGAUUUCACCCAGAGUGUAGAUCAACAGAGAUUCUCCUUGCAAAUCACAUCCUUGCAAAUUGAUAACCAGUUAACAUGUACACCUUACCCUGUCAUCUUGUCGUUUGAUGUUAGUAAGGGUAUUACUAGUGGAAUUAGGGCAGAAAGUGUUUUGGAGAGCUCACGAGAACCGGUUCUUUCAUUGGUGGUGACAAAGUGGAAGAAUCGGUAUCUGUCACUUGUUUCCUUCGAGCAGAUAAAUCUAAGGUCUGUAACUGAUUCAAAACAAAUGUACUGGUCUCGAACUCUAUCAACAUUUAUUAUGUUGUAUCACUGCCUGACUAGUCUAUUUUCUUGCAGAGUGGCAGAUUGUCAUCUUGAACUUGAUCAGGAUGUAAUCUUGAGUUUGUUUGAUUUUAUUAAAACGUUAUCUUCAAGGUUGCAGAGCAGAGUGUUACAGCACUCUAAUGCAACAGACCAUCAUCUUUUUGAUGGUGUUUCUAUUAUGAACACUUCUAACUCCAUAGAUUGGGCACCCAAGAAAUCAAAUGUGAAUGAAUACUACUCAGUUAAUAUUCCUGUGUUUCAAGAAAGCAGCAAUAGGACCUCUUUGCUACCUUCGAUAGUCCCUAUUGGAGCCCCCUGGCAACAGAUUCACCUUCUAGCCAAAAAGCAGAAGAAGAUUUAUGUUGAGUUGUUUGAUGUGGCACCAAUCAAGUUGACUUUAAGGUAAUUCAUAUCAUGUUUUCAUGUGACUUUACUGUAUGCUUAUAACAUUGAACUACUUCUUGUAGUUUCUCCAGCAGUCCCUGGUUGCUUCGAAAUGGAGUGCUUACAUCUGGAGAAUCUCUUAUACAUGUAAGGCUAUAUGAAGGAUGGUGGAAAUUUGAUGAUUUUCUAAAUUCUUAAUCAGCUUGAGAAACCAUCUUAUAACAAUACUGUUUAUUGCUAAAUUUCACUUAGCAAAAUUCAUUAUAUAUGUGCUUCUCAAGACAUAGGACAUUGACUUUCACAGAGGGGUCUUAUGGCACUUGCUGAUAUUGAGGGAGCACAAAUUCACCUUAAACAAGUAAUCCUUUCACAUCAGCUAGCUAGCUGGGAAUCCGUUCAAGAGAUACUUGUCGAGCAUUACACACGACAAUUUCUUCAUGAGAUGUACAAGGUAAAUUUCGGCACACCUUUAACUGUCUUCCCUGUAGUUAACUACUUAACCUCUGCUCCUCCUUCAGUAGAUGGGUAGAUGGAGAAUUUCUCUCCAAAUUCUCACACUCUUGUAUAACUCAAUUGACUGAACUCCUGUCAGAAGUGUGCGCACCACUCUGUUGCAGUUUUACUACCUAUUCUUGAGCCCCGUUGAAAGAAAAUUUCAGUACUUAAGAGUCGUCAGGCUUAGUCUGUAACAUGAUCUCAUCUCUGCUAGGGAUUUCAGUGGACUAGUUUCAGUAGAAGAGUUAGAGAAUUUGAACACUCAGAUAUUCUAAUCUAAAAAGAAAACAUUGUUCUUGAUACUUCUCCGGGCAAAACCCGACUGCUCCUUGAAUAUUAGGUCUAGGUUAGAGCAUCCCAGUUCUGACUCCUGAUACAAAUGUCAAGCAGAAUUUCAGGUCCCGGUAUAAAGCUUGAGGAGUUGAGUCUGCAAAAGGUCUAGGCUUUGCUUGCACUACAUAUCUGAUCUUGCAAUGUGAGCUUAAUUGAAAUAGAACAAGCUUCAAGAAGUCUCAUUAUAUUCAAUUUGUACUUUAAUGUGAAAGGUGUGUGAAGAGAGGUAAUUCCAAUAACAGCCUAAGUUUCUCAGUGGAUAUUUUAGACAUUGUUACCCAUUCUCAACUGGUUUUAGGUGGAAGAGUUUUCUCCACUGUCUGUCUUUGCUGGCAUGGCAGAGAUUCCCUGUUUUGCUUUUAGGACUCCCUUAGCUGUGCAGAAUGUAGAGUAAAGAGAAGGGGAGAAGAGCUUAUCCGAUCUACCAGAUGUAAAUGUAAAAUAUCUUUAAUUGGUUGGACCAAAAUAUACUCUGAACUUUGUGGGAAGACUAAUAGAUUGAGAAUCCAACUUUAAAUUAUCUGUCAAGGAACCACCUCGAUUGCAUGUUGUGUUUUGAUUGCCGUGUUUCAUAUUUUUGUACGGGAACUUCUAUGGUGUUAUACUCAAGAAGAUUGUACUAGUUACCUCAUUGUUGGUGCCCAAUAAUUAUUCUUCAUCUGCUGUAACACCUAAUGAUGGCAUCUGGCUUUUAAUCAAAUAUCUGGCUUUCUUUUAGGCAUUACAGAUUCUUCACAUCAUAGUAUCUCUCAUUAUCAACUAUCCCAAAUGCCUUGGCUAUAACUCUUAAAGCUCUAUGUAAUGUCUCUAAGAGAAAGAAAAGCAUAAGCUUGAAGAGAAGAGAGAAGAACCCUGGGAUGCUGCAGGAAUUAGAGGUGGGAAAACCUAGAUAUCUUACUAUGACUAGACCUGACAAUCGACAUUACUAAUGCUUCUGAACUUCAAUCCAUUUCUCCGAAUACCUAAAACUGGAAGUAGUUUUCCAGCUUAAAAUAGUACUUGCUUUUAACUGUGGAAUUAACAAAUUUCUGUAAUGAUGUCAUACUUGUGAUGAUUCAUAAAAAACCUUCCCGAUUAAGUGUUGUUUGUCACUCAGUGCUAUUCAGAUGAACUAAAUUUGUUGGUUUCCGUGUAAGUAUCCAUUUGCCUAUGUUGGUAAAUGAUUGAAAUAGCCAAGCUUUGAUUUAUUAUCUUCAAUCUGAUAGUUGCUCAUUUAUUAACUGGAUAAUUUGUUUCUUGCAAUGGUCUUAGUGGUUAUGGACAGUGAAAAAUGGUUGUUUGCUGCAGGUAUUUGGUUCAGCAGGAGUUAUCGGAAAUCCUAUGGGGUUUGCAAGGAGCAUGGGUCUUGGCCUCAAAGAUUUCUUGUCAGCUCCUGUACAAAGUGUUUUCCAGGUACCCUAUGCAUUAUCUGCUCUUUUAUCCUUCCAACUAGAUGUAAACCCAGCUCUUUCUGCAGACUCGUGCAGGGUUUAUUAAAGGCAUGGCACAAGGGACCUCUAGUCUUUUGAGUAACACCGUCUAUGCCUUAAGUGAUGCUGCCACCCAAUUCAGCAAAGCUGCACACAAGGUACUUUUGCAUCAAAUAACAUUUUCAAAUUCUGUAUGUUAUCUGACCCUCAUAUUAAUUUACUUCAUCUUGUAGGGUAUCGUGGCAUUUACUUUUGAUGAUCAGGCUGUCGGAAAUAUGGAAAGACAGCAGAAGGGAAUAUCAUCCCAUAGCAAAGGGGUGAUAAAUGAAUUUUUUGAGGUAUAUUAUUUUCAGUUCUUAGUCGCAUGGGGAUAGAGGCCUAUUCACUUCCUCUUUUAUUCCUUCGACUCUUCUUGCCUUUAGAAUAAUAUAGCUCCUUGGAGUCUCACUGUAUCUUAUGUGUAUCAAGACGUCACCGCUAAAGAAGGAUUAGCGUGUAUUGACAGUUAAUGUCUUGCAAUUUUGAUUCAUUUCUUUUUUGCAAUUCAUACCUAAGAAAGGGUUGAAAGAAGACUUGUUGGGUGGCAAAAGAGGUAUAUGUCAAAAGAUGGAAAUGAAGUGUUCAUGAAGAGAACCCUGUUGAGUGUUCAUCAAGUUGGUGCUUUAUUUCCAAAAACCCGGGAUAGGGAGUUGGUCAGUUUCUUAUAACAUUGUCUGGUUGUUGUUUUGUUUUUUAGUAAAUGUGAGAAGUAUAGGAGAAAAAUAUUAUUGAAUUGUGUAUCUACAUUAUUACACAGAGACUCUAUUUAUAGACACUAUAAUACAAUUCCUUACCAAGUAGGAUACUAUAUAUUAUUCCUAUUCCUAUUCUAAGUAGGAUUGUGUAUACCUAUUCCUUUUCUAACACUCCCCUCAAACUGGUGCAUACAAAUCAUAUGUACCUAACUUGUUGCAAAUGUAAUUAGUACGAGGACCAUUGAGGGACUUGGUGACGAUAUUGCAAGUUAACCACUUGACUUCACAAAUUUUGUAACAAUAUCUCUUUUCUCUGACAAAGUGACUAUCAAUCUCAACGUGCUUAGUCCUGUCAUGAAACACUAGAUUUCUUGUGAUAUGAAGGGCCGCUUGAUACACACAAGUUCCAUAUGACUGAUUUUUCCAAACUUUAGUUCUCUCAGCAAUUGCUUGAUCCAAACUAGCUCGCAAGUUGCUACAACCAUUGCUUGAUAUUCUAUUUCUGCACUAGAUCGAGUGAGCAACCAUUAUGUUUCUUACUCUUCCACGACACCAAAUUACCUCCUACUAAAACACAAUAUUAGGAUGUAGAACAUCUAUUAGAGGGUGAUCCUGCCUAAUCAGCGUAUGUAUGUCCGAUGAUAUGGUCAUAGCCUUGAUCCUCGAAAAGUAGUCCUUUAUCGGGAGCCGACUUUAUAUAUUGCACAAUACGAGUAACUGCAUCCCAAUGGCUAUCACAAGGGGAAGUGGAAAGUCCUCUUUCAGUUGUGGUCUAGUUGCGCUCUGUCGGUGAAAACCUCCUACUUCACAACAAGAGAUCGUAUUGGUGCUAUCUUGUUAAGAGGUCGUAAACUUAGGGCUUAGAGCCUUAUGCUCAUCCAAGAGAAAGAUUCCAUCCCAUCUUCAAAGCAAUGGUCUGCGACUCCGCAGCUUGCUUAGGUUAGGAGAUUCUGAUUUUUGUUCUAUCGUUAAGAGAAGGAUCAUAAGCGUAGUCCCAAGUUAAACAACUUAACAUCCACAAGAAAAGAGAUGUCAGGUCUAAUUACGGUGAGAUAAUUCAAGUUUCCAACCUAUAGUCUAUACCUUUCCGGAUUACUAAGUGGCUCCCUUUGUCCUGGAAGGAAUUUAACUUUUGGAUCCAUAGGAGUGUCAAUGGGUUAACAUCCCAACAUUCUUGUCUCUUUAGAAUGUCUAACGCAUACUUGCGCUGAGAAAUAACAAUACCGUAUCUAGAUUGAGCAACCUCAAUACCUAGAAACUACUCUAGUCCACCGAGGUCCUUAGUCUGGAAAUGUUGAAAGAGAUGUUGCUUCAAAUUAGUGAUACCGUCUUGAUCAUUAACCAAAUAAAUACAUAGAUUUGGUGUUGAAUGCUGACAAAACACAAAGUGAUCGGCUCCAUUACGAGUCAUGCGAAACUCUUGAAUUACUGUGCUGAAUUUUUCAAACUGGGCUCGAGGAAACUAUUUCAGACCAUAAAGUGACCUAUACAAUCGACAUACAAGGCUAAGACUCUCAAGAUUACUAGAUAGGCAUUCUUAGCAUUCUUACUAUCCAACUGUUGAAGAAGCCAAUGACGAACGAUAGCCAUAGAUAGAAAAAGAUGGAUAGAUGCUAUUUUAUCCACGAGAGUGUAAGUGUCACUAUAAUCUAGCCCAAAUAUUUGAGUAUACCCUUUGGCAACAAGGUGAGCAUUUAGCCGAUCAACCUGACCAUCUAGACCAAUUUUGAUUGCAUAAACCCAGUGGCAAGCAACCGUAUAUUUACCUAUAGGAAGAAAGACAAGCUCCCAAGUACCACUCGUAUGUAAAACAGACAUCUCAUCAAUCAUAGCCUGCCUCCAUCCAAAAUGAGAGUGUUUCACCUAUAGUCUGAGAAAUGGAAAUAGAGGACAAAGAUGAUCCAAAGGCAUAAUGUGGUGAAUGAUGAUGAUAACUCAAGAAAGUAUAAUGUGGGUUAGCAUUUCAAGUGGAUCGUAUACCUUUUUGAAGUGCAGUCGGUUGGCUACAAGGAGGCAAGUCUGUAGUAGGAGCAGGGUCCAAUGCAUGACAUGAAUCAUCUGAGACUAGUGUUGGAUACGGACGACAAUGAUAAGUCUGGAAUGGUGGCACAACAACUGGAGAUGUAGAAGUAACUGCAGAUUCCUCAAAAGUCAGUACAUGUACGACCUGAGGUAUGAGUAAGACCUCAAGACAUCAGGAUGAUCAAAAGAUGUAUAGUAAUGUUGAGAUUCAAAGAAUGUGACAUUGGCGGACUUCAAUGGGUUAUCGGCUGAAAAAGAUUCUAUCAUAUGGAAACACACUCGAGAUGGAAGCCUUUCUGUUAACAAGCUAUAUAUUAAGGAGGUGAAGGAGCAUCCUGGUGAGCUUGGCCCCUGGAAGUAGAUUUGGAGGAACAAGGUGCCAACCAAGAUAAAGUGUUUCUCUUGGUUGGUUGCUAAAAGAGCAUGCUCCACACAUGAGAAAUUGAAAAGGAGGGGUUUCUAUAUUGCCUCUUGGUGCUCUCUCUGUAAUGAGACUGAGGAAACCAACAACCACUUGUUCCUCCAUUGCAGAGUGACAACACAAUUGUGGAACCUUUUUUUGGGACCAACACAUGCAUAACGGAUUAUGCCUGAGCAUACAACAGAUCUACUUUGCUGAUCCAGCAGAAGGGGGAGAAAAUCUAAGAAAAAGUGGUGGAAUAUAAUACUAUCAUGCAUUUGGUGGUCUAUUUGGAAAGAAAGAAAUAGCAGAUGCUAUUAUAACAAGGCUAAUUCAAUAGAGAAAGUCAAAUGGAACUGCUUGACUACUUUUUAUUUUUGGUGUAAAGAGGAAGGGAUAGAAGAAGAUGCAAAAAUUUUGGAUUUUAUAGGCACUUUGUAAUCUGUUAGCCUUUUUUGUUUUUCUCUCUUGUUGGAAACCAAUUUUUGGAGGUCUCCAUCAUGUCCUUAAUGUUGAGGAAUACAACAUUAUCUUUCUAAAAAAAAAAAGUAUCGAUGAAGACCAGAUAAAUAACAACGAUGCCCUUUUUGAACUCGAGAGUAAUCAAGAAACACACAUUUGAGAGCAUGAGGGAUAAUUCAUCUUUCUUUGGGGCUAAGUUAUGAGCAUGUUCUCCCAAAGACACGAGGGGGGAUAGAGUAGAGAUGUGACUGAGGAAAUAGUAUGGAAUGUGGAACCUGAUUCUGAAUAGAAGAUCAGGGUAUUCUAUUAAUUAAAUAAUAAGACGCAAGAACUACAUCUCCCCAAAAAUGCAACGAAACAUGGGAUUCAAUGAGAAGUGUGAGUAGUCUCAAUGAGAUGCUUAUUCUUCCUUUACACCGUUUUGUUGAGGGGUGUACGACAUCUUGUUUGGCAAAUAAUUCCUUGGUGAGUCAUAAACUCCUAAAAUUGGGAGGACAAGUGGUCUAAGGUAUUAUCACUACGAAAACUAUGAAUAGAAACUAAAUGGUCAUGCCAAAAUUCAAGUUAGUGGGGAAAUUGAUGAUGAUGUCACAUUGUAUUGGUACAAGGUGGAUGAAAUGGAGCUCAUCUCCAGAGUUCUGUGUGAUAAGAAGAUGUCACCAAAACUUAAUGGCAAGAUCUAUAGGAUAGUGGUUAGACCAAUAAUGUUGUAUGGGGCAGAGUAUUGGCCCGUCAACAAUUCUCAUGUUCAAAAGAUGAAAGUUGCAAAAAUGAGAAUGUUGAGAUAGAUGCAUGGGCUUGACGCAACUUCAUCUUACCAAGGACAUGACGUUAGAUAGGAGGUUAUGGAGGAUACAUAUUAGGGUCUAGGGUAAGUAGAUAGUUGAGUGUUGUCUCGCUUACCCUUUCAUACUAGUAGUCAUUGUAGUUUCUUGGUCUUCCAUUUCUGUUACUAUCUGUUGUUUCUUCUACUUCGACUAUAGUAUUAUUUUGUUAUAGUUAUUGUUCUUUUGUUCGAUGGCUUUGUAAUGCUAUCUUUAAUAUUUUGUCGUCGCUUCUUCACUUUGGUAUUUCUUUCCCGAGUUGCUUUUCAAUGCUUUUCAUUGAGCCGAGGUCUUUCAGAAACAACAUAUCCUUCCGAGACCCCACUUGUGGGAUUACACUGGGUAUUUUGUUAUUUUUGGUGCACUCGUGAGAUUUCUAUUUGUACGGAUGAAUGUCUGACCAUGGUAGAGAACGAUCAACUUUUGUAGGUUCUCUUUUUUGGUUUACUACUUUUAUAUGGGAGUUUCCCCCUUUUAUUAAUAAAAUUAUUCCUUCAUUAAAACAAAAUAUUAAAAAAAUUGGUACCUAUUUUUGAUUUGUAGGGUCUGACUGGCCUAUUGCAAUCACCUAUUAAAGGGGCAGAGAGACAUGGCCUUCCAGGAGUUCUCUCAGGUAUCAAGUUUAUCCAUGCUAUUCUUCUGGUCACUAUUGCAGGAAAAUUGAAGCUCCUGGGAAGUGAAAGGACUUCUCUUAGAUAGUAUAUUUUUUCUUGCAGGUAUAGCUCUUGGAGUGACUGGACUGGUGGCAAGACCAGCAGCCAGUAUCCUUGAUAUCACCGGCAAAACUGCACAAAGCAUCAGAAAUCGGAGCAAACUGCAUAAUCUGGGAUCUCAUCGCUUUAGGGUCCGAUUGCCAAGGCAUUUAAACAGAGAACUUCCUUUACGGCCAUAUUCUUGGGAAGAAGCAAUUGGAGUAUCUGUACUUAGAGAGGCUGAAGACCAUAUUAAGCUCAAAGACGAAACAUUAGUAGUGUGUAAAGCUCUUAGACAUGAUGGGAAGUUUGUUAUCCUCACUGAGAGACUUAUAUUAAUCGUGUCUUGCUCCAGUAUAGUAAAAUACAGAAUGCCUGAGUUUCAAGGAGUGCCUGCUAACCCUGAAUGGUUGGUAGAAACAGAAAUCGGGAUGGAUAGUGUAAUUCAUGCUGAUAACGACGACGAUGAGGUAGAUAUUGUGGGAAGUAGCUCAGACGCAUUGUUAAGGCAGAACCAUAUCUCACAUAAAAGAAGCUGGGGACCAAAGGGAAAGAGAUGGAACAACAAUCCUCGCACAUCGCUUCCGCUACUCCAGACUAAUUUGGUUUUCACAUCAAAAGAUGAAGCAGAAGACUUCCUGCAGGUACUUCUAUCUACAAUUGACAAAGCAAAAGAACAAGGUCGGAGCUCUGUGCAUCUUCUUCAUCAAAGUAGUCUCAGACAACUAUAGAAAGAUGUAAAGGAUCCAAGUAAUUUUCCAUCUGUACAUUGUACAUUAUGUACAUAAUCUACUUUACCCCUCUUCUGUUAAUUUAUGUCCAUAACUGUUCAAUUAGUGUAGGACUUCCAAUUCUUUAUAGGCACAGUCCUUCUCUCGCAGACUCUUCGCAAAUCAACGAUAGUUUGAAUCAAAAUUAAAUGAAAUUGUGUUGGUUUUUUUGUUUUUUUUGUCAGUGGAUAUACAGAAAAUGAUGGUCACUACGAAAUUUUACCAAGUUUGUUGUAUAUUGGUUGAGCUGCGAUGCAUGGUGAUAUGAUUCUUAGGAAAUCUUCCAAUUUUAAUUAUAUUUUGGGAAAUUCACUUCUUAAUUCAUAAGGUAAAAGUUUUAACCCUUGAACCCUGAUUGAUUUCUAUUUAGACGGAGAUUAAAUUCAACCAAACACAAGGCGGACAUUGAUUUAUUGAAGGGCCAUUUACAUGAAUCCCCUUGUUUUGGGGUAGUUUUUAAUAUUUGGUCGCUAAUCUUUGUUCUGUAGUACUUUAAAUAAUAAAAAUAGGACAAAAAUUUACCCCUCGUAUUAAAAAGAAUCACUAGGUACAAGUUAUGCCUUAUUAGACAUAAAUUCAGCAUUAGAACUUAUGCCUUAAAAAGUUGAUACACAUUUUAUGUUAUGCAAGAAGAAGAGAAAAAGGCUCAUAUGCCGUAUGUUAUACAAGUAAAGGGGCCAAUAUGUCAUAUGUUAUAAUUGUCGAGCGGUAGGAUAAGACGAUAGGUUCAAAGCAAUUAGAUAAGACGUGGUUAAAGUUUCCUCGUCUCUACAAUACAUAUAUUACCCUAAAAUGGGACCUACUGCUAUGAACACAUGUUAUGUCAUGUCUAUCCACAUGACAUUGUGGUGUGACGGUCCAUUCUGAUCGGGUCAAGGAUUGGAUUUCAUGUCAUGUACAUGGUGAAUUAUAUUAUGUCGGUAUUUAGGUGAUUCCUAUUGAAAGAUGUAGUUUAUUUUCAAGUCUAAAUGCUUGUUUGAAUCAAUGAAUUUGGAGAAUAUAUAUUUCAUGUUGUGAUUCAUUGUUCAUGUUUCAUUGUGUAUUAUGUGUAACAAUUGAGGAAGAUUUGGAUCGGAUCUUGAAAUAGAAGCUUAACUAGGUAAUUUGCCCGCGCGAAUCAUAAAUAAUAAUUGCAUUGAACUUGCAACUAAUCCUUUACUAAUAUCCAUACAUUAAAAAUAAUGGAAAAAAUAGGUCCUUAAUAUUAGCAAUGUUCCAACAUGAAUUAGAUUAUUUGUCAUUAUCACAUAACUCAAGAACCUCUAAUGAAUGAAUUAUUCAGGAAAUAAUAAAACAUUGGUUCUUUAAUAAGCAUUAAAAGGAAAAUAAAAAAGAAAAUAACAAUAUAUAUAUACAAAGGCAUUUUGUAAGAAAAAGAACACAUUUAAGUUGCAUAGAUUAUACAAUUGUGAUAUAUGUCUCAGGAAUUUUUUUUUUUGAAUUUGUUAACAAAUUCAAAAAAGAAAUUACGCUUGAACAUGAAAGCAAUUAUAACUUUUGAACUUGCAUAAUGAAUUUCUUCAAUUGAUAAGUGAGAAACUUCAUAUCUAUGUUAAAAUAGAUAAUAUGUAAGCUAUUUAUAGUACUUUUAAGUUAUAGAAUUUUAUAUAGAAUAUCAAAACAUAAAUUCUUGGAACUGAGUACAAUAAUUAAUUUCUACACAUUGAAUAUACCUACUAUAUGUGUAUAUGUUCAAUAUAACUGGAGAUAAUAAAUUUGCAGAAACAUAAACAAUAGAGUUUAAAACAUGCACUCAAAAACAACAAUUAACAUCAUAAACAUAAAUUAAUGACUGUAAAAAAAAUACUAGUAUAUGUAAAAAUAGAAUGAAAUAAAAAGGAAAAAAUUGAGUCCACUGAAUGCACAAUGUUCCCUUAAGAAAGUUACUCUCCUCUAAUACCUGAGGUUUAAAGAAUUAGACCCUCUUAGGAUGGAACAAUUUUAUUCACCAACGUAUUGAUACAAAAAUAAUGGUGUCAGUAACUCACUCAACAGGAGCAAAGUACACGAAUAUUUAAAUGUGGAGAAGAAGAAGUUCAGAAUUUUCAUUGUUUUAAAAUGAGAGGAAAUCUCUCUAUUUAUAGACAACAAAAGGUAGUGUCACUACUAAAAAACUGUCAAAAAGAGACGGACGAAAAAGCGACGGACGGCAUCUCUUAGUCCGUCGCUUUUUUCGCAGAUUUUUACGCCAAAUAUAUAUAUAAUCAAUAAUUAAUUAUUUUAUAUAGGUAGCGACGCAGUCCGUCGCUUUUUAUUAAAAAUAAUUAUUUAUAAAUUAAAAACUAACCACGCGGUCCGUCGCUUUUAAUUAAUUUUAAUUGAUUAAUUAUUUUUUAAAAUGAGCGAUGAACGGCAUCUCUAAGUUCGUCGCUCUUUGGUCAAAAUGACUAGUUAAACAUUUAAGAAAAGCGACGGACAGCGUCUCUUAGUCCAUCGCAUUUUGGUCAAAUAUUUUUAAAAAAGCGACGGACAAAGAGACGCUGUCCGUCGCUUUUUUUAAAUAUGUUGAACCAAAAAGCGGGUUUUCCCCCCAUUUUUCCCAUCUCUCUUUCUCUCUCUUCUCUCUCUUCUCUCUUCUCUCCCUUCUCUCUAAAAUCAAACUGUUGCGCCGCCGCCACGCCACCCCACGCCGUCGUCGCCCUUCUCUCCUUGAACAUUAGUCCCGUCGGCGCCGCCACCCGACGUCCCCACUGCCUCUUUUCCUUAGCUUGUUAAGGUUAGGGUUUAAUUUUAGUUUCUUUCACUUGUAGUAAUAUUUGAUUUUUUAUAAAUUAGUAUAUUGUUUUAGUUUGAUGAAUUGUGUUAUUCAAUUGUUAAUCUGUAUAUUUGAUAAUUGUUAGUUAGGGAGAGAAUUGAAGAUUUUUUAUUUUAGAAUUUUCUUCUAAAUUGGUUUUUUUUUAAUAUGAUUGUGAAUUGAGUAUUAGAAGUUAGAACUAACAAAUAAUUAGAAGUUAGAAGUUAUAAAGUCAGAAAUUAGAUUAGUUGCAUUUUCCUACUUUGAAAUUCUUGAAUUUAGUAUGUUUGACGGUUGAAGUUAGAAAACCAUUGAAUUGUAUAUGAAAGUUAGAUUACUUUGAAGUUAAGAAAAUAUUGGAUAGUAUAUGAAAGUUGAAAUUAGAUUAGUUAAAUUUUCCAACUUAGAAGUUCUUGAAUUUAGUAAGUUUUGUAAAGUUGUAAGUUAGAAAAAUUGGGGUUAUUUUGAAUAUGAUUGUAAUUAAGUAUUAGAAGUUAGAACUAACAAAUAAUUAGAAACUAGAAGUUAGAGAUUAGUUGAAUUUUUCAAUUUGCCAUUGUAUUUGUGGUUAUAUGUAUUAUAUUGUUGUUGAAAAUUGGAUUACUUGAAUUAUAUUCUUGAACUUACAAAUUCUUGAACUUGGAAAUUCUUGAACUUAGAAAUUCUAGAAAUUAGAUAUGAACUUGAAUUUUUGUAGUAUUUUAGAACUUUUAUUAGGUUCUGAACUUUAGAAAUCUUGAAUUAUUAUAGGAUUUUAGAACUUUAGGUUGUGAACUUUAGAAAUCUUGAAUUUUUGUAGGGUUUUAGAAGUUUAGGUUGUGAACCUUAGAAAUCUUGAAUUAUUGUAGAAUUUUAGAAAUUUAGGUUGUGAACUUUAGAAAUCUUGAAUUUUUGUAGGGUUUUAGAAGUUUAGGUUGUGAACCUUAGAAAUCUUGAAUUAUUGUAGAAUUUUAGAAAUUUAGGUUGUGAACUUUAGAAAUCUUGAAUUUUUGUAGGGUUUUAGAAGUUUAGGUUGUGAACCUUAGAAAUCUUGAAUUAUUGUAGAAUUUUAGAACUUUAAUUAGGUUGUGAACUUUAGAAAUCUUGAAUUAUUGUAGGAUUUUAAACUUUUGAUAGUGAACUUUAGGAAUCUUGAUUUAUAGAAUUUAUGAACUAAUUAUUAGGUUGAACUUUCAAAAUCUUGAUAAAAUAUAGUCUUUAUGAACUAUUUGUAAUUUUGAAAUGAAUUUUUUGUAAUUUUAAAAUGAAUUUUGAAAGAAUUUAUAAGUCUUUAAAUUGUGAUUUAGAUAUUUUUGAAUGUUAAUUUAAGUUUGUUGUUUUAUAUUUUGUGUAGCUUCUUAUAAUGUUUUGUGUUUGAUUGGGGCUGAAUUGAAUUGAAUUGCUUUUAGCAACAGAAACUGGCAGUUUCUGUUGUCACAAAAAUUGCAGAAAAAUCGACGGACAGGAUGGUUUUGUCCGUCGCUUUUCUGGAUUUUAUUUUUUUUAAAACCUAGAAAAGCGACGGACAGGGUCCUUUAGUUCAUCACUUUUCUAGAUUUUUCAAUUUUUUAUUUCCAAAAAAGUGACGGACUUCGUCUCUUUUUUAAAAUAAAAUAAAAAGCGACGGAUGAUGUCGCAUUCUUCAAAAAAAGCGUCGAGCCAAAAAGCGACGAGAAUGAGUGCAUCCCUUUUGGCCAAAAAAGCGACGCAGUCCGUCGCUUUUUUCCGUCUCUUUUUGACAAUUUUUUAGUAGUGUAUGAACAAAUGUUUAUUGUGCCUUAUCGGAAAGGUCACAACUCUGGAAAGUCACAGCCCUUCGAAAAGGUCACAACCUUUCAUAAACGUCACAAUCUUUCAUAAAAGUCGCAACUGUUAAAAAAUUAAAGGCUAUUUUUGCCACAACUUUUUAUGAAAGGGAAAGACUAUUUUUGGAAAUAAAUAAAUUAAAAAGGACACCUGAUCUGUGGUGGCUCCACGUAGGCAGGACUAAGGUUUUUUUUUUAUAUAUAUAUAUAUAUAUAUAUAUAUGAUUAAUUAGAUAUUUCUAUUUGAUUUGCACUUUAUGUGUUUACUGUUCUAAGUUUGUCAAUUAUCAUUUGAGUUUUUAUUUACUUUUUAGUCUCUAAUGCUAGUCACAUUUAUAGUUGUCGCAAGUUGAGUAUGUUAGAUUAUUUUUUGACUCUCUUUAGUAUUUGUAUACACAUUUACUAGGUUAUCUUGAAUGAAUAUCUUGAUUUUAACUUUUAUUCUACUUUUUCUUUCUUUGUCUUCUUAUUUGCAUCUUUUCAUUGUGGUUCAAAAGUGAGUAUGUUACAAUCAAUGACAGAGUUAGGAGCGGCUCAAAAUAAUUGGAGGCUUAAAGCAAAGUUUCAAUCAGAUGCCUAAAAUAUAAACGAACUUCAUAUGUAUUUAUUUAUUUUUCUAACUUUUUAGAUGCAAAUUAUUACUCAAUAUCUUUUUUAUAAUUGAUUUCUUUGAAUACCUUUUUUGAAAUUAUUAGUUUUAGAUAAGAUUUCAACAAUUCAAUGUUGAAAAAUACAUUUUUAAUAAGGCAAUCAUUAUAUGAAUUAUGAACAUAAUUCUAUUAAUUAUAAGUUGAUAAACUUUAAAUAAACAUAAGUUAGAACCAUAAAAUCUGAUUCAAGAAUUUGAUAAAUUGGUAUACCCUACUUUAAUAUAUUUGUUGUAAUGCUUGAAAACUUAAGAAGAAACAAAAAAUAAUAUUUUACUUUGUUCAAUACUAUUUGACUAUUGAUGGGAUAAGGCAUAAGUACCCCCUAAACUAUGACUGAAAUCUCAGAGAUGCACCUUAACUAAACUAAGGUCCUAUUACCCUAUGAACUAAUUUUUUUUGUAAUUUUGUACACCUUUUGUCUUACGUGGUAUACUCCAUGACUCCACGCAAUUGAGGCACAUGGGAAAUACUUGGAUGCCAUGUAAGCCAAAAAGAUGUACAAAUUUACAAAAAAAAAAAUGGGUUAGGGGGGUAAUAGGACCUUAGUUUAGUUAAGGUGUGUCUCUGAGAUUUCGGUCAUAGUUUAAGGGGGUACUUGUACCUUUUCCCAGUAUUGAUUGAUAUUUUUGAUAGAGUUACAAAAUUUUGAAGAAAGAAAGUGCAAAAGGAGUGAAGAAAGAUAAAUAAUGUGAGUGUUAGCGAAAAAAAUGUAAGAAGAUAAAACAAUGUUUUCUUGAUUUCUUCUAUUUAAAUGGGGUUAAGGAGAAUAAAUUAGUAUAACCUUUUUAAAUAAAAACAUAUACACAAGAAUCUAACUCAAAGUAACUCUAAUAAUCGACAUUAAACUCUCAAGAACUCCUCAAUCUCAAUCCAAAUUCAAGAAUAAAAGCAAUUCAAGAACACCCAUCAAGAACAUUCAAACUUCCGAUCUUUUUAGGAAGAAUUCACGCUAAAAUAAACAUGUUUGGCACGUGGGUGAACGAACCCAACGUUAUGAAAGUCUCACAUACCUCGUAGGAUCAAAUCCUUGACGAAAUCCGCAAUCAAUUCCAAUUUACUUUUAUCAUAAUUUAUUGAGAAAAUAGCCAAAUGACCCCCAACCUAGUAUCAAAUUCCCAACUGCACACUUAUACUUCACAGGGGACCUAUUACCCCAUUGAACUAUUUUUCAAUGAAAUAAAUAACACCCUAAAAUGGAAAAAUGCAUAAGUACCCCCCUAGACUAUGCCCUCUGAGACACACCUAACCUUUACUAAGGUCCUAUUACCCCCGAACUUAUUUUAUAAAUAAUUUUCUACCCCUUUUCGGCCUACGGACACUAUCAAUCAGAUAGCUUGAAAAAAUUGUCAACACGCAUUGGACCCAGAAGAUAGUGCCACGUGGGCCAAAAAUUGGUAGAAAAUUAUUUAUAAAAUAAGUUCGAGGGUNNNNNNNNNNNNNNNNNNNNNNNNNNNNNNNNNNNNNNNNNNNNNNNNNNNNNNNNNNNNNNNNNNNNNNNNNNNNNNNNNNNNNNNNNNNNNNNNNNNNNNNNNNNNNNNNNNNNNNNNNNNNNNNNNNNNNNNNNNNNNNNNNNNNNNNNNNNNNNNNNNNNNNNNNNNNNNNNNNNGGACCUUAGUAAAGGUUAGGUGUGUCUCUGGGAUUUCGGGCAUAGGCUGGGGGGGUAGUUAUGCAUUUUCCCAAAAAAAAUCAAUAUAUAUACUUGACAGUUGGUUGUGCGUGUCCAUCACCGCAAGUUAUGAAUGUGGGUGUUCAAUUUUAGGGUGUUAUUUAUUUCAUUGAAAAAUAGUUCAAGGGGGUAAUAGGUCCUCUAUAAAGUAUAAGUGUGUAGUUGGGAAUUCGAUACUAGGUUGGGGGGUCAUUUGACUAUUUUCUCUUCUUUAAAGUUCACAACCUAAAGUUCUAAAAUCCUACAAAAAUCAAGUUCUCUAAGGUUCACAACUUAAAGUUCUAAAAUCUUACAAUAAUUCAAGAUUCCUAACGUUUACAACCUUAUGAAGUUCUAAAAUCCUACAAAAAUUCAAGUUCUCUAAAAUUCACAACUUAAAGUUCUAAAAUUCUACAAUUAUUCAAGAUUUCUAACGUUUCAUAACCUAAAGUUCCUACAAAAAUUCAAGUUCUCUAAAGUUCACACCUUUAAGUUCUAAAAUCCUACAAUAAUUCAAGAUUUCUAAAGUUCACAACCUAAAGUUCUAAAAUUCUAAAAUAAUUCUAGAUUUCUAAAGUUCACAACCUAAAGUUCUAAAAUUCUAAAAUAAUUCUAGAUUUCUAAAGUUCACAACCUAAAGUUCUAAAAUUCUAAAAUAAUUCUAGAUUUCUAAAGUUCACAACCUAAAGUUCUAAAAUUCUAAAAUAAUUCUAGAUUUCUAAAGUUCACAACCUAAAGUUCUAAAAUUCUAAAAUAAUUCUAGAUUUCUAAAGUUCACAACCUAAAGUUCUAAAAUUCUAAAAUAAUUCUAGAUUUCUAAAGGAACCUAAUAAAAGUUCUAAAAUCCUACAAAAAUUCAAGUUUAUAUCUAUUUUCUAGAAUUUCUAAGUUCAAGAAUUUCCAAGUUCAAGAAUUUCUAAGUUCAAGAAUAUAAUUCAAGUAACCCAAUUUUCAAGGGAUAAGGGUCUAAAAAAUACCCAACUUUGCUCGAAUUUGUUGUUGCGAUACUAAACUUUCAUGAAGACUUAUUACCUCCCUAGACUAUUUAAUACCGUAUUUUAAAUAUAUAUAUUUGCCCACAUGGACAUAAAAAAUAAUGCAAAAUUAAAAAUAGUAAUGUGUCCACGUGGGCACAUAUAUAUCUUUAAAAUACACUAUUAAAUAGUUCAGGGGGUAAAAAAUACGGUAUUAAAUAGUCUAGGGAGGUAAUAGGUUAUCAUGAAAGUUUAGUAUCGCAACAGCAAAUCUGAUCAAAGUUGGGGUAUUUUUCAGACCCUUAUCCCAAUUUUCAACAUCAAUAUAAUACAUAUAAGCACAAAUACAAUGGCAAAUUGAAAAAUUCAACUAAUCUCUAACUUCUAGCUUCUAGUUAUUUGUUAGUUCUAACUUCUAAUACUUAAUUUACAAUCAUAUUUUAAAAUCCCCAAUUUUUCUAACUUCAAACUUACUAAAUUCAAGAACUUAUAAGUUGGAAAAUUUAUACUAUCCAAUAUUUUUCUAACUUCAACGUAAUCUAAAUUUCAUAUACAAUUCAAUAUUUUUCUAACUUCAACCAUCAAACAUACUAAAUUCAAGAAUUUCAAAGUAGGAAAAUGCAACUAAUCUAACUUCUAACUUUCUUCUAUUUUAUUUUUUCUUUUUCUUUUAAAACUUGUAAACGAUACAUAUACACAAAUUGAUCCAUCAAAUUUUAGAUUGCUAUAACACUUGCCUCAAAAUCAUUCAAUUGUUUUCUUGGCUUUAUUAAUUUCUGAAAAUUUGAAGAAAAAACUUAUUGUUCUCCAUCGUGUUCAUCGGAUUUGUGCGAAUUUGUGAGUGUGAUCAAGUUUGGUGUAUGGAAUCUACACAUUACUUGUUAAUUUAUUUUGAAUUUGGUGUGAAGAUUUGGGCCAAAAACUAGAAAACUCCAUUGACGUACAAAGCUAUCAAAAUCAAAAAAGAAAUGUGGGUUUCUGGGUUCGAAUUUAAAUCUGAAAAUCUUCAUUUGCAAUUACUAAUUUGUAGAGACUAAAUUGAAUCUUUUAUGAGAAUCCCAUUAUUGAGUUCCUGAGUUUGAAAACAUCUAAAUCAAUUGAUUUGAACUAAAAAAAUUGACAAAUGAAGGGCGAAAAUACAAAUCCAUGGACAACCAUUGUUAAAGAGCUUCGAAGCUCAAGUAUGAAUUUUUGAAUUUGUAGGCGAAUUCAUCUUUUCCAAUGAUUAUUUCCUCGUCAUUGCCGGCUCGUUCGAUAAGUUUCUCUAACAAAUAUAAAAUUUAUCAGCCAUCAAAGAUGGGGUCGGGACUGCUGAUUCUUCUUCUCCAAAGUGAAAGGGAAAGUAAUAUCCACCAUUAAAACAGUGCCAUUUUGCUUAUAAAAAUAAAUAAAUAAAAUAUAAACUAUUUAAUUAUUAAAAAAUAAAAUAAAAAUAUUCUUUUUACUUGUUUUUUUGCUUUUCACUCUCUCAAUGAGACACUCUUUGUGCCAACUCAACAUUUAAUGAGUCAUUUAUUUCAUUUUUAAAUAGUUCAAGUGCAUGAUAAAACAUCCGUAAAAUUAAAGUGUGUAGUUAGAAUUUUGAGUAUAGAUUGAGGGGGUUUUAGACAAUUUUCUCUAAUUUAUUCUUUGUAAAAAUUUGGGUGCCCCUCCCCCAAUUUUGGGAGUCAGGGCAUAUGCCUAAAUCUUUUUAAGCAAGAGUCGGCUCCGAUUCCACUUUAAUACUAAAAUCAUCUUCAAUACUCUCAACUGCAAGAAAAAACAAUUGAUGCCUUCAGUUGACUAAACCUAUUUCUGCCAACCUCCCAGUUUCGAGCAGCCAUCGUGAAGUUACCAAAAUCACUAUUUAUAUGAUUCACUUAAUCCAUACAAGUAGAGGUGUCAAAAUUGAACUCAAGUGUAGGUGACCCAACUAUAAUUUUAAGGGUUGGGCUUAAGAUGAUUCAAAGUUGUGGAUAAUUUGAAGGAGGAGUCGGAUGAGGGGUCAAAUUUCAGCUUCUAGCGUGGAAAAUUCUGCUAGUAACGAAGUUAAUGACGGUCCAAUUUUAGUUUGGGAAUUGUAUAGAGGUUGAGCAGAACAAUGAGACAAUGCAUGUUCAGAAAAAGUAUUGUGAAGGUAAAAAAAGAGUAAAAGAGGUGAACGAUGUGCGAAAAUUGAAAAGAAGAUGCGUUUAUAUUGCAUCUACCGCUAAGAAUAUAGUUAAUAGCGAUGACGAUUUUGAGGAUUUACCUCCUCAAUUUCAGUCGAACAAAUUGAAAAAUAAAGUUGUGCCGGAGAAGAAGAAGUCAGGGAAGGAUGCAAAGCCACGGAAGUGAUUGGCGAACAAUGUCAUUCUACCGGAGAGUGGAGAUCCGGUAUGUGAUAGUAUUUUCAAUCUAUUUCUAUGUGUUUUCUUAGUUAGUUGUUGCUUAGGACUUGUAUACUGAUUACUAACCUGCUUUGAUAUGUAGUUUUUGUAAUUCAUCAUUAAUUCAACUUUAAUAUGUAGUAAUACAUUUUUAAUUCAAGUUUAAUACAUUUUACAGUUAAUUGAUUUAUGAUUAGUGAAAGUUAGUUCGACUAAUUAAAAUUGAAGUUAAAUUUCUAUUUAUAUGCAGGAUCGUAAAUUCUAGAAACAUUCAGAUGUUGUGUAUAUUGCGAGUAGGUAGUCAUCUUACAUUAAUUAUAGUGUCAUCGACCAAAUUAAAAUCUCUUUAUCCGAAAAACAGCUUGAGCUGUUUAGGAAUACAUGUUUUUGUGACUUUCUUUACCUUCCAAAAGUGAACAUACAACUCCAACUUAUUCAUUGCCUUAUGAAUAAGGAGUUAAAACACACUCCAGAUAAUGUGUUUGCUAUUGAAAUACAUGACAAAAAAUUGGUUUUUAGUCUAAGAGAAUUUGGAUUAGUUAUUAGCUUAAAUUGUGUUAGUGAUGACACUCCUGUCAAUGUUCCAGAUUCUAAGUUAGUUUGUUGAGAAAUUAUUUUCCAGAACAAAUCACUGUUCAAAAGAGUCAUCUACGUGAGUUGUUUCUAGCUAAAAAAAUCAUAGAUGAUGACUCCGUUGUUUCAUUGGUUGUUCUCUUCUUUGUUAAUGAAUUUUUAUUUUCCUAUGAGAACAAUGAACACCAAAUUAGUAAUAGAUAUUUUUACAUUGUGGAAAGUGGACAAUUCAAUUCAUAUCCGUGGGGAUUAAAUGUCUACAAGGAGUUGCUUGAUUCUGUGUGGCACGCGCUUAAAUCAACCCAUAAAUACUAUAGAUUGGGUGGCUUGUCUCUUGCUCUUCAAAUUUGGAUAUUUGAUUGUUGUUCAAAAGUCGAUGAAGAUAUAGCUAUUCGGGUUUUUGAUUCUAUUCCAAGAAUCUUGAAUUGGAAGACAACUGUUGAUAGUCCAUGACAAAAAUAUAUUGAGAAAUAUCUCUUCAUGCCUACAAAAAAAUAAGGUAUUUGUACAAAGUUAAUACAUUUUAUGACAUUUUUUAGUUCAACUCAAGUUAAUAUAUCUAUUUUUAUUUUCUUUAUUUGAUUUUUCAGUUUGAGAACAUAGUGGCCGGUGAAGAUGAAGUUUAUAAAUUCAGGCUUCUUGAACCUCGUGAUUACAAUGCUGAAAUUUUAAAAUUGGAGCCCAAAGAAUCAAGUCAUGGUCUAGACAUGUUGACUAAGGAAGUUAUAGAAUUGAGAAAAGAACUUAUAAAGGUAUAUAAAAACUUGACUUUAGGCUUGAUUAUUUUCAAAAUUGUUAUUUUAAUAUUUGUGUUAUGUUUGAUUAUCUAUUAGGCGAAUGAAAACCACAAAGCACUUGAAAAGAAGAAAGAUUUAGGAUUUAAUCAAAUCAAAGAAUUUGUGGUGAAUUCUAACAAACAACUAUUUGAGGAUAUUUCUUUGUUGUUUGCUAAGAGUGAUGGUAGCAGCUCUGUUAUCCGAAAAGCUGGAAACCAUAUAACAGGAAGGCAUUUCAGAUAACAGAGUUGCUACCAUCACUCUUAACAAACAACAAAGAAAUAUCCUCAAAUAGUUGUUUGUUAGAAUUCACCACAAAUUCUUUGAUUUGAUUCAAUCCUAAAUCUAUCUUCUAUUCAAGUGCUUAGUGGUUUUCAUUUGCCUAGUAGUUAAUCAAACAAUACACAAAUAUUAAAAUAACAAUUUUGAAAAAAAACAAGCCUAAAGUCAAGUUUUUAUAUACCUUUAUAAGUUCUUUUUUCAAUUCUAUAACUUCAUUAGUCAACAUGUCUAGACCAUGACUUGAUCCUUUGGGCUCCAAUUUUAAAAUUUCAACAUUGUAAUCACGAGGUUCAAGAAGUCUGAAUUUAUAAACUUCAUCUUCACCAGCCACUAAGUUUUCAAACUGAAAAAUCAAAUAAAGAAAAUAAAAAUAGAUAUAUUAACUUGAGUUGAACUAAACAAUGUCAUAAAAUGUAUUAACUUUGUACAAAUACCUUAUUUUUUUUGUAGGCAUGAAGAGAUAUUUCUCAAUAUAUUUUUGCCAUGGACUAUCAACAUUUGUCUUCCAAUUCAAGAUUCUUGGAAUUGAAUCAGAAACCCGAAUAGCUAUAUCUUCAUCGACUUUUGAACAACAAUCAAAUAUCCAAAUUUGAAGAGCAAGAGACAAGCCACCCAAUUUAUAGUAUUUAUGGGUUGAUUUAAGCGCGUGCCUCACAGAAUCAAGCAACUCCUUGUAGACAUCUAAUCCCCACAGAUAUGAAUUGUCCACUUUCCACAAUGUAAAAAUAUUUAUUACUAAUUUGGUGUUCAUGGUUCUCAUAUGAAAAUAAAAAUUCAUUAAUAAAGAAGAGAACAACCAAUGAAACAACGGAGUCAUCAUCUAUGAAUUUUUAAGCUAGAAACAACUCACGUAGAUGACUCUUUUGAACAGUGAUUUGUUCUGGAAAAUAAUUUCUCAACAAACUAACUUAGAAUCUGGAACAUUGACAGGAGUUCCAUCACUAAUACAAUUUAAGCCAGUAACUAAUCCAAAUUCUCUAAGACUAAAAAACAACUUUUUGUAUUCAAUAGCAAACACAUUAUCUGGAGUGUGUUUUAACUCCUUAUUCAUAAGGCAAUGAAUAAGUUGGAGUUGUAUGUUCACUUUUGGAAGGUAAAGAAAGUCACAAAACAUGUAUUCCUAAACAGCUCAAGCUGUUUUUCGGAUAAAGAGAUUUUAAUUUGGUCGAUGACACUAUGAUUAAUGUAGAAUGACUACCUACUCGCAAUAUCCACAACAUCCGGAUGUUUUCAGAAUUUACGAUUCUGCAUAGAAAUUGAACUUCAACUUUAAUUAGUCAAACUAACUUUCAGUAAUCUUAAUAAAUCAAUUAACUGCAAAAUGUAUUAAACUUGAAUUAAAAAUGUAUUACUACUACAUACUAAAGAUGAAUUACAAAUACUACAUAUCAAACUAAGUCAGUAAUAAGUAUACAAGUCCUAAACAACAACUAACUAAGAAAACACAUAGAUAUAGAUUGUUCUUGAUACUUCUCCGGGUAAAACCAGACUGCGCCUUGAAUAUCAGGUCUAGGCUAGAGCAUCCCAGUUCUGACUUUUGAAUCAAAUGUCAAGCAGAAUUUCAAAUCCCGGAAUAAAUCUUGAGGAGUUGAGUCUGCAAAAGGUCUAGGCUUUGCUUGCACUACAUAUCUGAUCUUGCAAUGUGAGCUUCAUUGAAAUAGAACAAGCUUCAAGAAGUCUCAUUAUAUUCAAUUUGUACUUUAAUGUAAAAGGGGUGUGAAGAGAGGUAAUUCCAAUAACAGCCUAAGUUUCUCAGUGGAUAUUUUAGACAUUGUUACCCAUUCUCAACUGGUUUUAGGUGGAAGAGUUUUCUCCACUGUCUGUCUUUGCUGGCAUGGCAGAGAUUCCCUGUUUUGCUUUUAGGACUCCCUUAGCUGUGCAGAAUGUAGAGUAAAGAGAAGAGGAGAAGAGCUUAUCCGAUCUAUCAGAUGUAAAUGUAAAAUAUUUUUAAUUGGUUCGACCAAAAUAUACUCUGAACUUUGUGGGAAGACUAAUAGAUUGAGAAUCCAACUUUAAAUUAUCUGUCAAGGGACCACCUCGAUUGCAUGUUGUGUUUUGAUUGCCGUGUUUCAUAUUUUUGUAUGGGAACUUCUAUGGUGUUAUACUCAAGAAGAUUGUACUAGUUACCUCAUUGUUGUUGCCCAAUUUUUCUUCUUCAUCUGCUGUAACACCUAAUGAUGGCAUCUGGCUUUUAGUCAAAUAUCUGGCUUUCUUUUAGGCAUUGCGGAUCCUUCACAUCAUAGUAUCUCUCAUUAUCAACUAUCCCAAAUGCCUUGGCUAUAACUCUUAAAGCUCUAUGUAUUGUCUCUUAAGAGAAAGAAAAGCAUAAGCUUGAAGAGAAGAACCCUGGAAUGCUGCAGGAAUUAGAGGUGGGAAAACCUAGAUAUCUUACUAUGACUAGACCUGACAAUUGACAUUACUAAUACCUAAAACUGGAAGUAGUUCUCCAGCUUAAAAUAGUAUGGAAAUGUACUUGCUUUUAACUGUGGAAUUAACAAAUUUCUGUAAUGAUGUCAUACUUGUGAUAUUCAUAAAAAACCUUCCCGAUUAAGUGUUUUUUGUCACUCAGUGCUAUUCAGAUGAACUAAAUUUGUUGGUUUCCGUGUAAGUAUCCAUUUGCCUAUGUUGGUAAAUGAUUUAAAGAGCCAAGCUUUGAUUUAUUAUCUUUAAUCUGAUAGUUGUUCAUUUAUUAACUGGACAAUUUGUUUCUUGCAAUGGUCUUAGUGGUUAUGGACAGUGAAAAAUGGUUGUUUGCUGCAGGUAUUUGGUUCAGCAGGAGUUAUUGGAAAUCCUAUGGGGUUUGCAAGGAGCAUGGGUCUUGGCCUCAAAGAUUUCUUGUCAGCUCCUGUGCAAAGUGUUUUCCUGGUACCUUAUGCAUUAUCUGCUCUUUUAUCCUUCCAACUAGAUGUAAACCCAGCUCUUUCUGCAGACUCGUGCAGGUUUAUUAAAGGCAUGGCACAAGGGACCUCUAGUCUUUUGAGUAACACCGUCUAUGCCUUAAGUGAUGCUGCCACCCAAUUCAGAAAAGCUACCCACAAGGUACUUUUGCAUCAAGCAAUAUUUUCAAAUUUUGUAUGUUAUCUGACCCUCAUAUUAAUUUACUUCAUUUUGUAGGGUAUCGUGGCAUUUACUUUUGAUGAUCAGGCUGUCGGAAAUAUGGAAAGACAGCAGAAGGGAAUAUCAUCCCAUAGCAAAGGGGUGAUAAAUGAAUUUUUUGAGGUAUAUUAUUUUCAGUUCUUAGUCGCAUGGGGAUAGAGGCCUAUUCACUUCCUCUUUUAUUCCUUCGACUCUUCAUGCCUUUAGAAUACUAUAGCUCCUUGGAGUCUCACUGUAUCUCAUGUGUGUCAAGACGUCACCGCUAAAGAAGGAUUAGCAUGUAUUGACAGUUCAUGUCUUGCAAUUUUGAUUCAUUUCUUUUUUGCAAUUCAUACCUAAGAAAGGGUUGAAAGAAGACUUGCAGGGUGGCAAAAGAGGUAUAUGUCAAAAGAGGGAAAUGAAGUGUUCAUGUUGGUGUUUUUUAAAAUGGGGCGGCACAAAAAGAUUGAAAAUGUCUCUCAAUGGAUUGAAAUGACUUUCAAUAAUUUUAUUAAGCAAUGAGGGGCUUCAAAUAGCCAACAUAAAAUACAUAGUCUGCAUAAUUUAAAAUUUAAACAACCUAAAAUAUCUCAACAACAUAAACAAACUAACUAAAAUUCAAAAUUCAAAUUUAUUCAAACUAAAUAACUUAUUUUGCUAAAAGUUACUACAGUAACUAAAAGCAAACUUCAACACUCCUCCUUUGCUUUAGUUAUUGCAAUUGAAAAAAAUGCUCCUUCUCAAUUUUUUCUUUGGUAGUUGAUGCUGGAUUUUUUUCAUUGUUUUUGAACUUGCAAAAUUUCUUCUUUUUUCUUUUUCUUCUUUUGAUUUUGUUCUUCAAAAACACAUGUGAUGGCAUUGUCUUGUGUAGAAGUUUUUUUGAAAGUGUUUUAAUUUGAACUUUUGUAUGAUUUGCAGAGAGAGGUUGUAAGGGUUUUUCUUCCAUCCCAACCUCACAUAUCACAUAGGUUUCAAAAUAUGGUUUUAUUCUCACAGACCAAAUUUGAUAGUUUUCGUCUGUGAAAAUUUGUGGAGCAUUCAAAGAGAGCCUGCUGCUUGCCAUUAUUUUUGGUUAAAAAUUGAUUUAGAAAAGUCUUUGUGUUGAAAAAAACACGGCUUGAAAAGGUAGCCUUGAUAGGUUAAAAUGGGUAACCCUGAUGGGUUAAAAAGGUAGCCCUUACUAGUUAAAAAUGCAUGGUAGUUCUUUGGAAGAUUUCACAGAUCCCUUAAGAUCAAUGAAGCUCUUGAUACCACUGUUGGUGUUUUUUAAAAAUGGGGCAGCACAAAAAGAUUGAAAAUGUCUCUCAAUGGAUUGAAAUGACUUUCAAUAAUUUUAUUAAGCAUUGAGGGGAUUUAAAUAGCCAACAUAAAACACAUAAUCUGCAUAAUUCAAAAUUUAAACAACCUAAAAUAUCUCAACAACAUAAACAAAUUAACUAAAAUUCAAAAUUCAAAUUUAUUCAAACUAAAUAACUUAUUUUGCUAAAAGUUACUGCAGUAACUAAAAGCAAACCUCAACAGUUCAUCAAGAGAACCCCGUUGAGUGUUCAUCAAGUUGGUGCUUUAUGUCCAAAAACCCGGGAUAGGGAGUGGGUCACCUUCUUAUAACAUUGUCUGGUUGUUGUUUUGUUUUUUAGUAAAUGUGAGAAAUAUAGGAGAAAAAUAUUACUGAAUUGUAUAUCUACAUUAUUACACAGAGACUAUUUAUAGACAUUAUAAUAUAAUUCUUUACCAAGUAGGAUACUAUAUAUUAUUCCUAUUCCUAUUUUAAGUAGGAUUGUGUAUACCUAUUCCUUUUCUAACACUCCCCCUCAAAUUGGUGCAUACAAAUCAUAUGUACCUAGCUUGUUGCAAAUGUAAUUAGUACGAGGACCAGUGAGGAACUUGGUGAAGAUAUUGCAAGUUAACCACUUGAUUUCACAAAUUUUGUAACAAUAUCUCCUGAGAGUAUCUUUUCUCUGACAAAGUGACUAUCAAUCUCAACGUGCUUAGUCCUGUCAUGAAACACUGGAUUUCAUGUGAUAUGAAGGGCCGCUUGAUUAUCACACACAUGUUCAAUAUGACCGAUUUUUCCAAAUUUUAGUUCUCUCAGCAACUACUUGAUCCAAAUUAGCUCACAAGUUGCUACAACCAUUGCUUGAUAUUCUAUUUUUGCACUAGAUCGAGCAACCAUUUUGUUUCUUACUCUUCCACGACACCAAAUUACCUCCUACUAAAACACAAUAUUAGGAUGUAGAACGUCUAUUAGAGGGUGAUCCUACCCAAUCAACGUAUGUAUGUCCGAUGAUAUGGUCAUGGCCUUGAUCCUCGAAAAGUAGUCCUUUAUCGAGAGCUGACUUAAUAUAUUACACAAUACGAGUAACUGCAUCCUAAUGAUUAUCACAAGGGGAAGUGGAAAAUCCUCUUUCAGUUGUGGUCUAAUUGCGCUCUGUCGGUGAAAACCUCCUACUUCACAGCAAGAGAUCGUAUUGGUGCUAUCUUAUUAGGAGGUCGUAAACUAAGGGCUUAGAGCGUUAUGCUCAUCCAAGAGAAAGAUUCCAUCUCGUCUUUAAAGCAAUGGUCUACGACUCCGCCACUUGCUUAGGUUAGGAGAGCUCCUUUCUCAUUUUUGUUCUAUCAUUAAGAGAAGGAUCAUAAGCCUAGUCCCAAGUUAAACAACAUAACACCCACAAGAAAAGAGAUGUCAGGUGUAAUUAUUGUGAGAUAAUUCAAGUUUCCAACUUGUAGUCUAUACCUUUCAGGAAUACUAAGUGGCUCUCUUUGUCCUAGAAGGAAUUUAACUUUUGGAUCCAUAGGAAUGUCUAUGGGUUAACAUCCCAACAUUCUUGUCUCCUUAGAAUGUCUAACGCAUACUUGCGUUGAGAAAUAACAAUAUCGUAUCUAGAUUGAGCAACCUCAAUACCUAGAAACUACUUCAGUCUACCGAGGUCCUUAGUCUGGAAAUGUUGCUUCAAAUUAGUGAUACCAUCUUGAUCAUUACCGGUGAUAACGAUAUAAUAAAUGUAAAUAACCAAAUAAAUACAUAGAUUUGGUGUUGAAUGCUCACAAAACACAGAGUGAUCGGCUCCAUUACGAGUCAUGCGAAACUCUUGAAUUACUGUGCUGAAUUUUUCAAACCGAUCUCGAGGAGACUAUUUCAGACCAUAGAGUGACCUAUACAAUCAACAUACAAGGCUAUUAGACUCCCUUUGAGUAACAAAACUAGGUGGUUACUCCAUAUAGACUUCUCCCUCAAGAUUACUAGAUAGGCUGAUGAAGAAGCCAAUGACGAACGAUAGCCAUAGAUAGAAAAAUAUGGAUAGUCGCUAUUUUAUCCAUGGGAGUGUAAGUCUCACUAUAAUCUCGCCCAAAUAUUUGCGCAUACCCUUUGGCAACAAGGUGAGCAUUUAGCCAAUCAACCUGAUCAUCUAGACCAAUUUUGAUUGCAUAAACCCAGUGGCAAGCAACCAUAGAUUUACCUAUAGGAAGAGAGACAAGCUCCCAAGUGUCACGCCCCGAGCCUACACCCUGGGCGGGACUGACACUCGAGAACCAUUGCUGGCCCCAAGCGAACCCUUGGCCUGACUUACUUACUCAGCGGAAGACUAUAUGCAAUAAGAAAGGAAUUCAAAUGCUAAACAACUUAACUGUCUCAAACUGAACUCAUAAUGUUUUGAAAAUAAACAUUUAACUUAGCCAAAAUGACAACUCAAAUCUGAACAUAAGUCAAUAACAAAAUGAUGACGAAUGAACUAACAUCUGACUGACUAUCUAUGAAGCCUCUAAAACAACUGAGAUGGAUGUCGGGACAGGCCCACGACAUCCUAAUNNNNNNNNNNNNNNNNNNNNNNNNNNNNNNNNNNNNNNNNNNNNNNNNNNNNNNNNNNNNNNNNNNNNNNNNNNNNNNNNNNNNNNNNNNNNNNNNNNNNNNNNNNNNNNNNNNNNNNNNNNNNNNNNNNNNNNNNNNNNNNNNNNNNNNNNNNNNNNNNNNNNNNNNNNNNNNNNNNNNNNNNNNNNNNNNNNNNNNNNNNNNNNNNNNNNNNNNNNNNNNNNNNNNNNNNNNNNNNNNNNNNNNNNNNNNNNNNNNNNNNNNNNNNNNNNNNNNNNNNNNNNNNNNNNNNNNNNNNNNNNNNNNNNNNNNNNNNNNNNNNNNNNNNNNNNNNNNNNNNNNNNNNNNNNNNNNNNNNNNNNNNNNNNNNNNNNNNNNNNNNNNNNNNNNNNNNNNNNNNNNNNNNNNNNNNNNNNNNNNNNNNNNNNNNNNNNNNNNNNNNNNNNNNNNNNNNNNNNNNNNNNNNNNNNNNNNNNNNNNNNNNNNNNNNNNNNNNNNNNNNNNNNNNNNNNNNNNNNNNNNNNNNNNNNNNNNNNNNNNNNNNNNNNNNNNNNNNNNNNNNNNNNNNNNNNNNNNNNNNNNNNNNNNNNNNNNNNNNNNNNNNNNNNNNNNNNNNNNNNNNNNNNNNNNNNNNNNNNNNNNNNNNNNNNNNNNNNNNNNNNNNNNNNNNNNNNNNNNNNNNNNNNNNNNNNNNNNNNNNNNNNNNNNNNNNNNNNNNNNNNNNNNNNNNNNNNNNNNNNNNNNNNNNNNNNNNNNNNNNNNNNNNNNNNNNNNNNNNNNNNNNNNNNNNNNNNNNNNNNNNNNNNNNNNNNNNNNNNNNNNNNNNNNNNNNNNNNNNNNNNNNNNNNNNNNNNNNNNNNNNNNNNNNNNNNNNNNNNNNNNNNNNNNNNNNNNNNNNNNNNNNNNNNNNNNNNNNNNNNNNNNNNNNNNNNNNNNNNNNNNNNNNNNNNNNNNNNNNNNNNNNNNNNNNNNNNNNNNNNNNNNNNNNNNNNNNNNNNNNNNNNNNNNNNNNNNNNNNNNNNNNNNNNNNNNNNNNNNNNNNNNNNNNNNNNNNNNNNNNNNNNNNNNNNNNNNNNNNNNNNNNNNNNNNNNNNNNNNNNNNNNNNNNNNNNNNNNNNNNNNNNNNNNNNNNNNNNNNNNNNNNNNNNNNNNNNNNNNNNNGAUGCUGUUCCUAGUUACCUGUGUCUGCAUCAUAAUCAGAUGCAGGCGAACUGGCAUCAGUACAUUGAAUGUACGAGUAUGCGAGUUGGAAUGCUAAACACAACCUAGGCUUGAAAAGAAUCUAAAAGGAACUGAGGAACUUACCUGGCUCAACUCAACUCAACUCAACAACCCUGAACUCAUUUCAAUAUAAAGCAGUUUAAAACAAGUGCAAAUAUAAAGAAAAGUUGUUUAAAACAUGAUGUCAACUCUGUGUGUAUGCAAAGAUUCAAAUAACUCUGAGAUGUAUGCAAAUAAACUGAUGUAUAUAAAAAUACAAUGUAUUGUUGUGGGAGUUUCUCUAACCGACAAUAAUCACAUAAGAGCUAUUGUGAUGAUACAACGAUCUCCCUCACGUUGCCAGCGCAUCCUAUAGCGCAUCCUAUACCCUGCCAAGGGUAUAGGACCUAACUAACUAAGUGGAUCCACUAAUCUAUGCGAAAAUGAUUCAUCUAAAAAGUAUGACCCUUUUCUACCCAUGAUGGCUACAUGGUUUAUGGAGACGCGCCCAUAUCGGUGCUCAAUACUACUCCCAAAAUAUGAUACUAGCUCGUUAUGUUUAAAACAUACUUCUUUCUGUGAUUUGAGAUUAGUGCUCAAAAACUUAGUUCAAAGGCUAUCUUGGAAAUCAAAGUUUCCCCUCUUGCUUCAUUUAGAAAGCGAUUACUCUUUUCUGAAAACUAGCCGAAGGCUCUUUGGAAAUCUCAGUUUCCGUUCUUAUUUAAAUGUGAAAACAUUUUAAAUCUCUUUGGGAAUACUUAGUCCCCAUAUACUUUUUGAAGAAAAGAACUUCAACUUUAUUCUUUACUGAACUCAAAACUCAAGUCUUAAAACCAAGUUAAAACGUUUGCAAAAGACUUUUGGAAAACUUUGAAGGACUUCCCUUGACUUGACUUUUGACUUCUCUUGACUUUGAUCUUAACUGCUCUUGACUUGACUCCUAACUGGUCCUUGAAUUGAAUUAUGGAUUCAAGGAUUUGUGAUUUGUGAUUGGAAAGAUCUCAUGAUGUUUAGGAAUGAUUUUAGAUAACUAAACAUGAGAAAAGACCAAAAAUCAAUAUCUGAGGGUGGGUUCGCGACGCGAAGAAGCUUUUAAAAUUUAGUUUUGAAAAUGACUUUUGAGGCAGAGGACUCCGUGACGGCUCCACGACACGAAACGAAAAUUCCAUUUCUGGGAACCAGCUUCGCGACGCGCCCCCACCUCCCAAUUUCGUUCGCCGAAAUUUCUUCUUCGUUUUUCAGCUCUAAACCCCCUAAACUCCAUGGGUUCUUUUACCCAACACUUAGAAUCGAUUAAAUGUUCAAAGUACAUCAGAUUCUACUCAAAAUCGAACCUAAAAUCACAGAUUAGGAUAAAACAACUCCUCAACGAAUUCAACGAAACAAGAAUCUAAUGAAAUUCAACAAACCCCAUUCAAGAACUCAAUUUCUAAGCUUUCAAGAACUUAAAUUCGCUGAAAUAAAUCUUGAUUGGCGCAUGGGCGAAUUAACCCAACGCUAUGUGAUCUCACAUACCUUGUAGGGAUCACCCCCGACGAAAUCCACAAGCCAAACUCGACGAUCUUGACGAAUCUUGAACGUUCUUCUCCUUUUUCCUCUUUUCUCUUCUCUCAAAACCUUAACUCUUUUUCCAAAAGCGUAAACUGACUAAGUUCAAUUUAGACCCCUAAGUAAUUACCAAAAACGAAUUAAAAUAAAAGGGUAGGAAAAGACCAAACUACCCUUCAAAAAUCCGGAUUUGGACUUUCCUUAAUCCAACAGCCCAACUUCCAAAGGGCAUAACUUACUCAUACGAACUCGGAAUCGCGCAAACUCGGCGGCGUUGGAAAGAUCAUUCCAACCAUAUCUGGAAGUACACCUAACUCAUCUUGAGCUAGGAGUUAUGGCCGUUUGAAGUUGACCAAAAACUCACUUUUCCUAACCUAAACAAAUUUUCAGAUUUUCAAUUCUUUCCAAAAAUGACUAUUUCCAAUUCUUAGCUUCUUCCUUGCUAUUUCAAAUUGCGAGAUGUUACACCAAGUACCAUUCGUAUGUAAAGCAGACAUCUCAUCAAUCAUAGCCUGCCUCCAUCCAAAAUGAGAUUGUUUCACCUAUAGUCUUAGAAAUGGAAAUAGAAGACAAAGAAUGUUGCAUUGGCAAAUUUCAAUGGGUUAUCGGCGGAAAGGAUUCUAUCAUAUGGAAAUACACUAGAGAUGGAAGCCUUUUUGUUAACAAGCUAUAUAUUAAGGAGGUGAAGGAGCAUCCAGGUGGUAAGCUUGGCCCCUGGAAGUAGAUUUGGAGGAACAAGGUGCCAACCAAGAUAAAGUGUUUCUCUUGGUUGGUUGCCAAAAGAGCAUGCUCCACACAUGAGAAAUUGAAAAGGAGAGGUUUCUAUAUUGCCUCUUGGUGCUCUCUCUGUAAUGAGACUGAGGAAACCAACAACCACUUGUUCCUCCAUUGCAGAGUGACAAUACAAUUGUGGAUCCUUUUUUUGGGACUAACACAUACAAAAUGGAUUAUGCCUACUUAGGUGCUGGAUCAACAGAGACGGGAGAAAAUUUAAGAAAAAGUGGUGGAGUAUAAUACCAUCAUGCAUUUGGUGGUCUAUUUGGAAAGAAAGAAAUAGCAGAUGCUAUUAUAACAAAGCUAAUUCAAUAGAGAAAGUCAAAUGGAACUGCUUGACAACUUUUUAUUUUUGGUAUAAAGAGGAAGGAAUAGAAGAAGAUGCACAAAUUUUAGAUUUUAUAGGCAAUUUGUAAUCUAGUAGCCUUUUUGUUUUUUUUUCUCUUGUUGGAAACCAAUUUUUGGAGGUCUCCAUCAUAUCCUUAAUGCUGAGGAAUACAACAUUAUCUUUCUAAAAGAAAAGAAAGUAUCGAUGAAGAUCAGGUAAAUAACAACGAUACCCUUUUUGAACUCAAGAGUAAUCAAGAAAGACACAUUUGAGAGCAUGAAGGAUAAUUCAUCUUUCUUUGUGGCUAAGUUAUGAGCAUGUUCUCCCAAAGACACGAGGGGGGAUAGAGUUGAGAUGUGACACAUGUUCUCCCAAUGCCUAAGGCAAAAAGUACGACAUGAUCAUUUUCACUUCAAAAACAUGUUUAAUCCAACCCAAAACUUAUCAACUGAUUGAGGUUAAGCGUAAUAUCCGCUCAGCAGUUAUUGGAUCCAGGAAAGCAAGAAUUAUACACUCACACUCCACAGCCAAACUAGAAGAAAUUUAUUUAGGUGUGUGCACUAUCAAGCAGAAAUUUCUCAAUAUUCUGUACCUGACAUCAGUAUAUUACUAAGAGGUCCAAAACACACAGUCCCCAAAAACCCUCUCUCUCCUACUUCCUAGGAGGGAGAAACACUUAUCUUUCCGGUAGUCUUGCCGGGAACUACCACCUUUCCUUCACAUCAACUGAGUUACCACCUUCUGUGGUACCUCAAAAUCCCUUUUCUGUCCUCUUAUACCUCUGCUAUACCAUGGGGGAUAAUAGAAUAUACUUCAAUCAAGGAUUCAAAUCCUACGACAUUACCAGAUGGACUUCCAAUCAUGUCUUUUGGUAUGACUGGGUAGAAAGAAGCAGAAACAAGAUGAGUAGGAUUACACUUAGUGAGAAGGUGAUGGAAUGGAUUUGCUUCAUCCUCAGGGAAGCCUCAUCUGACCAGAAAAAUUUAGUGAGAAGAUGGCGAUAUAAGGACCAGGCAGCUGAGUUUUUUGGUACUAGGAAAUAUAAUGCUCAUGGGAGAUACAUGAGUAUUCUGUCACUAAAGGGAGAAGACAGAUCAGUUAUCAUAGUACCUGAAUUAGACAUUAAUGCUGGGUGGAGGAGUGUGGCAUUUAAGAUACAAAGCUUUAUUAAAUGCAUACCACAGAAGGAGUUGAAGAUCAAGUCCCAAAAAUGUGACAUAAAUGUCUCCUUUGCAAAGGUGGUUGAGGGCAGUAAAUGGCAGAGCAGCAAAUAUGAGGCACCCACAUCUAAGGACAAAAAGACUGAAUCCGAGGUAAUUGUCAAAAGCAGAGAACAAGGUCUGUUGGGAAGGUGCAUUAUUGGAUUCUUUGACAAAAACAAUGCAGAAAGGCCUACCUUGUCUGAUGUUAGACAAUGGUCUACAACAGUGUGGAAGAAGGCUUUUGGAGUCAAUAUAUACGAGAUGCUGGGUGGACACUAUCUCUUCGAGUUCCCCAACAGGUAUAUGGCGGAACAAAUCCUUCAAGGAGAAUGGAUAUGGAAGAGAAACAAAAUAAAAUUAGAGUGGUGGAACCCAUAUGUAGGCUGUGAACCAACUACAUACAAACCCAAAUCCACUUGGAUUAGGGUUAUGGGUCUGCCUAUGCAUUUAUGGACGGAUGAGACCUUCAAGGAGAUCGGCAAGCUCUGUGGUGGAUGGUUGAUGACGGAGGAGGAGACAGAACUGAGAAACCAUCUCAAGUGGGCAAGGAUCGAAAUACGAGGUGAUGGUCGGAGCAUUCCAAGUGAAGUCUCUAUUUCUAGAGAUGGAACUAAAUUCAUAAUUCCGAUCUGGGNNNNNNNNNNNNNNNNNNNNNNNNNNNNNNNNNNNNNNNNNNNNNNNNNNNNNNNNNNNNNNNNNNNNNNNNNNNNNNNNNNNNNNNNNNNNNNNNNNNNNNNNNNNNNNNNNNNNNNNNNNNNNNNNNNNNNNNNNNNNNNNNNNNNNNNNNNNNNNNNNNNNNNNNNNNNNNNNNNNNNNNNNNNNNNNNNNNNNNNNNNNNNNNNNNNNNNNNNNNNNNNNNNNNNNNNNNNNNNNNNNNNNNNNNNNNNNNNNNNNNNNNNNNNNNNNNNNNNNNNNNNNNNNNNNNNNNNNNNNNNNNNNNNNNNNNNNNNNNNNNNNNNNNNNNNNNNNNNNNNNNNNNNNNNNNNNNNNNNNNNNNNNNNNNNNNNNNNNNNNNNNNNNNNNNNNNNNNNNNNNNNNNNNNNNNNNNNNNNNNNNNNNNNNNNNNNNNNNNNNNNNNNNNNNNNNNNNNNNNNNNNNNNNNNNNNNNNNNNNNNNNNNNNNNNNNNNNNNNNNNNNNNNNNNNNNNNNNNNNNNNNNNNNNNNNNNNNNNNNNNNNNNNNNNNNNNNNNNNNNNNNNNNNNNNNNNNNNNNNNNNNNNNNNNNNNNNNNNNNNNNNNNNNNNNNNNNNNNNNNNNNNNNNNNNNNNNNNNNNNNNNNNNNNNNNNNNNNNNNNNNNNNNNNNNNNNNNNNNNNNNNNNNNNNNNNNNNNNNNNNNNNNNNNNNNNNNNNNNNNNNNNNNNNNNNNNNNNNNNNNNNNNNNNNNNNNNNNNNNNNNNNNNNNNNNNNNNNNNNNNNNNNNNNNNNNNNNNNNNNNNNNNNNNNNNNNNNNNNNNNNNNNNNNNNNNNNNNNNNNNNNNNNNNNNNNNNNNNNNNNNNNNNNNNNNNNNNNNNNNNNNNNNNNNNNNNNNNNNNNNNNNNNNNNNNNNNNNNNNNNNNNNNNNNNNNNNNNNNNNNNNNNNNNNNNNNNNNNNNNNNNNNNNNNNNNNNNNNNNNNNNNNNNNNNNNNNNNNNNNNNNNNNNNNNNNNNNNNNNNNNNNNNNNNNNNNNNNNNNNNNNNNNNNNNNNNNNNNNNNNNNNNNNNNNNNNNNNNNNNNNNNNNNNNNNNNNNNNNNNNNNNNNNNNNNNNNNNNNNNNNNNNNNNNNNNNNNNNNNNNNNNNNNNNNNNNNNNNNNNNNNNNNNNNNNNNNNNNNNNNNNNNNNNNNNNNNNNNNNNNNNNNNNNNNNNNNNNNNNNNNNNNNNNNNNNNNNNNNNNNNNNNNNNNNNNNNNNNNNNNNNNNNNNNNNNNNNNNNNNNNNNNNNNNNNNNNNNNNNNNNNNNNNNNNNNNNNNNNNNNNNNNNNNNNNNNNNNNNNNNNNNNNNNNNNNNNNNNNNNNNNNNNNNNNNNNNNNNNNNNNNNNNNNNNNNNNNNNNNNNNNNNNNNNNNNNNNNNNNNNNNNNNNNNNNNNNNNNNNNNNNNNNNNNNNNNNNNNNNNNNNNNNNNNNNNNNNNNNNNNNNNNNNNNNNNNNNNNNNNNNNNNNNNNNNNNNNNNNNNNNNNNNNNNNNNNNNNNNNNNNNNNNNNNNNNNNNNNNNNNNNNNNNNNNNNNNNNNNNNNNNNNNNNNNNNNNNNNNNNNNNNNNNNNNNNNNNNNNNNNNNNNNNNNNNNNNNNNNNNNNNNNNNNNNNNNNNNNNNNNNNNNNNNNNNNNNNNNNNNNNNNNNNNNNNNNNNNNNNNNNNNNNNNNNNNNNNNNNNNNNNNNNNNNNNNNNNNNNNNNNNNNNNNNNNNNNNNNNNNNNNNNNNNNNNNNNNNNNNNNNNNNNNNNNNNNNNNNNNNNNNNNNNNNNNNNNNNNNNNNNNNNNNNNNNNNNNNNNNNNNNNNNNNNNNNNNNNNNNNNNNNNNNNNNNNNNNNNNNNNNNNNNNNNNNNNNNNNNNNNNNNNNNNNNNNNNNNNNNNNNNNNNNNNNNNNNNNNNNNNNNNNNNNNNNNNNNNNNNNNNNNNNNNNNNNNNNNNNNNNNNNNNNNNNNNNNNNNNNNNNNNNNNNNNNNNNNNNNNNNNNNNNNNNNNNNNNNNNNNNNNNNNNNNNNNNNNNNNNNNNNNNNNNNNNNNNNNNNNNNNNNNNNNNNNNNNNNNNNNNNNNNNNNNNNNNNNNNNNNNNNNNNNNNNNNNNNNNNNNNNNNNNNNNNNNNNNNNNNNNNNNNNNNNNNNNNNNNNNNNNNNNNNNNNNNNNNNNNNNNNNNNNNNNNNNNNNNNNNNNNNNNNNNNNNNNNNNNNNNNNNNNNNNNNNNNNNNNNNNNNNNNNNNNNNNNNNNNNNNNNNNNNNNNNNNNNNNNNNNNNNNNNNNNNNNNNNNNNNNNNNNNNNNNNNNNNNNNNNNNNNNNNNNNNNNNNNNNNNNNNNNNNNNNNNNNNNNNNNNNNNNNNNNNNNNNNNNNNNNNNNNNNNNNNNNNNNNNNNNNNNNNNNNNNNNNNNNNNNNNNNNNNNNNNNNNNNNNNNNNNNNNNNNNNNNNNNNNNNNNNNNNNNNNNNNNNNNNNNNNNNNNNNNNNNNNNNNNNNNNNNNNNNNNNNNNNNNNNNNNNNNNNNNNNNNNNNNNNNNNNNNNNNNNNNNNNNNNNNNNNNNNNNNNNNNNNNNNNNNNNNNNNNNNNNNNNNNNNNNNNNNNNNNNNNNNNNNNNNNNNNNNNNNNNNNNNNNNNNNNNNNNNNNNNNNNNNNNNNNNNNNNNNNNNNNNNNNNNNNNNNNNNNNNNNNNNNNNNNNNNNNNNNNNNNNNNNNNNNNNNNNNNNNNNNNNNNNNNNNNNNNNNNNNNNNNNNNNNNNNNNNNNNNNNNNNNNNNNNNNNNNNNNNNNNNNNNNNNNNNNNNNNNNNNNNNNNNNNNNNNNNNNNNNNNNNNNNNNNNNNNNNNNNNNNNNNNNNNNNNNNNNNNNNNNNNNNNNNNNNNNNNNNNNNNNNNNNNNNNNNNNNNNNNNNNNNNNNNNNNNNNNNNNNNNNNNNNNNNNNNNNNNNNNNNNNNNNNNNNNNNNNNNNNNNNNNNNNNNNNNNNNNNNNNNNNNNNNNNNNNNNNNNNNNNNNNNNNNNNNNNNNNNNNNNNNNNNNNNNNNNNNNNNNNNNNNNNNNNNNNNNNNNNNNNNNNNNNNNNNNNNNNNNNNNNNNNNNNNNNNNNNNNNNNNNNNNNNNNNNNNNNNNNNNNNNNNNNNNNNNNNNNNNNNNNNNNNNNNNNNNNNNNNNNNNNNNNNNNNNNNNNNNNNNNNNNNNNNNNNNNNNNNNNNNNNNNNNNNNNNNNNNNNNNNNNNNNNNNNNNNNNNNNNNNNNNNNNNNNNNNNNNNNNNNNNNNNNNNNNNNNNNNNNNNNNNNNNNNNNNNNNNNNNNNNNNNNNNNNNNNNNNNNNNNNNNNNNNNNNNNNNNNNNNNNNNNNNNNNNNNNNNNNNNNNNNNNNNNNNNNNNNNNNNNNNNNNNNNNNNNNNNNNNNNNNNNNNNNNNNNNNNNNNNNNNNNNNNNNNNNNNNNNNNNNNNNNNNNNNNNNNNNNNNNNNNNNNNNNNNNNNNNNNNNNNNNNNNNNNNNNNNNNNNNNNNNNNNNNNNNNNNNNNNNNNNNNNNNNNNNNNNNNNNNNNNNNAAAAUAAAAAAUCACAUAAUAAUUCAAGGGUAUAAUUGGAAAUAAGCUUCUUGUAGAGUCUUAAACCACACACAAGAUUAGGUUGGAAAUAAUGAACCAAACACUUGAUAAAAACAGAUAAGUUCUGGUGGCAUUCAAGACUUCAAAUGGCCUUGGAAGCAAAUCUGGAGGAACAAAGUGCCACACAAAGUGGCAUGCUUUACAUGGCUACUAGCCAAUAAAGCAGUUUUGACGUUGGAUAAUGUGGCCAAGAGAGGAAUCUCUCUAUGUAACAGAUGUUCCUUAUGUGGUAAGGCUAAUGAGACAGUGAGACAUCUUUUCUUACAUUGCAACUUUACUGAGCAGCUGUGGAAGAUUUUCCUUAAUCUCAGAGGCAUAUCUUGGUGUAUGCCUAGCAAGAUUGAUGAGACUCUAUUCAGUUGGGAGAUGGCUGGAGUUGGGGCUACAAACAGAGAAAGAUGGAGGAUGAUCCCUGCUAGUAUUUGGUGGACUAUAUGGAGGGAGAGAAACGAGAGAUGUUUUGAGAAUAGGAACAACAACUUGCAGGAAGUAAAGCUUAAGUGUAUUUUGUUGUUCUGCUUUUGGUGUACAAAUGUCUACUCCAAUGAAACUGAGUCAAUCAUAGAUGUUUUAGGAUCCAUUUAGAUUUGGUUCAGUUUUUGGAUAGAUUUUACUCCUUUCUGCUUUUGUAAAUAUGGUUUUUCAGUACUACCUAAGUACUAAAUGAAAUACAAAUGUUACUAGUUUCAAAAAAUAGUAUGGAAUGUGGAACCUGAUUUUGCAUAGAAGAUCAGGGUAUUCUAUUAAUUAAAUAAUAAGACGCAAGAACUACAUUGCCCCAAAAACGCAACGAAACAUGGGAUUCAAUGAGAAGUGUGAGUAGUCUCAAUGAGAUGCUUAUUCUUCCUUUACACCGUUUUGUUGCGGGGUGUACGGAUAAGAUGUCUGGCGAGUAAUUCCUUGGUGAGUCAUAAACUCCUGAAAUUGGGAGGACAAGUAUUAUAAGGUAUUAUCACUACGAAAACUAUGAAUAGAAACUAAAUGGAGAAGCCAAAAUUCAAGUUAGUGGGGAAAAUUAUGAUGAUGGCACAUUGUAUUGGUACAAGGUGGAUGAAAUGGAGCUCAUCUCCAGAGUUUUGUCUGAUAAGAAAGUAUCACCAAAACUUAAUGGUAAGUUCUACAGAGUAGUGGUUAGACCAAUAAUGUUGUAUGGGGAAGAGUAUUGGUCAGUCAACAAUUCUCAUGUUCAAAAGAUGAAAGUUGCAAAAAUGAGAAUGUUGAGAUAGAUGCACGGGCUUGACGCAACUUCAGCUUACCAAGGACAUGACCUUAGAUAGGAGGUUAUGGAGGAUACAUAUUAGGGUCUAGGGUAAGUAGAUAGUUGAGUGUUGUCUCGCUUACCCUUUCAUACUAGUAGUCAUAGUAGUUUCUUGGUCUUCCAUUUCUGUUACUAUUUGUUGUUUCUUCUACUUCGACUAUAGUAUUAUUUUGUUGUAGUUAUUGUUCUUUUGUUAGAAGGCUUUGUCAUGCUAUCUUUAAUAUUUUGUCAUCGCUUCUUCACUUUGGUAUUUCUUUCCUAAGUUGCUUUUCAAUGCUUUUCCUUGAGCCGAGGUCUUUUAGAAACAACCAAUCCUUCCGAGACCCCACUUGUGGGGUUACACUGGGUAUUUUGUUAUUUUUGGUGCACUCGUGAGAUUUCUAUUUGUACGGAUGAAUGUCUGACCAUGGUAGAGAACGAUCAACUUUUGUAGGUUCUCUUUUUUGGUUUACUACUUUUAUUUGGGAGUUUCCCCCUUUUAUUAAUAAAAUUAUUCCUUCAUUAAAAAAAAAUAUUAAAAAAAUUGGUACCUAUUUUUGAUUUGUAGGGUCUGACUGGCCUAUUGCAAUCACCUAUUAAAGGGGCAGAGAGACAUGGCCUUCCAGGAGUUCUCUCAGGUAUCAAGUUUAUCCAUGCUAAUCUUCUGGUCACUAUUGCAGGAAAAUUGAAGCUCCUGGGAAGUGAAAGGACUUCUCUUAGAUAAUAUAUUUUUUCUUGCAGGUAUAGCUCUUGGAGUGACUGGACUGGUGGCAAAACCAGCAGCCAGUAUCCUUGAUAUCACCGGCAAAACUGCACAAAGCAUCAGAAAUCGGAGCAAACUGCAUAAUCUGGGAUCUCAUCGCUUUAGGGUCCGAUUGCCAAGGCAUUUAAACAGAGAACUUCCUUUACGGCCAUAUUCUUGGGAAGAAGCAAUUGGAGUAUCUGUACUUAGAGAGGCUGAAGACCAUAUUAAGCUCAAAGACGAAACAUUAGUAGUGUGUAAAGCUCUUAGACAUGAUGGGAAGUUUGUUAUCCUCACUGAGAGACUUAUAUUAAUCGUGUCUUGCUCCAGUAUAGUAAAAUACAGAAUGCCUGAGUUUCAAGGAGUGCCUGCUAACCCUGAAUGGUUGGUAGAAACAGAAAUCGGGAUGGAUAGUGUAAUUCAUGCUGAUAACGACGACGAUGAGGUAGAUAUUGUGGGAAGUAGCUCAGACGCAUUGUUAAGGCAGAACCAUAUCUCACAUAAAAGAAGCUGGGGACCUAAGGGAAAGAGAUGGAACAACAACCCUCGCACAUCGCUUCCGCAACUCCAGACUAAUUUGGUUUUCACAUCAAAAGAUGAAGCAGAAGACUUCCUGCAGGUACUUCUAUCUACAAUUGACAAAGCAAAAGAACAAGGUCGGAGCUCUGUGCAUCUUCUUCAUCAAAGUAGUCUCAGACAACUAUAGAAAGAUGUAAAGGAUCCAAGUAAUUUUCCAUCUGUACAUUGUACAUUAUGUACAUAAUCUACUUUACCCCUCUUCUGUUAAUUUAUGUCCAUAACUGUUCAAUUAGUGUAGGACUUCCAAUUCUUUAAAGGCACAGCCCUUCUCUCAGACUCUUCACAAAUCAACAAAAGCUUGAAGCAAAAUUAAAUGAAAUUGUGAUUUUUUGUUUUUUGGUCAGUGGAUAUACAGAAAAUCACAAUCACUACAAAAUUUUACCUAGUUAAAUGUUGUAUAUUGGUUGAGCUGCAAUGCAUGGUGAUGUGAUUCUUAAGAAAUCUUCCAAUUUUAAUUAUAGUUUGGGAAAUUCACGUCUUAACUCAUAAGGUAUAAGUUAUAACCCUUGAACCCUGAUUGAUUUCUAUUUAGACGGAGGUUAAAUUCAACCAAACACAAGGCGGACACUGAAUUAUUGAAGGGCCAUUUGCAAGAAUACCCCUGUUUUGGGGUGAUUUUUAAUUUUGGUCGUUAAUCUUUGUUCUUUAGCACUUUAAAUAAUAAAAAUUGAACAAAAAUUUACCCCUAGUGUUAAAAAGAAUCACUAGGUACAGCCGUACAGGUUAUGUCUUAUAAGACAUAAAUUCAGCUUUAGAAUCUUAUGUCUUAAAAAGUUCAUACACAUUUUAUGUUAAGCAAGAAGAGAAAAAAGCCCCUAGGCCAUGUGUUAUGUACAAGUAAAGGGGACAAUAUGUCAUAUGUUAUGAACUUAUAAUUGUCGAGAGGUAGGAUAAGACAAUAGGGCUCAAACUCUCGUUACAUUUAGAUAAGAUGUGGUUAAAGUUUCCUCCACUCUAUAAUACGUAUAUUACCCUAAAAUGGGACCUACUGCUAUGAACACAUGUUAUGUCACGUCUAUCCACAUGACACUGUAAUGUGAAGAUACAGACGAAGCAGCUAAAGUCAAAUCAGAAUAUUCCGCUGAAGCAGAAACGAUAGGAUCGUAAGAAGAAAAAGGCUAUACGCCUAUCCGUAUUAUGUAGAAUAGCCCGACCCUUGAGUGUGGAUCCCUUGCAUUGUCCCCCCUUUGAUUUUUGUCGAUCUCUCUCAAACUGCACACAACUUUUCCCUAUCCUCCUAUAAGUAUGACGGUCCAUUCUGAUUGGGUCAAGGAUUGGAUUUCAUGUCAUAUACAUGGUGAAUUAUAUUAUGUCGAUAUUUAGGUGAUUCUUGUUAAAAGAUGUUAGUUUAUUUUCAAGUCUAAAUGUUUGUUUGAAUCAAUAAAUUUGAAGAAUAUAUCUUCCAUGUUGUGAUUCAUUGUUCAUGUUUCAUUGUAUAUUAUGUGUAACAAUUGAGGAAGUUUUGGAUCGGAUCUAGAAAUAGAAGCUUAAUAAAUUAGAUAUUUCUAUUUCAUUUGCACUUUACGUGUUUACUAUUCUAAGUUUGUCAAUUAUCAUUUGAGUCUUUUUAUUUACUUUUUAGUCUCUAAUGCUAGUCACAUUUAUAGUUGUCACAAGUUGAGUCUGUUAGAUUAGUUUUUGGGUCUCGUUAAAUAGUAUUUGUAUAUACAUUUACUAGGUUAUCUUGAAUGAAUAUCUUGAUUUUAACUUCUAUUCUACUUUUUCUUUCUUUGUUUUCUUAUUUUCAUCUUUUUCAUGGUGGUUCCAACAUUGCAUUUCAUUGUAUUGCAUAUAUUUAUCAUGGUAAACUUGUGAGUGAUUUUAUGUGGAUCUGGUGAUUGAUGACUUUAUCCAGUGUAUUGUUGUUUCGAAAUUAUCGGAGUGUUGUACUUGAGCUAUGAACUAUUUAAAUUGUAAGCUGUUAGGUUGGGCUGAUUUUAUGCAGGUUGUUGUGGAGGUUCGGUUAGAGUGAAAGGGGUACCCAUUUUCUAUAUUCUUAGCAUGGUGUUUAUGAGUUUGCUUGUUGAGUAUUGUGCGGUUUGGAACUCACCCUUCUGCUCCGGGGCGCCAGUUCCAUGGGUUAUAACAAACGAAAAAUCAAAGAUUUUGGGUAAUUCCUAAAAAAGGUCUGUAAAUGCGGAAAUAGACGUUAAAAAUAUGUUGUGAGUAUAUGUGGUGGUUCCCCAACUCAUUACGGAGGUCCUCAUAAAGUUUUUUGUGAAAAAUAUUUUGGGUGCUCCGGGCGCCAGAUCAAUGGGCUACAACACACGAAAAAUCAACGAUUUUGGAAAAUUCCUAAAAAAGGGCUUGUAAAUGCGGAAAUAGGUGUUAAAAAAUUAUGUGAGUAUAUGCGGUGGUUCCCCAACUCAUUACGGAGUGCCUCAUAAAAUUUUUUGAGAAUACAAUUUUGGGUUCACCGUGGCGCCAGAUCCUUAGGUAUAAACACACGAAAAAUUGAGGAUUUAGGUUAAUUCCUAAAAAUGGGCAUAUAAAUGUGGAAAUAGGCAUUAAAAAAUGGUGUGAGUAUACGUAGUGGUUCCCCAACUCAUUACGGAGGUCCUCAUUAAUUUUUUUGAGAAUUUUUUUUUGGUUGCUCUAGGCGCCAAAUCCAUGGGCUAUAACACACGAAAAAUUGAGAGUUUCGGGUAAUACCUAAAAAAGGCUUGUAAAUGCGGAAAUAGACGUUAAAAAUGGUGUAAGUAUACGUGAUGGUUCACCAACUCAUUACGGAGGUUCUCAUAAAUUUUUUUGAGAAUUUUUUUUUGGGUGCUCUACGGAACCAGAUCCAUGGGAUAUAACACACGAAAAACUAAGAAUUUGGAUAAUUCCAAAAAAAAGGCAUGUAAAUGCGGAAAUAGACGUUAAAAAAUAGUGGAAUUAUACAUGGUGGUUCCCCAACUCAUUCAGAGGUCCUCAUAAUUUCUUUUGAGAAAAAGAUUUUGGGUGCUCCGGGGUGCCAUAUCCAUGGGCUGUCCCAGACGAAAAAUCGAGGAUUUUUGGUAAUUCCUAAAAAGGGGUCUGUAAAUGCAAAAAUAUGCUUUAAAAAAUCGUAUGAGUACAUGUGGUGGUUCCCCAACUCAUUACGGAGGUUCUCAUAAAGUUUUUUGAGAAAAAAAUUUGGGUGCUCAGGGCGCCAAAUCCAUGGGUUAUAACACACAAAAAAUCGAGGAUUUUGGGUAAUUCUAAAAAAUGGUCUGUAAAUGCUGAAAUAGACGUUAAAAAAUGGUGUGAGUAUGCGUGGUAGUUCCCCAAAUCUUUAAGAAGGUCCUCAUAAACUUUUUUGGAAAAAAGAUUUACGGUUCUCCGGGGCGCCAGAUCAAUGAGCUAUAACACACGAAAAAAAUGAGGAUUUUGGGUAAUUCCUCAAAAAGGGCUCCUGUAUAUACGGAAAUAGACGUUAAAAAUGGUGUGAAUAUAUGUUGUGGUUCCCUAACUCAUUACGGAGGUCCUCAUAAUGUUUUUUGGAAAAAAAAAAGGGUGCUUCGGGCGCCAGAUCCAUGGGCUAUAAUACACGAAAAAUCGAGCAUUCUAGGUAAUUCCUAAAUAAGGCUUGUAAAUGAAGAAAUAGGGGUUAAAAAAUGGUGUGAGUAUACAUGGUGGUUCUUUAACUCAUUAUGGUGGUCCUCAUAAAAAAAUUUGACAAAAAAAUUUAGUGUUCUCCGGGGCACAAGAUCCAUGGCUAUAAGACACAAAAAAUCAAGGAUUUUGGGUAAUACCUAAAAAAGGCCAGUAAAUGCUGAAAUAGUCGUUAAAAAUAAUAUGUGUAUACAUGAUGGUUCUCCAAUUCAUUACGGAGGUCCUCAUAAUUUUUAUUGAGAAAACAAUUUUGGUUGCUAUGGGAACCAGAUCAAUGGGUUAUAACACACGAAAAAAAAUGAGGAUUUUGGGUAAUUCCUAAAAAAGGGCUUGUAAAUGCUGAAAUAGGCGUUAAAAAUGGUAUGAGUAUACGUGGUGGUUCCCGAACUCAUUAUUGAGGUCCUGAUAAAUAAUUUUGGGAAAUUUUUUUUGGGUCGUCCGAGGCACCAGAUCAAUGGGAUAUAACACACGAAAAAUUGAGGAUUUUGGGUAAUUAAAAAAAAGGGCCUGUAAAUGCGGAAAUAGGUGUUAAAAAUAGUGUGAGUAUACAUGGUGGUUCCCCAACUCAUUACAGAGGUCAUCAUAAUGUUUUUUAAGAAAAAAAAAUUGGGUGCUCCGAACGCCAGAUCCAAGGGCUAUUAUCACACAUGAAAAAUUGAAGAUUUUGGGUAAUUCCUAAAAAUGGAUAGUAAAUGCGGAAAUAGGGGUUAAAAAUGGUGUGAGUAUACGUGGUGGUUCCCCAACUGAUUACGAAGGUCCUCAUAUUUUUUUUGAGAAAUUCUUUUUGGGUGCUUCGGGCCGCCAGAUCCAUGGGCUAUAACAUACAAAAAAAAAUGAGAAUUUAGGGUAAUUCCUAAAAAAAGGCUUGUAAAUAUGGAAAUAGGCAUUAAAAAAGUUGUGUGAGUAUACAAUGUGAUUCCUCAAUUCUUUACGGAGGUCCUCAUGAAUUUUUUUUGAGAAAAAAGUUUUGGGUGCUCCGGCUGCCAAAUUCAUGGGCUAUAACACACGAAAAAUCGAGAUUUUUGGGUAAUUCCUAAAAAAGGGUUUGUAAAUGCGGAAAUAGGCUUUAUAAAUGGUGCGAGUCUACGUGGUGGUUCAAAAACUCAUUGCGGAGAUCCUCACUCUGGGGCACCAGAUCUAUGGGCUACAACACACGAAAAAUCAAGAAUUUUGGGUAAUUCCUAAAAAGUGCCUUUGAAUGAGGAAAUAGGCGUUAAAAAAAGGGGUCUAAGUAUACAUGGUGGUUCCCCAACUCAUUACGGAGGUCCUCAUAAAAUUUUUUGAGAAAUAUUUUUUGGGUGCUCUAAGCGCCAGAUCCUUUAGCUAAACACACGAAAAAUCGAGGAUUUUUGGUAAUUCCUAAAAAAGGGUUAUAAAAGAGAAAAUAGGCAUUGAAAAUAGUGUGAGUAUACGUGGUGGUUCCCCAACUUAUUACGGAGGUCCUCAUAAAGUUUUUUAUGAAAAUAAUUUGGGUGCUCCGGGGCAUUUGAUCCAUGGCUAUAACUCACAAAAAGUUGAGAAUUUUGGGUAAUUCCUAAAAAAUGGCAUGUAAAUACGAAAAUAGGCAUUAAAAAAGGUAUGAGAAUACGUGAUGGUUCACUAACUCAUUACGGAGGUACUCAUAAGGUUUUUUUUGUAAUUUCGAUUCUCCGGGUGCCAGAUCCAUGGGAUAUUAUAACAUACGAAAAAUUGAGGGGUAAUUCCUAAAAAGAGGCUUGUAAAUACGAAAAUAGACGUUAAAAAAUAGCUUGAGUAUACGUGGUGGUUCGCCAACUCAUUACGGAGGUCCUCUUAAAGUUUUUAUUGAAAAAAAAAUUGGGUGCUCCGGGCUCCAGAUCCAUGGGCUAUAACACACAAAAAGUCGAGGAUUUUGGGUAAUUCCUAAAAAAGGUCUUGUAAUGCGGAAAUAGGCAUUAAAAAUUGUGUGAGUAUACGUGGUGGUUCCCCAACUCAUUACGGAGGUCCUCAUAAUAUUUUUUGAGAAUUUUUUUUGGGUGCUACGGGGCGCUAGAUUCAUGGGUCAUAACACACGAACAAUCGAGGAUUUGGGAUAUUUUCUAAAAAAGGCAUGUAAAUGCAGGAAUAGGAGUUAAAAAAAUUGUGUGAGUAUACGUGGUGGUUCCCCAACACAAUACAGAGGUCCUCAAAAAAAAUUUCGAGAAAAUAAUUUUGGGAGCUCUGGGCCGGAUCCAUGGGCUAUUACACAUGAAAAGUCGAGGAUUUUAAGUAAUUCCUUUAAAAAGGGAUUGUAAAUGUUGAAAUAGGUGUUGGAAAAAUGGUGUGAGUAUACGUGGUGUUUCACCAACUCAUUACGGAGCUCCUCAUAAAUCGUUUUAAGAAAAACAAAUCGGUUCUCCGGGGCGCCAGAUCCAUAGGCUAUGACACACCAAAAAUUGAGAAUUUUGGGUAAUUCCUAAAAAGGGGUUGUAAAUGCGGAACUAGGAGUUAAAAAAGAUGUGUGUAUACAUGGUGAUUCCGAAACUCAUUACGGAGGUCCUCAUAAAGUUUUUGAGAAAAAAAUUUUGGGUGCUCUAUGGCCCUAGAUCUAUGGGAUAUAACACACGAAAAAUCGAGGAUUUUGGUUAAUUUUUCCUAAAAAAAGGCUUGUAAAUGCGGAAAUAAGCCUUAAAAAAAUGGUGUGAGUAUACGUGGUGGUUCCCCAAUUCAAUAUAGAGAUCCUCAUAAAAAAUUUUGAGGAAAAUUUUUUGGGUGCCCCAGGCGCCAGAUGUAUGGGCUAUAACACACGAAAAAUUGAGGAUUUUGGAUAUUUUCUAAAAAAAUGGCUUGUAAAUAUAGAAAUAGGAGUUAAAAAAAUGCUAUGAGUCUACGUGGUGAUCCCCAACUCAUUACGGAGGUCGUUAUAAAGUUUUUUGAGAAAUUUUUUUUGGGUGCUCUGGGUACCAGAUCAAUGGGCUAUACACACGAAAAAUCGAGGAUUUUGGGUAAUUCCUUAAAAAAGGUUGGUAAAUGCUGAAGUAGGUGUUAAAAAAUGAUGUGAGUAUAUGUGGUGGUUCCCCAAAUCAUUACGGAGGUCCUCAUAAUAUUUUUUGAGAAAAAACAAUUAGGAGCUCCGGGCGCUAGAUCCAAGGGCUAUUACAACACACGAAAUAUUUAGGAUUUUGGGUAAUUCCUAAAAAGGGCUUGUAAAUGAGGAAAUAGGUGUUAAAAAUGAUUUGAGUAUGCGUGGUGGUUCCCAACUCAUUAUGGAGGUCCUUCUAAAGUUUUUUAAGAAAAGAAAAAUUGGUGGUCCGGGGCUCCAGAUCCAUGGGCUAUAACUCACGAAAAAUUGAGGAUUUGGGGUAAAUACUAAAGAAGGGCCUGUAAAUAUGGAAAUAGGCAUUAAAAAUGAUGUGAGUAUAUGUGGUGGUUCCCCAACUCAUUAUUGAGGUCCUCAUAAAGUUUUUUAAGAAAAAAAAUUUGGGUGCUCUGGGGUGCCAAAUUCAUGGGCACACACGAAAAAUCGAGGAUUUCGGGUAAUUCCUAAAAAAGACAUGUAAAUGCGGGAAUGAGCGUUAAAAAUGGUGUUAGUAUACGUGGUGGUUCUCUAACUCAUUAUAGAGGUCCUUAUAAAGUUUUUGAGAAAAAAAAUUUAGGUGCUCCGGGAGACAGAUCCAUGGGCUAUAAUAACACAUGAAAAAUCGAGGAUUUUGGGUAAUUCCAUAAAAAGGGCUUGUAAAUGCAGAAAUACGCGUUAAACAAAUGAUGUGAAUAUACAUGGUGGUUCUACAACUCAUUAAGCAUGUCCUCAUAAAGUUUUUAUUUUAAAAAUAAAUUGGGUGCUCUGGGCGCCACAUCUAUGGGCUAAAUAACACACGAAAAAUCAAGACUUUUUGGUAAUUCCAACAAAAGAGCUAGUAAAUGUGGAAAUAGGCGUUAAAAAUUGGUGUGAGUACACGUGUUGGUUCCCCAACUCAUUACGGAGGUACUCAUAAAGAUUUUUGAGAAAAACUUUUGGGUGUUCCGGGGUGCCAGAUCCAUGGACUACAACACACGAAAAAUUGAGGAUAUUGGGUAAUUCCUGAAAAUGGGCUUGUAAAUGCAGAAAUAGGCGUUAAAAAAAAUGUUAUGAGUAUACAUGGUGGUUCCCCAACUCAUUACGGAGGUACUCAUAAAGAUUUUUUGAGAAAAACUUUUAGGGUGUUCCGGGGUGCCAGAUCCAUGGACUACAACACACGAAAAAUUGAGGAUAUUGGGUAAUUCCUGAAAAUGGGCUUGUAAAUGCAGAAAUAGGCGUUAAAAAAAAUGUUAUGAGUAUACAUGGUGGUUCCCCAACUCAUUACAUAGGUCCUCUUAAGUUUUUUGAGAAACUUUUUUUGGGUGCUUUGGGGUGCCAGAUCCAUGGGAUAUAACACACGUAAAAUCGAGGGUUUUGGGUAAUUCGUAAAAAAAGGUUUGUAAAUGCGGAAAUAGGGGUUAAAAAUGGUGAGUAUACGUGGUGGUUCCCUAACUCAGUACGGAGGUCGUCAUUAAGUUUUUUGAAAAAAAAAAUUAGGUGCUUCGGGCACCAAAUCUAUAACACCCCGGAAACUAGUAGGCUAAGCUACAGCUUAACAUGAGGGUUAGAGUCGUAAAUAUAACUCCUCAUACUUAUAAUAAAGGACUUUGUGUUAGGACGUCAAGGUACGACCCCUCAAGGACCAACCAUGUGCCCUUGAGGAGGACCCUGAAAACUGCCAAAAAACAGUGGACCACACCAGGACCCACACCCCGUAGGUGGGUCCACAACCCAUAGGUCAGUGGGUCAUCAAUUUCCCUUAAGUCUCUGUCAAGACCACAGAUGAAAAGGAUGCACUGUAGGUCCAUCCACGGUCCGUCGACGUGGUCUUGUGGGUGGGCAAAAAUAAGGCAGUUGGGUGGUUAAGUGUAGGGGUACUUUGGGGUAUUCUGGUUUUAAUUAAUAACUAAGUGAGGUGGUUUUAGCCUUUAGUAGAUCACCUAUAUAAGGCUUUUAAUUCACUAAACUAAGGCAAUUGCCUCAUUAUUUCUAAAACCCAAAACUAUUCCCAAAAGUUCAUCUCCUCUCCAAAAAAUUCUCUCUCUAGAACUUCAAGGAAGAAGAAGAAGGAAGUUGGAGCUAGGGUUCAAGGAGCAAGGUUUUCUUCUAAAAUUCAUUGGAUUUCAUUGCUAAGGUAUGGUAGCUCUUCAUCUAUGGAGCCCUUUCAAAACCCCAAUUUCAAAGAUAGAAAUCCCCAAAGGUUAGGGUUUGAUUCCAAAGUCAUGGAUUCCUUUCAAAAACAAUUCUAAUGCUUAAAUUACUUUAUAUUAUGAUUGAAUUGAUGAUUUAUUAUGGUUUUUAUGUUGAAAUCCUCAAGAACUCAUGAAAUCCCCAUAUUUCCCUAUUAUGAUCUUGUGAUGUGGGUUUGUGGGUGACAGAAGAAUGUUAUGAAAUUAUGCUUGUAGUAAUUGGGUUACUUGAAUUAUGUUAAUAUCCAUGUCAAAUGUAGUGAAUUCUAGAUGUGUUGAUUGAUAUGAGCUUUGAUCCUUGAAAGGACAAAUUAUGGUAUUAUGCAUGUUUAUAUGCUCUAAGAACACUUUGAGAGUGAAGUGAAUAUGAUUAUGAUCUAGUUGUUGUGUUGUUGAAAGGUUAUUCUCAUAUACACACUUAAGUAUGAAUAUUAUGUGAUGUGAAAGAGUUUUCUCACAAUAUGAUGGUUCUAGGGUUGAAAGACUUUCUCACCUAAUUGAAUCUAAGAGUAGAAGUGAUCAUGGAUGGUGGUAGUUGCUCAUGCAUGGUCUACAUAGUUAAUCUGAUGAAUUAACAUGGAUUGAAUGUCAAGGACAUCUCUCCAUGAGACAUGAGUUAAAGUAAGACUUAAUAAGCUAUCUUGUGGGAUUUAUGCCUAGCACCGAGUGGAUAUUUAAAUGAGAUGGGGGUUCACACCUAGUUGAGUUCGGUCAUCCAAAAUAGGAACUCACACUUAGUAGAGUCCGGGUUUUCCAAAGUAUGUCUCAUGAGAUAGAAGCCUUCACCUAGAAAAGUACGGGUUUCCAGUAGCAAUCUUCGUAUCCCAUAACUACAUGCCCCGUAGGAAAGUUAGCUAGUGGAUCCAACUAAGCUAAAAAAUCGGUUCUACCUUAUGCAAGUAGACCAAACCUUGACGGUGUGGGUAACAUCGGAGAGGAUCAUAUGAUAGCUCACAUGGUCUCGUGUCGGUUAAGGCAAUAUCCCAAGUCACAACAAGACUAAGAUGAACUAAGACAUGCUUGAAGAAGUAUCUCAAAGUGUUCAAAGUAAAAAUUAACCAAGACAUGCUUAAUGAAGUAUCUCAUAGUGUUCAAAGAAUAACAAGAUAAGUAAUGAACUAAGAUAUGCUUGUAGGAGCACCUCACAUUGUUCAAAUGCAAUAAUGAACCAAGACAUGAUUAUGGAGGUAUCUCAUAGUGUUCAUAGACAACAAAAAUAUGAAUUAUGAAGUAUGGUUACUCAAGGAGCUUUACUUAGCAUGGGUGAGAUUUAUGAGGUCUUAUUCAUGCAUUGCACAAGUAUGCUUUGAGGGUGAUUAUGGUAUGUCCUUUUAUGUUAUGAUGAUGUUAGCUUGUAUUGAAGAUGAUGAGUAUGAAUGAGGGCCUAAAGUAACUUGCUUAGCAUGGGUGGGAUUAUAGGGUCUUAUCCAUGCAUUGCACAAGCAUGCCUUGAGGUUUCUUAUGAAAGGUUUCCCUUUUAUCUUUUGAUGAGUUAGAUACAUUAAGUAUGCCAAUGACUAUGUUGUCCAUGAUUAUGACUUAUGACUUCUAAUGCCUCAUAUGAUGUUUAAACUUGGCAUAUAGCAUGUGUUUCAAAUGAAAUGUCCUUUUUAGCAUGUUUUCAAUGUUUUUAUGCAUGACUAUCAUUCUUAGUGGAUUUUUGUACUAACACCUACUUUUCCUACAUUUUCCCAAGUGUAGGGUUCGGUUCUCAAGGUGCUAAUCAUUGUGGCUAGAAGCUUGAAUUUGCUUAUUCUCCUAGCUGUUGGUAAGUCCUCAAGAUUUGAGGACGAAUUUUAUCUCAUAGUAGUUUCCUUUAUCGUAUUUCCUUUUUGGACAUGUUGUAUGGGCUAGGCCUUAUAUCAUUCAAGUAUUGUAAUAGAUGGCUAUAUUGAGACAAGUCUAGACUUCCGCUUUUCUUUUAUGAAAAUUUUAAGACUUGGAAUAUGUUUUUACUCCUUAUUGUUCUCAGCUGAUGUUAUGAUAUGCUAAGUGGCUUACAUGGAGCCUUCCGGAGUUCUAUGUGUCAUGUUACAUCUAGGAGGUACCCUUGGGUCAUGACAAGAUCCAUGGGCUCACACGAAAAAUCGAGAAUUUUGGGUAAUUCCCAAAAAAUGGCUUGUAAAUUUGGAAAUAUGCGUUAAAAAUGGUGUGAGUAUACGUGGUGGUUCCCCAACUCAUUACGAGGUCCUCUUAAAGUUUUUUGAGAAAAAAAUUUGGGUGCUCCGGGGCACCAGAUCUAUGGGUUAUAACAUAGAAAAAUAGAGGAUUUAAAGUAAUUCCUACAAAAGGGCUUGUGAAUGCGUAAAUAGGCAUUCAAAAAAUGGUGUCAGUAUACGUGGUGGUUCCCCAACACAUCACAGUGGUCCUCAAAAAGUUUUUUGAGAAACAAAAUUAGGAGCUCCGGACGCCGGAUCCAUGGGCUAUAACACAUGAAAAAUUGAGGAUUUUAAGUAAUUCCUUUAAAAGGGGAUUGUAAAUGUUGAAAUAGGUGUUGAAAAAAUGUUGUGACUAUACGUGGUGUUUCACCAACACAUCACGGAGGUUCUAAUAAAGCUCUUUAAGAAAAAAAAUUGGGUGCUCUAGGGCGCCAUAUCCAUGGGCUAUAACAAACCGAAAAAUUGAGGAUUUUGAGUAAUUCCUAAAAAGAGGCUUGUAAAUGCGGAACUAGGAGUUAAAAAUGGUGUGAGUAUACAUAGUGGUUCCCAAACUCAUAACGGAGGUCCUCAUAAAUUUUUUUGAGAAAAAAUAUUUGGGUGCUCUAAGGCGCCACAUCCAUGGGCACACUCGACAAAUCAAGAAUUUUGGUAAUUCCUAAAAAAGGGCAAGUAAAUGCGGAAAUAGGCGUUAAAAUUGGUGUGAGUAUACCUAGUGGCUCCGCAAUUCAUUACAAAGGUCCUCAUAAAGUUUUUUGAGAAGAAAAUUUUGGGUUUCUCUAGGCGCCAGAUCCAUGGGUUAUACCACACGAAAUAUCGAGGAUUUUGGAUAAUUUCUAAAAAAAUGGGCUUGUAAAUGUGAAAAUAUGCGUUAAACAAAUGUUGUAAGUAUACGUGGUGGCCCCCAACUCAUUACGGAGAUCUUAUGAGAAAAAACCAUUUGGGUGCUCCAUGGUGCAAGAUCCAUGGGAAAUAACACACCCAAAAAUUGAGAAUUUUUGGUAAUUCCUAUAAAAGGGCCUAUAAAUAUAGAAAUAGGCGUUAAGAAAAUAAUGUAAGUAUACUUAGUGGUUCCGCAACUCAUUAUGGAGGUCCUCAUAAGGUUUUUUGAGAAAAAAAAUUUGGGUGCUCCGAACGCCAGAUCCAUGGGCUAUAACACACUGAAAAUCAAAAAAAUUGGGUAAUUCCUAAAAAAGAGCUUGUAAAUGCGGAAAUAGGCAUUAAAAAAAGGUGUGAGUAUAAGUGGUGGUCCCUAAUUAAUUAUGGAGGUCCUCAUAAAGUUUUUUGAGAAAAAAUUUGGGUGCUCAGAGCUCCAAAUCCAUGAGCAACACACGAAAAAAUCGAGGAUUUUUGGUAAUUCCUAAAAAAGGGCUUGUAAAUUCGGAAAUAGGUAUUAAACAAAGGUUGCGAGUAUACAUGGUGGUUCCCCAACUCAUUACGGAGGUCCUCACAAAGAUUUUUGAGAAAAAAAAUUGGGUGCUCCGGGGAGCUAAAUCCAUGGGCUAUAACACACGAAAAAUUUGAGAUUUUUGGAAAUUCCUAAAAAGGGCUUGUAAAUGUGGAAAUAUGCGUUAAAAAAGUGGUAUUAGUAUACGUAGUGGUUCCCCAACUAAUUAUGGAGGUCCUAAUAAAGUUUUAUGAGUAAAUAAUUUUCGAUGCUCUUGGGUGCCAGAUUCAUGGGCUAUAUAACAAUCAAAAAAUCGAGAAUUUUGGGUAAUUCCUAAAAAAGGCUUGUAAAUGUGAAAAUAGGCGUUCAAAAUUGUGUGAGUAUACUUGGUGGUUCCCCAACUAAUUACGGAGGUCCUCAUAAAGCUAUUUGAGCAAAAAAAAUCGAUUCUUCGGGUGCCAGAUUCAUGGUCUGUAACAAACAAAAAAAUGAGGAUUUUUGGUAAUUCCUACAAAAGGUCUUGUAAAUGCGGAAAGAGGCGUUAAAAAAUGGUGUGAGUAUACGUUGUUGUUACCAUCUCAUUACAGAGGUCCUUAAAAGAUUUUUAAGAAUUUUUUUUUUUGGUAUUCCAGGGCACCAAAUUCAUGAACUAUAACACACAAAAAGUUGAGGAUUUUGGGUAAAUCCUAAAAAAGGGGUUGUAAAUGUGGAAAUAGGCGUUACAAAAUGGUGUGAGUAUACGUGGUGGUUCCCCAACUCAUUAUGGAUUUUCUCAUAAAGUUUUUUGAGAAAACAAUUUUUAGUGCUCCGGGCGCCAUAUUCAUGGGCUAUAACACACGAAAAAUCACGGAUUUUGGGUAAUUCCUAAAAAGGGGCUUGUAAAUGGUAGGGGUUAAAAAUUGUAUGAGUAUACAUGGUGGUUCCCAACUUAUUACGGAGGUCCUUAUAGCGUUUUUUGAGAAUAAAUUUUUGGGUGCUCUAGGGCGCCAAAUUCAUUGGCAUAACUCACGGAAAUUGAGGAUUUUAGGUAAUUUCUAUAAAAGGACAUAAAUGCGGGAAUAGGCAUUAAAAAUGGUGUGAGUAUACGUGGUGGUUCCUCAACUCAAUACGGAUUUCUUCAUAAAGUUUUAUGGAAAAAAAUUGGGUGCUCUGGGCGCCAUAUCCAUUGGCUAUAUAACACCUGAAAAAUCAUGGAUUUUGGGUAAUUCCUGAAAAAGGUCUUGUAAAUGCUGAAAUUGGCGUUAAAAAUGGUAUGAGUAUGCAUGGUGGUUCUCCAACUCAUUACGGUGGUCCUCAUAAAGAUUUUUGAGAAAAAUAAUUUCGGUGCUCCUGGGGGCUCGAUUCAUGGGCUAUAUAGCACACGAAAAAUCUAGGAUUUUGGGUGAUUCCUUAAAAGGGCUUCUAAAUGUGGAAAUAUGCGUUAAAAUGGUAUGAGUAAACCUGGUGGUUCACCCACUUAUAACGAAUGUCCUCAUAAUGCUUUUUGAGUCCUAAAAAAGAAUUUGUAAAUGCGGAAAUAGGCAUUAAAAAUGGUGUGAGUUAUAUGUGUUGUUUCCCGAAUUCAUUACAGAGGUACUCAUACAGAUUUUUGAGAAAAAUAUUUUGGGUGUUUCGGGGUGCCACAUCCAAGGGCUAUAAGACACGAAAAAUUGAGGAUAUUGGGUAAUUCCUAAAAAGGGGCUUCUAAAUGCAGAAAUAGGCGUUAAAAAAAUAUUAUGAGUAUACAUAGUGGUUCCCCAACUCAUUAAAUAGGUCCUCUUAAAGUUGUUUGAGAAUUUUUUUUUGGGUGCUUCGGGGCGCCAACUCCAUGGGCUAUAACACACGUAAAAUCGAGGGUUUUGCGUAAUUCCUAAAAGGGGUUUGUAAAUGCGGAAAUAGAGGUUAAAAAUGGUGUAAGUAUACAUGGUGGUUCCCUAACUCAUUACAGAGGUCGUCAUAAAAAAAAAUUGAAAAAAAGUUUUGGGUGCUUUAGGCGCCAAAUCCAUGAGCUAUAUAACACACGAAAAAUUAAGAAUUUUGGGUAAUUCUUAAAAGAGGUUUGUAAAUAGGAAAUGGACGUUAAAAAAAUGGUGUGAGUAAACGUGGUGGUUCGCCAACUCAUUAUGGCGGUCCUCAGAAAGUUUGUUAAGAAAAAAAAUUUGGGUGCUCUGAGCGCCAGAUCCAUGGAUUACCACACGAAAAAUUGAGGAUUUUGGGUGAUUGCUAAAAAAAGGAUUGUAAAUGCGGAAAUAGGGGUUAAAAAAGGUGUGAGUAUACAUGAUGGUUCCCUAACUCAUUACAAAGGUCGUCAUAAAGUUUUUUGAAAAAAAGUUUUGGGUGCUCGAGGCAUCCGAUCUAUGGGUUAUAACACACAACAAAAUCAAGAAUUUUGGGUAAUUCUUAAAAAGAGGCUUGUAAAUGCGGAAAUGGACGUUAAAAACCGGUGUGAGUAUACGUGGUGGUUCGCCAAUUCAUCAUGGAGGUCCCCAUAAAAAAAUUUGAGAGAAAAAAGUGGGGUGCUCCAAGCGCCAGAGCCAUAGGCUAUAACACACGAAAAAAUCGAGGAUUUUGGUCAUUUUCUAAAAAAAAAAGGAUUUUAAAUGCGGAAAUAGGCAUUAACAAUGAUGUUAAUAUACGUGAUGGUUCCCCAACUCAUUAUAGAGGUCCUCAUAAGGUUUUUUGAGAAAUAAAUUUUGGGUUCUCCGGGGUGCCAAAUCAAUGGGCUAUAGCAUAGGGAAAAUGGAGGAUUUUGGGUAAUUCAAUAAAAAGGACAUGUAAAUGUGGAAAUAAGCGUUAAGAAAUGGUAUGAGUAAAACUGGUGGUUCCCAACUCAUUAAGGAUUUCCUCAUAAAGUUUUUUGAGAAAAACAAUUUGAUGCUCCGGGGAGCCAGAUCCAUAGGCUAUAACACCCGACAAAUUGAGGAUUUUGGGUAAAUCCUAAAAACGGUCAUGUAAAUGCCGAAAUAGGCGUUAAAAAUGGUUUGAGUAUAUGUGGUGGAUCCACAACUCAUUACAUAGGUCCUCAUAAUAUCUUUUGAGAAAAAAAAAUUAUUGGAUGCUCCAGGCGCCAGAUCCACUGGCUAUAUAACAUACGAAAAAUCGUAUUUUGGGUAAUUCCUAAUAAGGAACUUAUAAAUGCGGAAAUAAGUGUUAAAAAUGGUGUGAGUAUACGAUGUUGUUCAGCUACUCAUUACGGAGAUCCUUAAAAGUUUUUUUAAAAAAAAUAUUUGGGUGCUUAGGGGAACCACAUCUAUGGGCUAUAACACGCGAAAAAUCGACAAUUUUGGAUAAUGCCUAAAAAGGGUAAUGUAAAUACGAAAAUAGGCUUUAAAAUGGUGUGAAUAUACAUGGUGAUUUCCCAAAUCAUUACAGAGGUCCUCAUAAAGUUUUUGAGAAAAACAUUAAGGGUUCUCUGGGCGCCAGAUCCAUGGCUAUAACACACGAAAAAUCGAGGAUUUUGGUUAAGUCCUAAAAAGGGCUUGUAGAUACGUAAACAGGCAUUAAAAUAGUUUUAGUAUACAUGUUGGUUCCCCAACUGAUUACAGAAAUUCUCAUAAAAAAAUUUAAGAAAAAAAAUUUGGGUGCUCUGGGGCGCCAGAUCCAUGGGCUAUAACACAUGAAAAAUCGAAGAUUUUGGGUAAUUCCUAAAAAAUUUCUUGUAAAUGCAGAAAUAGGCGUUAACAAAUGUUAUGAGUAUACAUGGUGGUUCCCCAACUCAUUACGGAGGUCCUCAUAAAGUUUUCUGAGAAUAUUUUUUGGGUGCCAGAUCAAUGGGAUAUAACACAUGGAAAAUCGAGGAUUUUGGGUAUUUACUAAAAAAAUGGAUUAUAAGUGCGGAAGCUUUAAAAAUGGUAUGAAUAUACGUGGUGGAUCCCAACUCAUUACGGAGGUCCUCAUAAAGUUUUUCAGAAAAAAGUUUUGGAACGAAAAUUUGAAGAUUUUGGUUAAUUCCUAAAAAAAAAUAUGUAAAUGCAGAAAAAUGUUUUUUAAAUGGUGUGAGUAUCCGUUGUGGUUCCAUUACUCAUUAUAGUGGUCCUCAUAAAGUUUUUUGAGAAAAAAAUUGGGUUCUCUAGGGCGCCAAAUCCAUGGGCUAUAACACACGAAAAAUUGAGAAUUUUGAGUAAUUGUUAAAAAGGGGCUGUAAAUGCGGAAAUAAGCGUUAAAAAUGGUGUGAGUAAACGUGGUGGUCCCCAAUUCAUUAAGGAAGUCCUCAUAAAAAUUUUUGAGAAAAAAAUUUGGGAUGCUCUGGGCGCCAGAUCCAUGGUCUUAUAACACACGAAUAAUCGAGGAUUUUGGUUAAUUCUUAAAAAGGCUUGUAAAUGCGAAAAUAAGCAUUAAAAAAUUGUGAGAGUAUAAGUGGUGGUUCCCCAACUCAUUACGGAGGUUCUCAUAAAUUUUAUGAGAAAAAAAUUUAUGGUGCUCUGGGCGCUUGAUCCAUGUGCUAUAACACAUGAAAAAUCAAAGAUUUUGGGUAAUAUCUAUAAAAGGGCUUGUAAAUGCGGAAAUGGAAAUUAAAAAUGGUAUGAGUAUACAUGGUGGUUUCCCAACACGUAAUGGAGAUCCUCAAUAUGUUUUUUGAGAAAAAAAUUUGGGUUCUCCGAGGCGCCAAAUCCAUGGGCUGUAACACACGAAAAAAUCAAAGAUUUUGGGAGAUUCCUAAGAAAGGGUAUGAAUGCGUAAAUAGGCAUUAAAACAAUGGUGCGAGUAUACGUGGUUGUUCCCCAACUUAUUAAGGAGGUCCUCAAAAAGUUUUUUGAGAAUUUUUUUUUUGGAUGCUUUGGGACACCAGUUCCAUUGGCUAUAACACACAAAAAAUCAAGUAAUUUGGGUAAUUCUUAAAAAGGUCUGUAAAUGCAGAAAUAGGCGUUAAAAAAAACGGGUGUGAGUAUACGUCGUGGUUCCCCAACUCAUUAUGGAAAUCCCCAUAAAUAUUUUUGAGACAAAAAAUUGGUGCUUCGGGAGCCAGAUUCAUGGGCUAUAACACACGAAAAAUUGAGGAUUUUGGGUAAUUCUUAAAAAAGGGUUUAUAAAUGAGGAAACAUGCGUUUCAAAAAUUGUGUGAGUAUACGUGGUGGUUCCCAACUCAUUACAGAGGUCCUAAAAAAGUUUUUUGAGAAAUAUUUUAGGGAGCUCCGCGGAGUUAGAUCCAUGGGCUAUAACACAUGAAAAAUUGAGGAUUUUUGGUAAUUCUUUAAAAAGGGCCUAUAAAUGCUGAAAUUUGCAUUAAAAUGGUGUAAGUAUACGUGGUGGUUCCCAACUCAUUACAGAGGUCCUAAAAAAGUUUUUUGAGAAAUAUUUUAGGGAGCUCCGCGGAGUUAGAUCCAUGGGCUAUAACACAUGAAAAAUUGAGGAUUUUUGGUAAUUCUUUAAAAAGGGCCUAUAAAUGCUGAAAUUUGCAUUAAAAUGGUGUAAGUAUACGUGGUGGUUCCUAAAAUCAUUACGGAGUUCCUCAUAAAGUUUUUUUAGAAAAUAACUUUGGGUUUUCCUAGGCGUCAGAAGCAUGGGCUAUAACACACGAAAAAUUGAAGAUUUUGAGUAAUUCCUAAAAAAGGGUUGUUAAAUGCGGAAAUAGGUGUUAAAAUGCUCUGAGUAUACGUGAUGGUUCCCCAACUCUUUACGGAGGUUCUCAUAAAGUUUUUUGAGAAAAAAACUUUGGGUGCUCAAGGCGCUAGAUCCAUGGGAUAUAACACACGAAAAAUUGAGGCUUUUGGGUAAUUUCUAAAAAAGGCCUUGUAAAUGUGGAAAUAUGUGUUAAAAAUUGUGUGAGUAUACGUGGUCGUGCCCCAACUCAUUACGAAGGUCCUCAUAAAAAAAUUUAAGAAAAACUUUUUGGGUCCUACAAAGCGCCAUAUUCAUGGGCUAUAACACAUGAAAAAUUAAGGAUUUUGGGUAAUUCCUAAAUAAAAAGGGGUUGUAAAUGCGGGAAUAGGAGUAAAAAAAAUUGUCUGAGUAUACGUGAUAGUUCACUAAUUCUUUACGGAGGUGCUCACAAAAUUUUUUGAGAAAUUUUUUUUUAGUGCUCAGGAGCGCCAGAUCCAUGAACUUUAACACACGAAAAAUUGAGGAUUUUGAGUAAUUUCUAAAAAAAGGCUUGUAUAUGCGAAAAAUAGGUGUCUAAAAAUAUAGUGCGAGUAUACGUGGUGAUUUCCUAACUCAUUACGGAGGUUCUCAUAAUUUUUUUGAGAAAGAAACUUUAGGUGCUCCGGGUACCAGAUCCAAGGGUUAUAACGCACAAAAAAUUGAGGAUUUUGGAUAAUUCCUAAUAAAUGGCUUGUAAAUGCGGAAAUGGGGGUUUUAAAUGGUGUGAGUAUACGUGCCGGUUCUCCAAAUCAUUACGGAGGUCAUCAUAAAAUUUUCUGAGAAAAAAAUUUAGGGUGCUCCGAGGUGCUAGAUCUAUUUCCUAUACACACGAAAAAUCGAGGAUUUUUAGUAAUUUCUAUAAAGGGCUUAUAAAUGCAGAAAUAGGAAUUUAAAAAUAUAGCGUGAGUAUACAUGGUUGUUCCCCAACUCAUUCGGGAGGUCCUCAUAACUUUUUGAGGAAAAAACUUUCGGUUCUCCUGGACGCCAGAACCAAGGGCAAUAACACACAAAAAAUUGAGGGUUUUGGGUUAUUUCUAAAAAGAGCCUGAAAAUGCAAAAAUAGACUUUAAAAAAAUGGUGUGAAUAUAUGUGGUGGUUAACCAACUCAUUACGAAGCUCCACAUAAAGUUUUUUUGACAAAAAAGUUUUAGGUGCUCCAGGCGCCAGAUCCAUGGGCUAAAACGCACGAAAAAUUGAGGAUUUUGGGUAAUUCACAAAAAAUGACUUGUAAAUUCAGAAAUAAGUGUUAAAAAUGGUGUGAGUAUACGUGGUGGUUCCCCAACUCAUUACGAGGUCCUCAUAAAGUGUUUUGAGAAAAAAAAAUUAGGUGCUCCGGGGUGCUAGAUCCAUGGGAUAUAACACACGAACAAUUGAGGAUUUUAGGUAAUUUCUCAAAAAGGGCCUUUAAAUGCGAAAAUGGGCGUUAAAAUGGUGUGAGUAUGUGUGGUGGUUCCCCAACUCAUUGUGGAGGUCAUCAUAAAGUUUUUUGAGAAAAAAAAAUUUAGGUACUCCGGGGCAUUAGAUCCAUGGGCUAUAACACACGAAAAAUUGAGGAUUUUAGAUAAUUCCUAACAAAGGGCAUGUAAAUGCGGAAAUAUGCCUUAAUAAAAUGGUGUGAGCAUACGUGGUGAUUCCCAACUCAUUACGGAAUCCUCAUAAAGUUUUUUGAAGAAAAAAAUUGGGUGCUCGGGAUGCCAGAUCCUUGGGCUAUAACACACGAAAAAUAGGGAUUUUGGGUAAUUUCUUAAAAAGGGAAUGUAAAUGCGGAAAUAGGUGUUAAAAAUGCUGUGAAUAUUCGUGGUGGUUCUCCAACACAUUACAGAGCUCCUCAAACGAUUUUUUGAUUAAAAAAAAAAAUUGGUGCUCCAUGGCGCCAGAUUCAUGGGCUAUAACACACGAAAAAGCGAGAAUUUUGGAUAAUUCCUAAAAAAGGGCUAGUAAAUGCAAAAAUAGGUGUUAAAAAUGGUGUGAGUAUACAUGGUGGUCCCCAACUCAUUACGGAGGUACUCAUAAAGUUUUUUGACAAAAAAAAAUUUGGGUGCUCUGGGGCAUCAGAUCUAUGGUGCUAUAUAUAUAACACACGAAAAUUGAGAAUUUUGAGUAAUUCCUAAGGCCUGCAAAUGCGGAAAUAGGUGUUAAAAAAAUAAUGUGAAUAUACGUGGUAGUUCCCUGACUCAUUACAGAGGUCCUCAUAAGGUUUUUUUAAAAAACAAAUUGGGUGCUCCGAGGCGCUAUAUCCAUGGGUUAUAAGACAUGAAAAAUCAAGUAUUUUGGGUAUUUUCUAAAAAAUGGCAUGUAAGUGCAAAAAUAAGCGUUAAAAAUGGUGUGAGUAUAUGUGGUGGUUUCCCAACUCAUUAUGGAGGUCCUCAUAUAGAUUUUUGAGAAAAAAAUUUGGUGCUCCGGGGAGUCUGAUCCAUGGGCUAUAACACAUGAAAAUCGAGGAUGUUGGGUAAUUCCUAAAAAAAGGGCCUUUAAAUGCGGAAAUAGGCGUUAAAAAAUUGUGUCAAUAUACGUGGUGGUUCCCAACUCAUUACGGAGGUAAUCAUAAAGUUUUUUGAGAAAAAAAAAUUGGAUACUCCGGGGCGCCAGAUCCAUUGUCUAAACAUUCAAAAAAUUGAGGAUUCUGGGUAAUUCCCAAAAAAUGGCCUAUAAAUGCGAAAAUAGAUGUUCAAAAAAUUGUGUGAGUAUACAUGGUGGUUCCCAACUCAUUCGGAAGUCCUCAUAAAUUUUUUUGAGAAAAACUUUUUGGGUGCUUCAGGGCACCAAAUCCAUAGGCAAUAACACACGAAAAUCUCGAAUUUUGGGUAAUUUCUAAAAAAAAGGGUCUGUAAAUGCGGAUAUAGGUGUUAAAAAAUUUGUGUGAGUACAGGUAGUGGUUUCUCAACUCAUUACGGAGGUCCUCAUAAAGGUUUUUGAGAAAAAAAAUUGAGGAUAUUCUAAAAAAGGGCAUGUAAAUGCUGAAAUAGGCGUUAAAAAAUGGUGUCAGUAUACGCGGUGGUUUCCCAAUUCAUUACGAAGGUCCUAAUAAAGUUUUUUGAGAAAAAAAAAUUAGGUGCUCCGGGUCGCCUGAUCCAUGGGCUAUAACAUACAAAAAAUCGAGGAUUCUUGGUAAUUCCUAAAAAGGGCCUAUAAAUGCGGAUCUGCUCAUUACAGAGGUCCUAAUAAAGUUUUUUGUGAAAAAAAAAUUUGGGUGCUCUGGGGAGCCAGAUCUAUAGGCUAUAACACAUGGAAAAUUUAGGAUUUUAGGUAAUUCCUAAAAAAGGCCCUGUAAAUGUGGAAAUUGGCAUUGUGUGAGUAUACGUAGUGGUUCCCCAACUCUUUACGGAGGUCCUCAUUAAGUUUUUUGAGAAAACGAUUUUGGGUGCUUCGAGGCGCCAUAUCCAUGGGCUAUAACACUCAAAAAAUCUAGGAUUUAGGGUAAUUCUUUAUAAAGGGUCUGUAAAUUCGGAAAUAGGCAUUUAAAAUGGUGUGAGUAUACGUGGUGGUUCCCCAACUCAUUACGUAGGUCCUCAUAAAGUUUUUUGUGAACAAAUUUUUUGGCCUAUAACACACGAAAAAUCGAGGAUUUUUUGUCAUUCUUCAAAAAGGGCCUGUAAAUGUGGAAAUAGGCAUUAAAAUGGUGUGAGUAUACAUGGUGGUUUCCCAACUCAUUACAGAGGUCCUCAUAAAGUUUUUUGAAAAAGAGAUUUUGGGUGAUUCAGAGCGCCAAAUCCAUGGGUUAUAACACAUAAAAAAUUGAGGAUUUUGGGUACUUCCCAAAAAAGGGCCUGUAAAUGCGGAAAUAGACGUUAAAAAUGGUGUGAGUAUAUGUGGUGGUUCCUCAACUCAUUGUGAAGGUACUCAUGAAGUUUUUUGAGAAAAAAAAUUUGGGUUCUCACGAACGCUAGAUCCAUGGGCUAUAACACACAUAAAAUCGAGGAUUUUGGAUAAUUCCUAAAAAGGGACUGUAAAUGCGGAAAGUGACGUUAAAAAUUAAUGUGAGUAUACGUGAUUGUUCCCCAACUCAUUACGUAUGUCCUAUAAAUUUAUUUGAGAAAAAAAUUGAGUGCUUCGGGGCACCAGAUCCAUAGGUUAUAGCACACGAAAAAUCGAGGAUUUUAGAUAAUUCGUAAAAAAGGUCUGAAAAUGUGGAAAUAGGCGUUAAAAAGUGGUGUGAGUAUACAUGGUGGUUCCCCAACUCACUGCGUAGGUCCUCAUAAAGUUUUUUGAGAAAAUAAUAUUUGGUGCUCUGGAGCGGCAGACAAUGGGCUAUACACACGAAAAAUCGAGGAUAUUGGGUAAUUUCCAAAAGAGGUCUCGUAAAUGCGGAAAUAUGCGUUAAAAAUGGUGUGAGUAUACGUGGUGGUUCUCCAACUCAUUACAGAGGUCAUCAUAAAGUUUUUAUCGAAAAAAAAUUUGGGUUCUCCGGGGCGCUAGAUCCAUGGGAUAAAACACACGAAAAAUCAAGAAUUUUGAGUAAUUCCUAAAAAAAGGGUGUGUAAAUGCGGAAAUAGGCGUUAACAAAAUGGCGUGAACAUACGUGGUGGUUCCCCAACUCAUUACGGAGGUCCUCAUGAAGUUUUUUGAGAAUAUAAAUUUGGGUGCUCUGGGGCGCCAUAUCCAUGGGAUAUAACACAAGAAAAAAUUGAGGAUUUUGGGUUAUUUCUAAAAAAAAAAAUUGUAAAUGCGGAAAUAAGCGUUAAAAAAUGGUGUGAGUAGACUUGGUGGUUCCCCUACUCAUUACAAAGCUCCUCAUAAAGUUUUUUGAGAAAACAAUUUGGGUACUCUAGGGCACUAGAUCGUUGAGCUAAACACAAAAAAUUGAGGAUUUUGGAUAAUUUCUAAAAAGGGCUUGUAAAUGCGAAAAUAGGCGUUAAAAAUGGUGUAAGUAUAUGUGGUGGUUCCCCAACUUAUUGCGGAGGUCCUCAUAAAGUUUUUUUUUGAUAAAAAAAAAUUGGGUGCUCCGGAGCGCUGAUGUGCCGCGAAAUCUUGGCACAUUUGAUGCUUGAAAACUAAGGAUUAAUACUAGAAUCGAGUGUAUUUAUGUGGAUAUGAAGUGUUUGGUAGUGUUUGUGCAGGUAAAACAUGUGGACUUGAAAGAAGAAAGAAAAGAAGAAAAUGCAGAGUGAAAGUGAAUUGAACCAAGUGAAGAUCACGAACACUUAGACGGGCCAUGAAGAUCAUGACUGAUCGUGAUAUGGCUCGUGAAUUAGAACCAGUGAGAAGGCAUGGAAGAAUUACAUUUUAGUGGAGCAAGUAAGGACCACGGACGACCUUAUGGGCCGUGGUUCUCACAACGGUUCGUGGAGGUGAUCGUGAAGUGGAUCCAGUAAAUAGGCAUCAAAAAGCUGAAGAGUGAAUUGGCCAAGUGAAGACCACGGGCACCUAUACGAACCGUGGUCAUUGUCACGACCCGGGGUGAUGUUCGUGGUGCUUUUUCAGUGUGCAGGCCUUAAAGACCCAAGUUUGGAGAGGUGCCAAGUAAAGACCACGAAGGGCAUCACGGACCGUCAAGGCACUCGUGAAUAUGCGCAACAGAUCAUUCCUACUUCGAGUAGGACUCUUUUUAGACACUUUAUUUGAAUUAAUUAGGUCGUUUAUUGUUUUUAUCUUGUCAUAUCUGGAACGAGCGGCGAUGGUUGAAGUACUCUUGACUUUAGUUUUUAUCGAUUAACAUUGAAUCGAUCUUGGAAGUUGGAUUUUGAUUUUUCUCAAUAUCAAGCGUUCAUUGAAUUUGCAGAUUUUCGUAAGUAAACUUUCUUAAUGUUUUCAUUACUAAUCUUUGUUCAUUUAGUAGAAAUCAUGAGUGGCUAAACACCACAACUAGGAUUGUGGGAACUAUGACAGAAAUCUAAACGCGAAUUCGUAACACGAGUAGAAGGUGAAUUGUAUUUGCAAUAUUUAACUCAACUUUCGUUGUUCAUUUGUUCUAAUGAGUGCACGUAUUAGAGUCAGCAUGUAUCUAUCAAUUCUUUGACAGAAAAGAGAUAGUUGGGAAAAAGCGGAGAGAAAAGCGAACUUUAACAUCAUUGUACGCGGGGGUAGAAUUUGUUAAUGCUCAAGGAUCGAGAGGAAUUGAGUGAAAAUUAUCUAACUAGACUGAGAAGUGUUAGAUAUAGUCAACUCGCUUAUAAUUUGCAAAGACUAAAUUACCUGAAACUCAGUUACGGAUGAACAAUAGAUGUAAUGUCAUGGAAAACACAACCCUGGUUCUAUUUAUUUAUCAAAACAACUUUAGAAUCAACACUCUGUUAAUUGUUAAUCUGGAUUUAUUUUAACAAUCUUAGUUACUAAAAUUUUACAGCUAAACCCAAUUUACAUUUUGUAAUUGUUUUCUCUAGGAAAUAAUAAUAACAUUUGGGUAAACGCGACAGUGAAAUCAUUUAUGUAAAGAAAUUCUCUGUGGGAUCGACCUCAACUCACGUUGAGUUCUAUAAAUUGACUUUGACCGUUUAUAAUUCUUAAUUGAAGUGUAAGUUUGGACGUAUCAAGCGUCAGAUCCAUGGGCUAUACACACAAAAAAACCGAGGAUUUUUGGUAAUUGCUAAAAAAGGGACAGUAAAUGCGGAAAUAGGUGUUAAAAAUGGUGUGAGUAUACGUGGAGGUUCCCCAACUCAUUACUUAGGUACGCAUAAAGGUUUUUGAGAAAAAAGUUUUGGGUGCACCGGGGCGCCAGAACAAUGGGCUAACACGAAAAAUUGAGGAUUUUGGGUAAAUCCUAAAAAUGGCCUAUAAAUGCGAAAAUAGGUGUUAAAAAAAUGGUGUGAGUAUAUGUAGUGAUUCCCCAACUCAUUACGGAGGUCCUCAUAUUUUUUGUUGAGAAAACAAUUUUGGAUGCUCCGAGGCGCCCGAUCAAUGGGCUAUAACAUACGAAAAAUCGAGGAUUUUGGAUAAUUCUUAAAAAGGGCAUGUGAAUGCGGUAAUAAACGUUAAAAAUGGUGUGAGUAUACGUGGUGGUUUCCCAACUAAUUACGGAGGUCCUCAUAAAGAUUUUUGAGUAAAAAAUUUAGGGUUCUCCGGGGUGCCAAAUCCAUGGUCAUAACAUACGAAAAAUCGAUGAUUUUGGGUAAUUCCUAAAAAAGGGUCUAUAAAUGCAUAAAUAGGCGUUAAAAAUGGUGUGAGUAUACGUGGUGGUUCCCUAACUCACUACGGAGGUCCUCAUAAUAUUUUUGAGAAAAACAAUUCGGGUGCUCUGAAGCGCUAGAUCUAUAGGCUAUAACACAUGAAAAAUUGAGGAAUUUGGGUAAUUUCUAGAAAAAAAGGCUUGUAAAUGCGAAAAUAGGCAUUAAAAAUGGUGUGAGAAUACGUGGUGGUUCCCCAACUCAUUACGGAAGUCCUCAUAAAGUUUUUUGAGAAAAAAAUUUGUGGUGCUCCGGGGCACCAGAUUCAUGGGCUAUAACGCAUGAAAAAUCGAGGAUUUUGGGUAAUUCUAAAAAAGGGCUUGUAAUAGGAAAUAGUCGUUAAAAAAAUGGUGUGAGUAUACGUCGUGGUUCCCAAACUCAUUACGGAGGUCCUCAUAAAGUUUUUUGAGAAAAAAAUCUUGGGUGCUCCGCGGCGCCAGAUCCAUGGGUUAUAUAACACACGAAAUAUCGAGGAUUUUGGGUAAUUCCUAAUAAAAGGCCUGCAAAUUCAAAAAUAGGCAUUCUAAUAUGGUGUGAGUAUACGUGGUGGUUCCCCAAAUAAUUACGGAGAUCCUCAUAAAGUUUUUUGAGGAAAAAAAAUUAGGUGCUUAGGGGCGCCAAAUCCAUGGGUUAUAACACACGAAAAAUUGAGUAAUUUGGGUAAUUCCUAAAAAGUGCCUCUAAAUGCAACAAUAGUCGUUAAAAAAAGGUGUGAGUAUACGUGGUGGUUCUCUAACUCAUUACGGAGGUCCUCAGAAAGUUUUUUGAGAAAAUAUAAUUUAGGGUGCUCCGGGGCACCAGAUCCAUAGGCUAUAUAACACAUGAAAAAUCGAAGAUUUUGCGUAAUUCCUAAAUGGUGUGAGUAUACGUGGUGGUUCCUCAACUCAUUAUGGAGGUCCUCACAAAGUUUUUUGAGAAAAAAAAUUCAGUGCUCCAAGCGCUAGAUCCAUGUGCUAUAAAACACGAAAAAUCGAGAAUUUUGGUUAAUUCCUAAAAAAGGCUUGUAAAUAAGGAAAUAGGCGUUAAAAAUUAUGUGAGUAUAUAUGGUGGUUCCCCAACUCAUUACGAAGGUUCUCAUAAUAUUUUUUGAGAAAAGAAUUUUGGGUGCUCUGGGGCACCAGAUCAUUGGGCUAUAACAAACGAAAAAUUGAGGAUUUUGGGUAAUUCAUAAAAAAGGGCCUCUAAGUGCGGAAAUAGGCAUUAAAAAUGGUGUGAGUAGAUGUGGUGGUUCCCCAACUCAUUACGGAGGUCCUUAUAAAGUUUUUUGAGAAAAAAAAUUAGGUGCUCCAGGCGCCAGAUCCAUGGGCUAUAACACAUGAAAAAUUGAGGAUUUUGGGUAAUUCCUAAAAAGGGACUUGUAAAUGUGAAAAUAGGCAUUAAAAAAAUGGUGUGUAUACGUGGUGGUGCCCCAAAUCAUGACGGAUGUCCUCAUAAAAAAUUUUGAGAAUAAAAUUUUGGGUGCUCUGAGGUGCCUAAUCCAUGGGCUAUAACACACGAAAAAUCGAGAAUUUUGGGUAAUUUCUAAAAAAAAGCAUGUAAAUGCUGCAAUAGGCGUUAAAAAGAUAGUGUGAGUAUACGUUGUGGUUCUCCAACUCAUUAGGGAGGUCCUGAUAAAGCUUUUUAAGAAAAAAUUAUGGUUGCUCUGGGUGCCAGAUCCAUGGGCUAUAACACACGAAAAAUCGAGAAUUUUGGGUAAUUUCUAAAAAAAAGCAUGUAAAUGCUGCAAUAGGCGUUAAAAAGAUAGUGUGAGUAUACGUUGUGGUUCUCCAACUCAUUAGGGAGGUCCUGAUAAAGCUUUUUUAAGAAAAAAAUUAUGGUUGCUCUGGGUGCCAGAUCCAUGGGCUAUAACACACGAAAGAUCGAGGAUUUUGGGUAAUUCCUAAGAAAGGGCUUUAAAAUGCCGAAAUAGGCGUUAAAAUGGUAUGAGUAUACAUGGUGGUUCCCCAACUCACUAUGGAGGUCCUCGUAAACUUUUUUGAGAUAAAAAUUUUGGGUGAUCCGGGGCACCAGAUCUAUAGGCUAUAUAACACUAGAAAAAUCGAGGAUUUUGGCUAAUUCCUAAAAAAGGGCAUGUAAAUGUGGAAAUAGGCGUUAAAAAUAUGGUGUGAGUAUACGUGGUGGUUUCCCAACUAAUUACGGAGGUCCUCAUAAUAUUUUUUGAGAAAAUAAUUUUUGGUGCUCCAAGCCAGAUCCAUGGGCUAUAUUAACACAUGAAAAAUUGAGGAUUUUGGAUAAUUCCUAAAAGAGGGCCUGUAAAUGCGGAAAUAUGAGUUAAAAAUAUGGUGUGAGUAUACGUGGUGGUUCCCCAACUCAUUACAGAGGUCCUCAUAAUUUUUUUUGAGGAAAGAAUAUUUGGUGCUCCGGGUGCCAGAUCCAUGGGCUAUUAUAACACACACAAAAUUGAGGAUUUUGUGUAAUUUCUUAAAAAAAGCUUGUAAAUGCGGAAAUAGGCGUUAAAAAAUGGUGUGAGUACACGUGGUGGUUCCCCAACUCAUUACGGAGGUCCUCAAAAUGAUUUUUGAGAAAAAAAUGUUGGGUGCUUCCGGGCGCCAGAUCCAUGAGAUAUAACACACGAAAAAUUGAGGAUUUUGGGUAAUUCCUAAAACGGGGUCUUCAUAUGCGGAAAUAGGCAUUAAAAAAAUGGUGUGAGUAUACGUGGUGGUUCCCCAACUCAUUACGGAGGUCCUCAUUAAAUUUUUUGAGAAAAAAAUUUUGGGUGCUCCGCGGCCAAAUCCAUGGCUAUAAGUCUAUAACACACGAAAAAUCGAGGAUUUUGGGUAAUUUAUAAAAAAAAAAAAGACUUGUAAAUUUGAAAAUAGACGUUAAAAAUGGUGUGAGUAUACAUGAUGGCUCCCCAACUCAUUACAGAGGUCCUCAUAAUGUUUUUUAAGAAAAAAAAACUGGGUGUUCCGGCACUAGAUCCAUGGGCACACACGAAAAAUCGAGGGUUUUGGGUAAUUUUAAAAAAGGGCCUGCAAGGCGGAAAUAGACUUUAAAAAAUGGUUUGAGUAUACGUGGUGGUUCCCCAACUCAUUACGGAGGUCCUCAUAAAGUAUUUUGAGAAAAUAAUUUUGGGUGCUCCGAGGCUCUAGAUCCAUGGGCUAUAACACGAGAAAAUCGAGGAUUUUUGGUAAUUCCUAAAAUAGGUCUUGUAUGCAGAAAUAUGCAUUAAAAUGGUGUGAGUAGACGUGGUGGUUCCCCAAAUCCUUAAGGAGGUCCUCAUAAAUUUUUUUGAGAAAAAAAAAUUGGAUGUUAUGGGGCGCCAGAUCCAUAGGUUAUAAUACACGAAAAAUCGAGGAUUUUUGAUAAUUCCUAAAAAAGGGGCUUGUAAAUGCUGAAAUAGGCGUUAAAAAAAUGGUGUGAGUAUACGUGGUGUUUUUUCAACUCAUUACAAAGAUUCUUAUAAAAAGUAAAGGGUAUCACAUAAAUUGCCAUAGAGGGAUAAUUAAAAGUGUUUAUCAUAUGAUUGCUUUAAACAAUAGAAGAAGGCACAACAGAAUGAUUAACAUUGAUUCUCCAUAAUUUCAAAUAGAUUUGGAAGACUCAAUUCUCAUAAAUUCUUUAUUUAGAUAGUCUCUCUUAACAGGUUGCCCACUACACAGCCCCUUUACGAAAGAGGUAUUACCAACAAUACCAUAUGUCAUGCCAACGGUCAAGAACCUAAAAUUAUGGGGUUGUUUGGUAGGCCGCAUUAAAAGAAAUAGUCAAUGUAUUAUGUAUGCUAUUAUUUAGUAUUACUAUGUUUGGUAGAAAUUAGAGUCUAUGUAUAACUAAUACAUGAAUCAGCUAUACAUCCUAUAUGGUAUUAUAGGAUGUAUUACUAAUACCUUCCAUUUGGAGGUAUUAGUAAUACAUAGGAUAUAAUACCAUGGAAUAAGUUAAUGUAAAGACAAAAAUAUCCCUCAAAUCAUUUUAAUUAUUUUCUUGAUUUUACGUUUUAUAUUUGUACUAGUAAAAUUAUUUAAAUAAAUUAGCUUACAAAUUAUUUAAAGAGAGUUGUUUGUUACUAAUUAAAUCCAACACAAAUUUGAAAUGUGAGUUAUUUAACAUUUACUAAUUAAAAAGGCAAAUAUAUCACUACAUGACGUUUGCAAUCUUAAUUUAAUGUAUUAUGAACAAUUUAAAAAAUUACAUACAUAUUAAAGGGAAAAUGCAUAAGUACCCCCAACAUAUGCCCAAAAUCUCAGAGACACACUUGUACUAUACUAAGGUCUUAUUACCCCCCCCCCCGAACUUAUUUUAUAAAUAAUUUUCUACCCCUUUUCGGCCUACGUGGCAGUAUCUUCUGAGCCCAACGCGUGUUGACAAUUUUUUUCAAACUAUCUGGUUGACAGUGCCACGUAGGCCGAAAAGGGGUAGAAAAUUAUUUAUAAAAUAAGUUCGGGGGGUAAUAGGACCUUAGUAUAGUAUAAGUGUGUCUCUGGGAUUUCAGGCAUAGGUUGGGGGGUACUUAUGCACUUUCCCACAUAUUAAAACUAUAACUUGCAUUUUUUAUGUGUAAAUGUAGAUGGUUUAUUCAAUCUUACCAUUGUUGACCAAUUUUCAAUUUUAAAAGUAGAUGGUUUAUCUUUUUUAAAUUGAAAAUAAACAUCUUGUGAGUGAUCAAUUAAUAAAGAUAACAAUUAUUUAUCCUCAAACAAUUCAAGUGAAAAAAUAGGAAACAUGACAACAAAAUCGUUCUUUCUCAUAGCUAUUGAAUAUUGUCUACUAACUAAGAAACAAUAGAUAGGAAAAGAUAAUGUACUCAAAGUUGCUACAUAAAAUGGUAAACCACUGGAUGAAUGUACUUGUAAACUCAAGAAUAGAGAAACAUGUAGACUCCAAGAGGAAUCGAUGGAGUAAUCAGAGAAACACAGAAACUGGAUUAUAGGGUUCAGCAAGAAUAUUCCAUACACAACAAACAUCUAUGCUGAAAUCAUGGCACUAAAAACAGGUUUGAAAAUAAUUUACCCCCUGGUUUUUCUGUCUUCGUUUGAAAAUAAUUGUCCAGGUACAAGAUAUCCUAGACAAAUCAAGCUAUGUAAUUAACUGUUCUAGUAUUAAUGAAAAUUAGUCCUUUUUCGGCCGAAAAAAGGAUAGAGCUAGAACAAGAUUGAUCUUUGACAACAGAAAGGAUGAUCAGUUCUCCUCAUUUGCGAUCCAGGUAUGAGAAGAAAUAGGUGUGCUCAAUAGAGGGGAGGCACAUAAUGGCAGAUGACGAUAAGGUUUUGCAAAAUAAAAGCCUUUUUGAAUUCUGUCUUGUUUUCCAGGUUCCAUGCUCCCUUGUGCAAUAUGCUAAGUCAAUAUUGAUGGCACAUCAUGGAGUGGAUGGCCUUUGCUGUUUCUUUCCAUAACCCUUCGAGCAAGAGAAACUUGCUUCCCAACGACAAAUAUGAAUGCCUUUCCUUUUCCUCCAGCACCCCUGGCAGUUCUGCCAACACGACGUACAUAUUCACUAGGGUCUCGGGGAUAAUCAAAGAGGACUACGUGGUCUACACCUUCAAAGUCAAUACCUCGGGAUGCUCUGCAACAUUGUUUAGAAGACAUCAGUUCAGAUUUCUUGUCCCUUCUUCUAGUGAGGGAAACAGCUGAAGUGCGU
RNAcentral lists this long non-coding RNA (121147 nucleotides) under Solanum tuberosum (potato). RNAcentral's name for it is "long non-coding RNA (STUB_LNC010837)". The stretch from base 64298 to 64352 matches the Rfam family "MIR8008 microRNA precursor family". The record is from RNAcentral. Lineage: Eukaryota; Viridiplantae; Streptophyta; Magnoliopsida; Solanales; Solanaceae.